AGAAGAUGUGUCCCGCGCAGGGAUGAUGAACCCACCCGGGCGCAACUCGCAGGCCACAUGGAAGGGUCUCAAGGGCGUUGCGCCGGCCACUCACUCGCCGACGAUGUCGCCCUGGGGAUACUCGCACUUGCCUGGCUACUCCGACGGCGACGCGCACAGCGGCUUCAAUCGCAACACCACCUUCACGCAUGGCACGCCGCAACGUUCCUCCCCCACCGGUUUCGGGCACAACCCGCACACUAUGUUUAACUACGCCGCCGACAUGGAUGUGAUCAUCAAGAGCGGCUCCGUCGCCGCCGCAUCGCACCCGGAGUUCUGCGCGCAAGAUGAAACAAUGGACACCACCGGCGACAUCGACGACGAGCUCGACGACAUCGAGGAGGGGUGGGGGAGGACGAGGCGGUGGAGGUGGAACCGGAACUGGUGCCGCAGAAGAAGGGGAGGAAGAUAAAGCAGGCAGCGAACGCCAACGAGGUCGAAGAGUUCAGGUUCCUUUACCUGUUCUCUAGGAUCGACUCGUGCGAGAAGUGGGGGGAGGUUCGGCUCGCUCUCGACAAGGCCAAAGAGACCUAUAACCCGGAUGCGCCUGCCCCGACUGUGGCAGAAGGGCGCCUAGAUGGCACCAAAAAGGCCAGGGCGGCGAGAGGCGCGGCGCCCGCUGCCCAACAGUUGCAGGCUUCGAUCGAGCAAUGCAUCGCCGACGUCAAGAGCAGCGCUGCUAGACGGGAGGAGAAAUCCAACACACGGUGGUCGGUGUUGAUGAUCAACGUCGCUGCAAAGAAGGGGAACACCGACCUAGAGUUCAUGAUGAGGGCACACACGUCGACGAUGGACGAGAAGAUGAAGGUGUGGUACAUAGUACAACACGACCUCAUCUUGAAGCAGAUGACAACGCUUAGGCGACCACUGCGACCGCAACGGCGACCACAACCGCGACCGCAACGCCGACCACGACGAGGGCGCCCAGCCACGCAGAACGCACGCCGACCGCGAGCCCGACUACAUUGACGACGGACAGCCCUGCAACACCGGUGAUGAGCCCGUCAAUGCAUGUGGAGGAGCCGCACCGCGCCGAGUCGGCCGUGUGAUCUGUUUUUGUCUAUCCUUUUCUUUUGAUUGCCGAACUAUUGACGUGUUUCACCGUCGAACUAUGACACUGAUCGCCGAACUCGCGGCGUGUUUUGGCAUCGGGAAAGUGGGAAUUUGAAAACAUUGGCGUGUGGUUGUCGAAACCUAAGGGCGCGACUAGAAACUCGCUCGCCCCUAGGCCGAGAAUAGCGCGGGCGAAAUGUUAAAAAGGCUAUCGCCGUGGCGCACUAGAAGCCAAACGGCUGGAGACGCUCUAAGAAAAUACUCAUUUGUUUUUCUAAACACCUCCUCAAAACACUACAAGAUGUAAAAGUGAAAUGAUUCCUUAGUCAAUGUUUUGUAAACUCACACAGAUGAACUAACAUGUUAGUUCGUUAACUUCAAAUAUUGCACACUUUAGUUUACUAAUAAUUGGUGUAAGUGUAUCAGUUUAGUUAAAAAAGAAGUUCGGAGUUUAAUUUAUUGUCAACUAGCAAGAUGGCCCUCGCAAUUGCGAGGGCUAGCACUAUUUUAGUAAAUAGUUUUUGUUAUUCAUACUCUUAGAUGUUUAUUGUAUUUUUUUCAUAGUAGGAUUAAUUCUUCUUACAUUGGAUAUUCAAGAAGCUCGUGGAUAAAAAAGAAAAGGUGUAUGUGAAACUAUUGAAAACAGUAUUGUUCACACCUGAUAUUUUUUGUCACGGGAUACUCGAAUGUUUAAACACUCCAAAAUUUUACAUUAGCAUCAUGCAUUUGAGCAUAUUGCACCACAAGAACAUCAUAUUUUUCAAAUUUUCUGCUUUUUAUUAUUAUUCACAGGGUGUAGAUGUGCCCACGCACUGAAUUGAAUUUUUAGCAAAAUAACUUGCUACAGUAUGGUUGCCGUAAUUCAAGAUGAAAAUGUUUAUAUAUAUGAAAUCAUCUCCCUUAUCAAUUAUAAUUUUAUUCUAAAUCAUGUCUAGAAAGAAGGAAGAUAUUUAUUACUCUUCAAGAACUUGGCCAAUACAUGGAAAAUUGUACAAAUAAAAUAACGUUAUACUCCCUCUGUUUCAAAAUAUAAGACCUUUUAGAGAUUUUACUAGAAAACUACAUACGGAGCAAAAUGAGUGAAUCUACACUCUAGAAUAUGUCUAUGUACAUCCGUAUGUAGUUUAUAAUGCAAUCUCUAAAAUGUCUUAUAUUUAGGAACGGAGGGAGUAGCAAACUUGUUCAGGAUUGUACCGUAUACUGUCACAUGCGCAAGUAUAGCAUAUAUGUAUCUUGUACUCUAAAAUUAAGUUCUUAGUAAACGUGAAGCAUAUCUAUAUAUAUAUACUAAUAUAAAUUAAUUCAAAAACUAUGAAUUGAAAUAGGUAUAAAAUCCCAGGUGUUCGCAUGAUUAAAAAUACAUCUGGGCACUAUAUUAUUAUUGAACGACAAUGAAGACUAAUACUGUAUUUUUAUUAGUACUUAUGUGAACAGGGUGUAUUUUAAGAAUUAUUUAUUGUUAUGAGAUCUGAUAUGCAAUACGAUAAUUUUUCGUAAAUGGCAUGCUGGUUUAUGCCACGAGAGAGUACAUAUCAAAUUCAAUAACAAUUUUAUAAAAUCUGCAUGUACAAAACAAGAAAAUUACGGAGAAUCUAUCAUGUGUCACCUAGACCUCAUCAAUACUCUUGUCGACCCAUACAUGGCAUUUUACUUAUGUGUACUGUGUACACAAAACAUAUACACGUGAAUUAGCCAUCUAAUGGUAUAUGGGUAACCUUCAGAAGUGGAGACUUUAGUUGGAGUUUUUUUCAAAACUACAACCCAAUUUACCAUAAAUUAAAAAAGAACCUGUCAAAAAAAUAUAUAUAGCAAAAGUAAUACCCCAUCGGCCAGCCGGAGGAUGAAGUGCUGCCUGUCGGUCAGCGAGAGGCUGAAGAGCCGCUGUCGGCCACCAGGAGGCCGAAGAGGCUGCUGUCGGUCAGGGGGAGGCCGAAGAGUGCCUGUCGGCCAUCAGGAGGACGAAGAGCCCCUGGAUAAGUGCCCCCCUCCUUUCUCCUCUGACCCCUCUUUUCGUCCUUCCCGUCCUCCAGGCUCCCCACCUCCACCUCCCACUCCCGUUGCUCUCUGGUGCUUCCACCCCCACGUCGAUCUCUUCACUCGUCCACCCAUUUUCGUAUCAAACCGACGUAAACAAUAGAUCAGGGCUCUCUCCAGAGGCUUACGAUUUUUUUUCCUUCCAACUCAAUGAAAUCUCAACUUUCAACUCAGUUGUCGAUUCAGUUUUUAUUGGUCACCGUUAGUUUGCAGCUAAAUGGCUUGCCCAUUUUGUCGAGCUCCAGGUGGCCCUUGUUCUUCCUUUGAUUUCGGUGUGUCUGUAUUCACUGUUGUGCUAGAUCGUCGAUGUUCAAGGCAUGUUGUAAGAUUCUAUAUCUUGUUUAUCUGACUGUGCCAUAUGGUUGAUGUUGUUUUGGUUGGAAUGUAUGUGAAUGCCUUUGUUUAUAUGAUUAUGAUGUUUGCUUCCAUUCUUGUUGUAGUAUGUUCCGUGCAGUGUUAGAUCACAUCUUGCUCGGUACAUUAAGGAGUGCAGAGCUUUAGCUAUUCGCAGGGGUGACACAGAUAUUGAUCUUGCUCUUCACAACGGUGAGGGUAACCUAUACCAUGUUCUGUUUAGACAUGGUCGGAAAAGUACUGCGUGGAGCAGAGGGCUUUUCUUGAUGAGAUGAUCAGGCAAAGCGAAGAAGAGAAACUUCGACUGGCUGAGGUUUACAGACAGCGGCAGGAGGCCCGUGAUGCUGAGAGGGAGAGAAAGAAAGAAAGAGCUCGUGCGGUCAAGGCACCAGAAGAAGCUGGUGAUGAAAAAGGAAAAUAUCCAUGUUGACUUAGUAGAUUUAUUUUAUUGUAUCCUAAAUUUGUUGAACCUUAAUUUCAGCAAGUUGUAUCUUAAUUUCAGCAAGUUGUAUCAGCACGUUGUAUCUUAAUUUCAGCAAGUUGUAUUUUAAUUUCAACAAGUUGUAUCAUCACGUUGUAUCUUAAUUUCAGCAUGUCGUAUCUUACUUUGAACAUGUUAAUUUUUCCGGCCAUAUCUUUCCGACCAUAUCUUUUCUGUCAUUUCUUUCCCACCAUUUCAAUAGAACAUGAAAUAGAACAUACAUGAAUAUGUUAAGUUUUCAAUAGAACAUGAAAUAGAACAUACAUGAACAUGAAAUAGAACAUACAUGAAUAUGUCUCAUACAUGAAAUAUGUCUCAUACAUGAAUAUGUAUCAUACAUAAUUAGAUAGUCAUAUCUCAUACAUAGAUAACUAUAUCACUCCUGGCGACGGCGAUGAAUCUUGGGCUUCCUCGGAUGCGGACCGGUAGGCGAUAAGCGCUUAGUCGAUGGACGAUGACCACGACCAUAUACCACCUCGUCCGUCAGUGUCUGUGUCUCCUGCGUCGAUGGUGGUGGUGGAGUGAUAAGAACCGACUCCACGAAAUCAUACAUGUUUGCACCUCGGUCAUCGUCGUCGCCGUCACCGGGUAAGUACGAACCAGCAAACACAGGUGACUGGACUGAAUCCAUGAACGGUUGCGACUGGCUGCCCACUGCGGUAAAGUAAAACAUGUAAAAUUGAUUUACGAGCAUACAAUUUUUAAAAGAAUGUGCAAAGUAGUGUUACCUAUGUCCAUAUGAUUAAGCCAAGUAGAUCCCCAAGGUUGUGAACGAGGUGGCUGCUGGAAGAAAUAGCUCUCUGGUUGUGAAGGAGGUGUUUGCUGCCAGGGUUGUGAAGUAGGUGUCUGCUGCCAGGAGGAGCUCCCUGGUUGCGAAGGAGGUGUCUGCUGCCAGGAGGAGCUCCCUGGGUGUGAAUGAGCUGUCUGCUGCCAGGAGAAGGUCCCUGGUGUGAGGUUCGAGGUUCUGAACGGUGCACAGAGGUUCGAGGUUCUGAACGCUGCAGAGAGGGGCGUGGCAGACGAUGGGAUGCAUGAGUGUUAACAACAUCCGAAGAUCGUCUACAUGUAACAGCUGCGUAAAUCCCGCGCAGCUUAGCAAGAUGACACUACUAGGAAAAACUUUAUAGGUAGGACCUCAGUAGUAGCGCUAGAAAACAUAAAACGCUGCUGCUAAUUAGCAGUAGCCCCAUUCUUCACAAUGGUAAAUGACCUCUGAUCUUUUCGAUGAUCCCCUCCAAGUGCUUCUUUUGUUAUCUCCUUGGUCUGGAAAGGUAGGGUAUGUUUGAUUAUGGCCAAUGUGCACCCUACCAAAAUGUUGGUCAUGACCAAAAAAUGUUCUUUAUUUGGAUAGUUGUCAAUUUUUUGGCAUGACAUUGCACUUUAGUGAACUCUAAUUCCUUUUUCUUGCCAAUGUUGACCAUGGUCAGUCAAUACCUUAACCGAAACACUGGUCAACCUUGGACAUAAACAAAACACACUCAUAGUCCCAAAUAUUUGAUUCACAGCUUGGUCACCUGACAAUUAAGAAGUUCUCCAAUUUCACUGAUAUAAACUCUUCCUCACAAAGAUCGGAGAGUUAGAACUAUUAGCAAGGUUGCAAUUAAGACUAGAUGUCCCAAAGGAACCUAGUGGUAGAAAGAUCUUGUGUACUUGCUUUCAUGAAGAUGAGUACAUCGUCGACGGAAAUAGAUACUCUAUGAGACAUGUCAUAAUUUGCCACAAAGGGCUCUAGAAGACCACAACUUUCAACUUUCUCGAACCAGGCCGAUAUGACAUCCUUGACCAAAAUAAAAAGGAGAUGCGAGUGAGCAUCUCCUGCCUAAGAACGCGAACAUGCCGUAUAUUAGGGCCAGGAGUAUCAUUUGGUAAAAUCAGCGUGGAUGUCAUGGACAACAACGUAGCGAUCCAACAUCUCCAAUUAUGCCUGAACUCUGUAAUCAUAAGCACCUCCAAUGAAAGUUACCACGCAACCAAGUCAAAGGUCUUGGCAAUAUUCACUUAAUACAACAAACUCUUGCAAAUUAGUUUUCCCUUUGAGCAAUCUUGCCGAAUCUCCUGACCAACUUGAAUGCAGUGAACGACCUUCAAGAAAAAAAACUUUGAUUGUUAUCGACGAUACGAGGCUUCUAGCUAAAAUGCUAGAGAUUUUUUUGUUUGCCUAGGUAUGGGCAAGGCAAAUAGGCCUGAAAUCAUUUGUAUCACAUAGAAGGAGAAGCAUGUGUGCAACAUUUAUUUUUUGGAACCCCCAUCGAUCAAGAGAAAAAUAAUUAAAAGCUUCCACGAUCUCCUCCCUGAUAACACACCAUUAUUUUUGGUAAAAUAUCCAUGGUAUAACCAUCUGGUCCCAGGGUUUUCUCUGUUGGCACUGCUUCCCAUAUUUCAUUCUCCGGAAAAAAAGCAGAAGAAAUCGAUACAUAAGGAAUCUAAAUGGUUAUUUAUCAUCGGUGUUCGCUUUCAAAAUCGUUCAUAACACAUCACCAUUUGUUGCACUUUAAAAAUCCUUAUCCGCUUAUCUAGUAUCUAUAAGUGCAGAAUUAGACAAGUACACAAGCGUAAUCAUGAGUUUCGUGAUAUUAUAGAUUGUCAGGUGGCCAAGGUUCACUUGUCAGCUCAGCUGCCCUUUUGCUUCGGAGCCGAGACGAAUAACUGUCCGAUCGCCUCCAAUGCAGAGACGUCCCAACUCUCUGCGUGCCUAACGACCUGAAACGUAGUGCGACCUUCUAAAUCUGAAUGAUGGUGUGAAAGAAGGGGUGAACGAAUGAUUUUAAAUUGAUUUAAACGGUUUUAUAUUAGUUUACAGAGGGAGUACCUUAUAUUCUUCAUCUAAAUCGUAGGUUGUGUUCCCUCUUAUGGCGAUGAGGGGCCUCCAUGGGAGCCUCAGAUAUGUCCUGAAUAUAAUACAGAAACAUUAGUAGAAACAGAGACAUAUCUAGCAGUGUAUUCAGUGAUGGAUCAUAAAUCAUAAUGCCGAUGAGGCACCUUAACGUCCAUGAUGCUAUGAUAAACUUCGUGUCGACCCUCAAGCCCUGCAUGCAUGUUUUCAGAAGUUGCAGCGAGCAGCCAAAAAGCGCGGGCUAAACAAACAUUGGUACAAGCCACAUACCAUGAGAAACUUCAGAAAUGACAACAUUUUAACUAGACAAGAAGCUGAUUUUUUGUUCGUAGCUUAGCACAAAUGAGAACAACUUCGAAAACGUGACACAUAUAUGCGGUGCAGAUACAUCACCUUUUUUUUUGCAGUUCAGUAAAUAGUAGUAUAAUGAAGCAAAGCAGAUAACUGCACGGGAAGGCACAAAAACUCUUACCUUGUCUAUAUUUUCAAGUUGGAGCGAAGGGCUGUCGAAGAAGGGUACUAGCAAAUCUAGAUUCUGGGAGUAUCUAGACCUUCCUACAGAGUACAAGAGGAUGAAAGUUAGUCGUUGGCAGAUAAGGAUGCAUCGAUCUAGGUAUUACUCUGGUAGUAUUGUUUGCAUUUGUUGCGCACCACGGAACUUUAUCGUCGGAUCUUCAAACAAGCAAUCUUCAGCAUAUAUGCCCAAAGUGAAGUUCCCUGAAAUCGAUAGUCUUGAGCACAUUAGCUACUCAAAUGCCAUCAAAAAUCCAAAGACAGUUGCCCGGAAUGUACAGAAGUGCAAAUUAACUUCCUUCAGUUUCUUUUGACCCGUCACAUGAACGGAAUCUGCUAAUGCACAUACCAGUAAGGAAAUAAGCACGCCGGUAGUCGGCUUCAAGAACGGCAACCACGUCGUCGACGCUGCGAGGCGACUCCGACUCUGCGUCGACGGCUUCAACAGCUGGGCUUGGCUUCUUGGGAGAGAAGGCCCUGAGGAGCUCGGUGACGGCGCUAACCGCCGCCCUGACGACCGGCGGUGAGCCGUCGUCGCCACUUCCGGGCGAGCCGGAGCCGCACCUCACGCCGAGGAGGGGGCGAUGGCUCUGCAGGAAGAUGGAGUGGGGGGGCGGCAGGAGAUCAAGAAAAAGAUGGAGAACGAUUGCUUGAGAGAGGUUCAGAGCUAAUCACCUUCGGGACGGAGAGGCGAGGAGAGGGAAGGGGGGACGGCCUGGCAGUUAGGCUGGGCGCCAUUAGCGGUUUGCCUCGCUUCCAUGCGGCUCAGAAGGCUGCCAUUGUCGCAUGAUCACAUCCGGGUGUGUGAGGCCUUCCAGCUGACACGCCACCUGCAUUCUCAGUUCGUUGUCUCAGUCACUGUUACAUUUCCUGGUAAACAGCUGCCGCACACGUCUUUUUUGAAGGUAUGAUGCGAAAAGUCUCAUUUGAAAACUCAUUCAAAACAUCCGGUUGUAGUUUUCUCGCUCUUCAGCCGUCUCUCCUUUCUUUUAUCUUUUCUUUGAAAGCAUCUUCAACGAACGCGUUAAACAAGCGUUGCGUUAAAAAAUUAAUCUUUUUGCGCGUGCGUUACCAUUCCGGAUGCUUCAGCGAAGGCGUAAAAACCGCACGCGCGGCAUAACCAGUUCAACACGCGGACGAAAACGUCAUCGCGCGCCGUUUAUUUGUUGUGCCCGAUCCCCAACGCUACAUACUCGAGCGCCCAUUUGCAACACCACCUAUCCCAUCAAGCCGCGGAGCCGCCGCCGCCCGCGCCACCCCAUUUCUUUCGACGACCGUUCCACCGCUUCCCCGACCUAUCUCCCGCGCACUGCAUUUUAGUGUGACUGUUGAAGCUACGCGCGCGCUGCAUUUUACAGCGGAUGCUGGAGCUAACGCUGGUCGCCGCGUCAAAACAGACGAAGGACGCGCCGCAAACUGAUUUUUAACGCGCCGCGCGUUGGGCGGCUGUUGGAGAUGCUCUAAGCCACACGUUCUCCACAGCCUGAUCAAACCGUCUUCUCCCCAUCUAUCUUGACCAUCCUAUGAAGAUCUCAACUGUCAUGGAUGGCCUCCAUGAAAUUGUUAUCUCAAGUGUUGCGAGGGGUGCUGCAAGGGUGUUGUCUGGCUGCUGCGAGGGUGGUGGUUCGGCUGCGACGACAACCCUAGCUCCGACGAUGUUGCGAUGGUGCCGUCGUGUUGCGAGCUGGUGUUGUGACGGCACCGCCGUGCUUUGAAGCAGAGUUGUGACGGCGUCGUCGUGUUGUGACGGCGCCACCGUGCUUCGAGGCGGUGCUGUGAACGUGUUGUCGUGCUACGAGCUGAUGCCGCGAAGGCGUCACCAUGCUGCGACGGCGCCGUCGUGCUGCAAGCCGGUGUUGUGACGGUGUUAUGCGAAUUGGGUUGCCAAUGCUGCGCCGAGGUCAUCAUGUUGUGAGUCGCUGCAAUGAGGUCAUCGUGUUGCGCGCUGCUGCGAACGAGCCGUCGUGCCGCGCGGCACUGCAACGGUGUUUUGCGACGGGCCAUCGGUGCUACGACGCGAUGAUGCGAGCCCCUGCUGCAAGGCCGCAAGAGUUGUUACCGGAGCUACGUGCUUCGAGCGGUGCGGCGUCAGGUUGGGCAGACUAGCGCGCCAAGAAGCAUAUUAGCAAAGGGAAGAUUAGACGGUUAAAAGUUGAGCAUCUGAGGACUGCCAACACACGGAUGAUAUUUGGCCAGCGACAUCCAGAUGACGCCUAGCAUCAACCUUUUCAUUUUGCGUUAUACUGUAACUCUGUAUGUAUCUCUUCAGCCAGCAUGCUGACAAAUGGGAACCAUGCACAUGUAUACUAGCAUGGCAGUCGAUAAUUUGGUUAGAGUAGUGCUUAAAAAGGUUAAAGUGGCCUUCUGGUGCUACAUCACUAAAUCCAUUCCAAAAAUAGUCUUAAGGUUAAAAACAGUCGGGAUCAUAGAGUACAAGGUAUAAAUUUUAGGGAUUUAACACCGAGGGUUUAUUUCUAACUAACUCUACAAUCUCAAGGUUUAAAUCAAACUUUACAUCUUUUUAGAAAGGAGGUCAUCAUCGAGCUUUAAAUUAGUGAAGCAUUACAACGACCGAUACAACAUGACACCACACAAACAACAACGGAAGUAAAACAAACAAAAUAAAACAAAAGCGGCUAGAUACAAUGGUGUUGAGGACCAGAAAUUAAACCCCAAAAGACUACAAGCAAAACAUUAGGUGGGACAAUGAAGCACUGCUUGAAAUCAUCGAGGCCCUCAUCCUCAAUCAAGCCAACAGAAGCAAGAACGAGGAUAACUCGAGAAGGGGACUGGUCGUCUAGAGAAGCCAUGCCGCCACCAUCACCUAGGAACCAAGCAACAAUGUCGUCCAACUACAUCGCCGAAAGGAGCCCCUGCCUCCUCGCCCUGGCUCGAAGGGUGUCGUACCGCCGGACAAUGAGAAGCUCACCAAGCUUCUCGAUGGACACUGUCGCUGAAACCACAUGGGAGGAUUCCGAACACCGCUGCUCUCUAAACUAACACCUCUUGAAAUAACCAUCGGAGAAGCCAUAGAAUCAUCAAGACGAAGAGGAAAUUGGCGUCCACUACGUGACCAACGACCACAACACAUGACCUUGCUCAUGAGACGGUGCCUCCAAGAAGAGAAUGACAUGACAGUGCCACCACCGCCCAGUUCGUCAUCCGGAACAAUGCCUUUCACCCAGAGCACAAAGUGAAGGAGAACAACCCACGCAUACGCCACCAAGGAGGGAAAUGACACUCGAAAGCGCCGUUGUCACUAGCAACGACAUCGUUAUGCAGAGUUUUCUCCCAAGAGCAUGAGAUAUAGUCCCCAACCACAAAAGGUUCUAUAUCAACACCUCACCGACUGCCAGGCACAUCGGAGAGGCGAGGUGGCCAAAUGGUGAAGUUAGCAACACAAAGAUCUCGUCAGAGCGGUGCGGAGACUACACCCAAACCAUAAAACGCCACACGAUCGGGCCAUCGUGUCGCCCACGCGGCCACGGCACCACACGAGCACCGCACAAUGGCACCCGCCUCAAGGAUGCCUCCGUGCCAGGUGCUCGGAGUCGCCACACGACCUCUUUCUCAUUUCAAUGAAUCUGACCAACAUUUUCGAUUAUCUCAUAAUCCUCAUCACAUCGACAUGCUUAUCCAGGUCGGAUCACCCGAGGGGUCGAGAGCAUAUCUCUCCUGAUCGGAGGGGAAAAUCCCAUCUUGCUUGACCUUGUGUUGUAUUAUGCAUCUGUACAAGCCCGAAACCUAGCUUUGUAACUACCGAGUCACGGAGUAGCGUUUGGUCGUCCCAAAGCAAAUCUGUCACCAUCCCGAGUACAUGCGCGAGCUCAGAUCUUAGGACGCAAAACAUAUGUUGUAUUAGAGACUCACAAAUGACCUAUUGUUGCAUCUCAUAGUUGGGUCUAUCCAACUCAGAUCUUAUUUUAACUCGGAUCUGACUACAUCGAAUCCGAUCAGAUCUUUCUGAGUCCUUAUUAUUCGGCUAGCAUCCAAUGUUGCAUGAUCAGUGAGACCGGACCAUCCACCGUGUCAUAUGCUUGUCGGAUUGGUUGCGCGUCCAUGCAACCCUUUCAACUAUGGACCAUUUAGGAUACUCAUCAUAUAAUACAUAGUCUCACAAACAAGUCACGUACUUGUUGAUACACAUCAUUGAUAAUGUCCAAGGACUAUCUUUAUUCAUAAAUGAAAGCGCAACUUCUCCCUAAGGUGAUUUUUGUAAUUAAUAACAACAUAUGUGUCAUUGAUCUAAUGAUUCCAUCUAGUAUAUUUAAGGAAAAUUUAAAUGAUGCUUUGGCUAAGGAUUGUGAGGAGAACCCCUAGAUGCAAGGAACAUCUAUUGGAAACAAGCUUGAAGACUCUACAUUUUAUAUUUUAUGAGAAAUCACUUUUGAGUCCAUAGGAAAGCCAAUAUUAUUAAAAGGGGAUGAGGUGACUAUGAUGAUCUGGUUGCAUAGCCACCAAAAAUACUCAUGAAAUUCUCCCACAAAUAUUUUGUCAAAAUCCACAAAGUCCAAAAUUCGGUGCGACCAAGUUUUUCCAUUCGUCCCUGUCGAGUUUUACCUUAGAUAGAUCCCAUGCCAAACUAUAGCAUCUCGGUGUCACCAAGUGCCAUUUUGGUGCAACCGAAAUCAGUGCCCCCGGCUCGGGUAACCAACUUCUUAGAAUUGAAAUUUCUGAGUUUUGAGAAUCGGUCUUACCGAGUUGUUGAAACUCACUAGGCUAGCAAAAAUCGGUACCACCGAGAUUCAUAUAUCGGUCUCACCGAAAAGACAAAAGUUGCCACAUUUUGCACUAGUCGUUGCCACCGAGUUUCACUUUGGUUUCACCGAGUUGUGAAAUAAUGUUGUAACGGUUGGAUUUUUGGAGAUGCCUAUAUAUACCCCUCCACCACCUCUCAUUCGCAGAGGAAGCACUCAGAAUGACCCAACACUUGUCAUAUCCAUUUUUCUGAGAGAGACACACCUACUCAUGUGUUGAGAUCAAGAUAUUCUAAUCCUACCAUUUGAAUAUUGAUUUCUAGCCUCACCAAGUUGCUUUCCAUCCAAUCAAUUUCUUCUACCCAAGCCGAAUUUGUGAGAGAGUGAUUGAGUGUUGAAGAGACUAUCUUUUGAAGCAAGAGCAAGGAGUUCAUUGUACUACCGCAUCUAUUACCUUUUGGAGAGUGGUGUCUUCUAGAUUGGUUAGGUAUCGCUUGGGAGCCUCCUACUUCAUGUUGUGGAGUUGAACCAAGAAGUUUGUAAGGGCAAGGAGAUCGCCUAUUUCAUUCUACCCCGAGUGAGGCUAGUCCUUCGUGGACAUAAGUCGUGACGAAAUUGACAAGGUUUCUUCUCCAUGGACCCUUAGUAGAUUAAGCCCUUGGUGGACUCGUGUGGUCGUUACCCUCUAUGGGUCGAACUCUCCAUCAACGUGGACGUGAUGAUAGCACCACCUAUCAGAACCACGCCAAAAAUCGUUGUGUCAAUACUUGUAUUUGAUAUACCUAUCCCUAUCCUCUAUUUACGUGUGCAUGUCUUUACUUUCCGCUUCUAUACUCUUAGACUUGCAGGUGUUGGGUGUGCUUGACUCGCUAAAAUUGCUAAAACUUGGCCACAACUAAAAUUGGGAAAGGAUUAACUUUUUAUUUGGUCAAGUAGUCUAAUAAUGUGACAGCCCGAUGCCGACGUUCCAGAAGAUUCCCCUUUCUUUCCGUUUUCGUCGUGUGUUUAUUUCCUUUUGUCGCGUCAUCAUCGCAUCAUGCGCAUCAUCCGCAUUGCAUCGGCAUUCUGUUGCCGCCAAUUUUCGAAACUUGCAUCCGUUGUUAGUUGCCGGUUCUCGUCGUUGUCCGUUCUGAGCCCGACUGCACUCGCACGCCCCCGCGGAAUCGCUUGAAUCUUGUUUUUAAAAGUGUGCAUAAAACUUUCUCUGAUCGGGGUGAAACUUGACAUGCGGUCGUAAUUAGUUAUAGCUAGGCCAUGUGUCAAGUUUCGUCGCAAUCGGAGUCCGUCUGGUACCCGAACAGUCGACCGUAGCGGCACCGUAUUCGGUCUACCGUCGGAUGGUUAUCGGUGUUUCAAAUCGCGUUGCCGCGCCGACUGUUUCCCUCCCGUCUUCGGAUAACCGCUCUACACAGCCCACUAGUUCCACCUAGCCACUUCCUCCGUUCGUGGUCCUCGGAUCGCGAUCGGACGGACGAGGUCCACCCCACCAGAGACCAACCCUAUAUAAGUAACACCCCCCUAGAGAGAGCCCUCUCACUUCACUAGGGUUUCCCCUAGUCAUUUUUGCAGCCACCCCCCUUAAAAAAUCCACCUGCUAGCCCACACCCUUCAAAUCACGCAGCCCUAAGCUCCUUAGCCUUUCCCAGCCUUCGGAUAUGAGAUCUGGGGCUCAGAUUCGCCCAAAACCCCACCUACCGGACAUGUCCGUGGUCAAAUCGGACAUGUCCGGGCGACCACAGCUCCUCCCGAGCCCUCCCCGAGCAGCUCGCAUCCGGCCGGAGGUCCCCAUCGCCGCAGCCGCUUGUUCUCCCGUGCCGCCGCCCGUACCUCGUCGGUCACGCCUCCGGUCGCCGCUCGCCGGAACCGCCGCCGGAGUUUCCCCGCGCCUCGGACCUCGACAUCUCGCCGGAGCCCCGCGCCAUCCUCUGCCAUGGUCGCCUGCUACAAGGUCGCCAGCCCCGCCGCCUGCGUCCUCUGCCGCCGCGCCAGAUCCAUUUCCCCGGCGCCGCCCCGCCUGCUCGCCACCCUGCCGCCGAGCGGCCGGGCUCCCGCCGCCGCCAGCCCCUGCUCCUCGAUCCAGCGGGAUCGGGAGCGCCGCCAGUUCCUCCUCGCCUGGAACCGACGCAAGCGCAGCGCUUGCAUCUCCCUCGCGUGGGCCGCGCCAGCUGCCUGGGCCCCGAGCAGGCCCAGCUGGCAGCUCCUCCAGGCUGAGGCAGCACCAGCAGCCCCAGGCCCAGCUGGCCCAAGCCAGGCUGUGGCCUCUUCCUAGGUGCACCCAACCGGCCGAAGUGGCGGCCCAAGGUGAGCCUGAGCCACCCCCUCACUCGCGUGCAUUUUUUUAUGUAACACCCAUGGCCUGUAGCCCAUUGACCUUUAGAUUAGGCCCGAUAGAUAUUUUUUCCCCUUUUAGGGAUUUUUCGGAAUAAUAUAAUUCCAGAAAAAUAGACGGUUAUUAAAACGCGCGUAUCUUUUAAACCGUUAGUCGGAUCGGAGCGUGUUGUAUAUGGUUUUCGCGUAGUUUUGCGUGUAGAAUAUGUUGGUGCAACUUGCAUAUUUGUUUGAUGUAGUUUUGCAUGCCGAAUGACUAGAUAUGUGUGCUGUUUAUAUUGUCUUGGUUCCGUGUUAUUUUUUUCUUGCGGUCCGGAUUGCUCGAGUGCCUUAGGUAAAAUGCCCAUGUUUUAGGAACCAUUUUCCCAUGCAUUUUAGAGCGGUCAUUUAUAUUUUUGCGUGUAGGGAAUUGCCUCUAUUUUAUUUUCCCGUAUAUAGGUUAUUUUCCCGCAUUUAUGUGUGGCUUUAUUUUGUGUUGCAACCCCACAUAUUUUAUGUGUUUCCGGGGUAGAAAAAUUCCAUGGAUUUUUCUGUGCAAUUAGUUUUAGCUUUUGAGUAAGUUAGUUCACGUGAUAUUUUGCCGUGAUGCCCUUUUGUUUAAUUCGUAGGAUUUAUUCCGUGCUUCGUUUGAAGGAGUUGUCAACUAGAGAGUUGUUCUUGGGUGUUUAGCCUAGCCCCUGGUAUUUUUGGUUGCAAUAGAAAUGCAUGUUUAGGUGUGUUUUGAUUGCCCUCAAGUUGCUAGAAAUAGUGCUGAUUUUGAGGAGCUGAAAUAUUUCUAAGUCUGGAACUGUUACUUUUUGUUGCUGUUUUGUUUUGCUUCUAUCUUGUGAUCUGUAGCUCUUUUGAGGUUGGUCUAAUGGAGUUAGUUGUACCCCUUGUGUUUUUCUAGCAUGCUGUAAAUUUUCAUGCCAUUUGGACUCCUGUAGCUAUAUGUUUUGCUGCUGUCAAUAUUGCUUCAGAUCGAAAACUGCACUUUCAUGAGGUAUAAUUUUCACUAAGUCUGAAAUAGUGUGUGAGAUGCCAUUUUGUGUCUUCUUUUCCUAGUGCUCCUUGCUGCCAUGCUAGUUGUUGUUAGUUGUUUAUAGUAGUGCGUCUUGCCUUCUAUCGUGCCAUGCCUUGCUUGAGUUUAUCGUAGUUGUAUAGCUCGUAGUUGUGGGGCGUAGAAAAUGCUAUGUGGCUGAUUUUGGCAAAUUGUAGUGAUUUCUUGUUUUGCUCAUAGUUGUUGAUCCGUAGCUCCGAUUUGAUCGUGUCCUACAUGAAACUUGCUUAGAAUCUCAUGUAGUUUCAUUAUCUCUUUCUGGUUGUAUGAUUUGAAGUGCUAGUGACCGUCGUUGCACACAUAUUGCAUUCAUGUCAUCAUAUCUUGCGGUGUCCGUAUCUUUUGAUCCGUAGCUCCGUUGGAGAUGUUCUUUAUGUGUAGAUUGCUUGAAAUGACGCGUAGAAUCACGUGAACCUAUUUGUUUUGCUUUUUAACAACCAAUUAAAUGUGUUAGUUCAGAUCUGGACAGAAUUGUAAAUUAACAUGUGAGGUCGUUUCGGAGGUGCUAUAUGUCAUUUCCGACCUCAUUUAAAAUGCCUAGAUAGGUAGUUUAAUUGUGCUUCACCUCUUGCCAUGUUUAACCACAUUUAAUAUUGUCGUGUAUCUAAUCGGGAUAGAACUAAAUAAAUAAACGUGGAGUUUCGUCAAUAUGCAACUCGUUGCAUAUUGAACUUCACUUAAUGUGUAGUGUUUGAUUGUGUGAAUUGUCAUGCCGUGACUUGAAUGUAUUCAGCUGUUCAUGCAUCAUUUGUGUUGUGCAUCGUGCGGUGAAUUCCGUGUGUUGAUCUGUGUUUCCGGUUUGCUUCGUCUCGAUAGAGUUCCGCAAGCGUGUCGGAUGUGAGGACCCGUUCGACUACGUCGGUUCGUCUGCUUCACGGAUGCAUUCUUCUUCCAAGCGGGAUCUCAGGCAAGAUGACCAUUUCCCCAGAUACCAUUACUAUCAUUGCCAUGCUAGUUUAUCGCUUCUAUCGUUUAUGUCUCGUUGCCUACCACAUGUUAAAUAUCAGAAUCUCAACAAUGCCAUGAAUACCUUCAACCUAUUCGACCUAGCAAACCACUGAUUGGCUAUGUUACUGCUUGCUUAAACCCCAUUGAUAGCGUUGCUAGUUGCAGGUGCAGUUGCUUCCAUGUGAUAACAUGGGUUCCUUGUUAUAUCACCAUAUUUAAAUGCUAUUUAAUUUAAUGCACCUACAUACUUGGUAAAAGGUGGAAGGCUCGGCCCUUUUCUAGCCUGGUGUUUUGUUCCACCUUUGCCCCCUUAGUUUCCGGCUACCGGUGUUAUGUUCCAUAAAUGAGCGCUCCUAACACGAUCGGGGUUGUUAUGGGGACCCCCUUGAUAAUUCGUUUUAGAUUAAGGCUGGUCUGGCAAGGCCCAACAUUGGUACUACAUUUGCCUAAUCACCUAAUAAAAUUGCAUAGGGACUUUCCGGACCCUGAGGAUAAUUUAAUCAACCCCCGGGCCAGUGCUCCGCAUGAGUGUUGGUCCACCCACCUAGCAGUCGGCGGUGCCACCUCGGGGCAACUCGAGGUUUGGCUACCGUCCACUUUGCAUAGACGGUGUGUCCUGAGAACGAGAUACGCGGCUCCUAUCGGGUUCGUCAACACACCGGGUGGCCUUGCUGGAUUAGUUUUACCUUUGACGAGAUAUCUUGUGCAUCGGGAUUCCGGUGAUGCUUUGGGUAAUCUCAGAGUUCAGGUUUUCCACUAGGGAAUCCGAUGAGAUCGCGAGCUUCGUGAUUGAGGAUUUCUAUGCGGCUUGUGGUAAUUUGUGAUGGACUAGUUGGAGCACCCAUGCAGGGUUAAAUCUUUCGGAAAGCCGUUCCCGCGGUUAUGUGGCAACGUGGAAGCUUUGUUUAACACUGGUUCUAGAUAACUUGAAGUUAACUUAAUUAAAACUUGCCAACUGUGUGCGCAACCGUGACUGUCUCUUUCAUGAGUUCCUUCUCCGAUCGAGGACACGGUGGGGUUAUGUCUGACGUAGGUAGGUGUUCAGGAUCAUUCAUUUGAUCAUCCGUAGUUUCCGUCCGCUAUGUGUAGAUCUUCCCCCUCUUAUUUCUUUUACUCGUAAGUUUAGCCACCAAAUAUGUGCUUAGCCGCUGCUGCAACCUCACCACUUAACCAUACCUCACCCAUUAAGCUUUGCUAGUCUUGAUACCUUUGGAAAUGAGAUUGCUGAGUCCCCUAUGGCUCACAGAUUACUACAACACCAGUUACAGGUACAGGUAAAGGUUACUUGACGCGAGCACGUUGAUUGUUCAUUUGGAGUUGCCUCUUCUUCUUCUUCAUCAUCGAUCUAGGAUGGGUUCCACGCCGGCAGCCUGGGAUAGCAAGGAUGGACGUCGUUCUUCUUUUGUCGUUUGUUUUCGUCCGUAGUCAGACCCUGCUCUUACUCUUGAUGAUCAUGUAAUGUACUGAUGUGACUCUGAUGUAGCUUGUGGCGAGUGUAAGCCAAUUCUAUAUAUCUCUUCUUUUCAGUACAUGUACUUGUAACGAUAUCCAUUCUUGCGACACGACGAGAUGCGCUUCUAUCCCUGACGAGUCCCUCGUGCCAAAUUGAGGAUAGGGUCGCAUCUUGGGCGUGACAAAUAACCCCCCCCCCUCUAGACAUAUAUACUUCGGAUCAUACAAUAAACAUAUAGGAAAUAUCAUCAUACAUGAUUGCCUCUAGGGCAUAUCUCCAACAUGGAGGCACAACCCGACAAACGUUGAUGGUGGACUACCAGCACCUUGCCCAAAUUAGGAGCCACGAGGGCAACCAUGAGAGAAAAAAGCCUUGUUUGGCGCAGGCCCAACGACGACGAGCUAGGACAGGCAGAGGCCUCCAGGCCCGGCCUAUGGUCAAUAGCGGUUGAGAAUGGAGACCGUGACCAAGCCAUCCCGCACCCCCUCUGGGCAUACCCCCACGGCUCAGAUAUGGAGCAAGCACUGUUAUUACCCCGACACCACAGACGGCUGGGCAUGAAGAUGAAGGGGCCCACCCAUCCUACGUCGGCAACCUGCUGCGAGAGAGGCCAGGAAGGUGCAUCGUCAUGUGGCCAGAUCUGGGGCAUCGUGUCGGCGAUCCACAACAUGAGCGGACUAGGGUGAGGGGGGAGAAGAAGUGGAGGGGACGCCAUGUCGCUGCCAGCUGCCCGCAUUCAUGCCGAUGUAGAGCGACCGCUCCACAUUGAAGACGAGCCAAAGCAGACACGAACUCCCACUCGCUCCGCCAUUGAAGCGGCACAUCACCCGAGGGCCCCAUUCGCAACGCAAGGUGAGAGACGAAGUUUGACAGGUGGGUCCCACCUGCCAACAAGUGAACUACAAAUAAAGCGAGGGGCUGAGACUAUGCACGGGGGCUAGGCCUCUGAUGGGUUCUAACAGAGAGAGAGAGAGAGAGAGGGGGAGAGAAGGGUUGGACGAACUAUUCUCGCCUAGUUAGGUCAGGGCUUCUCUGGUUUUUCAUUCCACUCCUUUUUUAAUUCCUAAAUCAAAAAAAGGAUUUGGUUAAACAUCAAAACUUUCCUAAAGGCCUAAUAAAUCUACAAAAUAAUUGUUUGGGGCCAAGGAAAUUAUUUACCAGCCCAAAGUAAAUUUUAUAAAUGAUUUUUUGUAAAUAGCUCAUUUAGGCAUUUAUAAAUUCCCUAAUAUUAGUUCUAGAGCUUUAUAAUAUCAAAAUGGUCUUGAAAAUACUCCAAAUGCAAAGAGGUCUAUUUAAUUAAUUCCACUUUUAUUUUGGAAAUUCAUAUUGUCUCCACUCCUUUCUUUUUAUUGAACAUUAGACAUUAUUUCAAAUAGUCUCCAAACUCAGCAUGUCUCCAAAUUCAAAUAAAACUCCAAACACUACAGGAAUCAGCUUCUUUACGUUUGCAAAUGGGCCACUCCACGGACAGCAAAGCCCUUUGUCGUUCACCGGCGGUCGACAAAACUUCUAUGACUCCUUGCGCCGGUAAAGGGCCUUCUUUGCCGUCUGCCGGUAGGCAACGGACGGCAAAGGCCUUUGCCAUCUAUGUAUCAUGACAAGCAGACGACAAAUUAUUUGGACGACAGCUCCACGUACCUACUCUAUUAGGUGGCUAACAGAGUAUUUGCCAUCUGAGAGGGUCACCCAUGUGCCGUCUGCGAGGGGUCACACCUUUACCGUCUAUGUGGCACCCCUCCUUUGUCAUCUGCCUGGCGCCCCCCUUGCCGUCUGCCUGGGUCACUCCUUUGCCGUCUACUAGGUGACCCCCCUUUACUGUCUUCCAUCUGCCAGGUGACCCAGAGGUGCCCCUCCUUUGUCGUUUGUUGUCUGCCAGGUGACCCCCUUUGCCGUCUGCAACGGAUGGCAAAGUGACCAUAUGGUCCAACCGGUUGCCCCAGGUUGCACACAUGGGUGACACAUGGCUCCUUUGUCGUCCGCUACCCGAUGGCAACGCCCUUUGACGUUCGUUGGUAGAUGGCAAAACACCAGCACUGCCAUUGUUUUGUUUCAUUUUAGUGAUUUCCCUGCAUUUUAAAAAUACACGUAUGAUAUAUAUAUAUAAUUUCUAACACCCACAUAUAGUUUCAAAAUACACAUAUCAUAUAAGCAACAUAUAGGGCAUGUAUCGAACAUCAUAUAAGAGCAACACAACAAAUAGGCUACGUUCCAAUACAUACACAUAGUUUCAAUCAUCAUACAUACACAUACUUAUCGUAUCUCCAUAGAUACACAUAGUUUCACACUGUUUAUCAAUACAAAUCGAAACAGAAAGUAAAUAGUAGCAGUCCAUCAAUGCUGGCUUCCAUGAAUGCCAGCUUCCAUGAAGUGAAUCAAAUCUGCAAAAUGAAAACAAGAAAGUUAGAGGAAGAAGAAGAAGAANAAGAAGAAGAAGAAGAAACUAGAAGAAGAAGAAGANNAAGAAGAAGAAGAAGAAAAAGAAAACUAGAAGAAUAAGAACAAGAAGAAAACUAAAACAACAACAACAAGAAGAAGAAAACUAGAAGAAGAAGAAGACUAGAAGAAGGAGAAAAACAAGAAGAAGGAGAAGGAGAAGGAGAAGAUGAUUAUUUAUCUUAUUUUGAGCUUAUUAUGUUAUUUUGGAGGGAGAUACGCUAAGUUAUGAGAUAACCGUGGUUCUUGUGCUAUUUUUGCCUUAACUAAGCUAAUUAUGUUAUAAAUGAACUAAAUAAGCUAAUUAUGUCAUUUUGGAGGAUAAUUAGCGAAGUAUGUCAUUUUGGAGAAUAAAACUACAAGAAGAAGAAGGAGGAGAAGAACAAGACUAGAAGAAGAAGAAGAAGAAGAAGAAGAAGAAGGAGAUGAAGGAGAAGAAGGAGGAGGAGGAGGAGAAGAAGGAGAAGAAGGAGGAGAAGGAUAAGAAGGAUGCGAGAAAGAAGAAGAAGGAGAAGAUGAUUACUUAUCUUAUUUUGAGCUUAUUAUGUUAUUUUGGAGGGAGAUACGCUAAGUUAUGAGCUAACCAAGGUUCUGGUGCUAUUUUUGACCUAACUAAGCGAAUUAUAUCAUAAAUGAACUAAAUAAGCUAAGUAUGUCGUUUUGGAGGAUAAUUAGCUAAGUAUGUCAUUUUGGAGAAUAAAACUAGAAGAAGAAGAAGAAGAUCAAGACUAGAAGAAGAAGGAGGAGGAGGAGGAGGAGGAGGAGGAGAAGGAGAAGGAGAAGAAGGAGGAGAAGGAGAAUAAAGUUGAGAAAAAGAAGGAGCAGAACAAGGAGAAGAUGAUUACUUAUCUCAUUUUGAGAUUAUUAUGACAUUUUGGAGGGGGGUACGCUAAGCUAUGGGAUAACCAAGGUUCUUGUGCUAUUUUUGACCUAACUAAGCUAAUUAUGUCAUAAAUGAACUAAAUAAGCUAAGUAUGUCAUUUUGGAGGAUAAUUAGCUAAGUAUGUCAUUUUUGGAGAAUAAAACGAGAAGAAGGAGAAGAACAAGACUAGAAGAAGAAGAAGAAGAAGAAGAAGGUGAAGAUGAUUACUUAUCUUAUUUUGAGCUUAUUAUGUCAUUUUGGAGGAGGAUACGCUUAGUUAUGAGCUAACCAAGGUUCUUGUGCUAUUUUUGACCUAACUAAGCUAAUUAUGUCAUUUUGGAGGAUAAUUAUCUAAGUAUGUCAUUUUGGAGGAUAAUUAGCUAAGUAUGUCAUUUUGGAGAAUAAAACUAGAAGAAGAAGAAGACUACAAGAAGAAGGAGAAAAAGAAGAAGGAGAAGAAGAAAGUGAACAUGAUUGCUUAUCUUAUUUUGAGCUUAUUAUGUCAUUUUGGAGGAAGAUGCGCUACGUUAUGAGCUAACCAAGGUUCUUGUGCUAUUUUUGACCUAACUAAGCUAAUUACGUCAUUUUGGAGGAUAAUUAUCUAAGUAUGUCAUUUUGGAGGGUAAUUAGCUAAUUAUGUCAUUUUGGAGAAUAAAACUAGAAUAAGAAGGAGAAGGAGAAGAAGAAGACUAGAAGAAGGAGAAAAAGAAGAAGAAGGAGAAGAAGAAGAAGAAGAAGGUGAAGAUGACUACUGUCGUGGUUUUGUCACGGCAGAUGUCCUCGUGAAAGGACUUAGUACGGGAGCCAUCGCACCUUGGUGGCGACUCAAAAGGGGUUAAACGGGAGGAACACGGCGGUUUACCCAGGUUCGGCCCCUCGAGAGGAGGUAAUAGCCUACGUCCUGCUUUGUGCGUAUUGAUGUGGAUUCGAUUACAAGGGAGGCGUAACUCGCCUAACCUAGCGCUCGAUGAUUUUCUAACCCCCCCAAUCCUCCUUCAGACUCGCCUUUAUAUAUAGGUCGAGCUUUAGGGUUUACAAGAGUCCCUUCAUCCUUACAAACCGUGACCACCGUAUUCUCUAAGUCGCCGUUCUGCAGAACUCAGAGAUCUUCCAUAAAUCAUAACCGUCACGCGGCCUUGAACCGCCCAGGCUGAAGCCCAAGUAUCCCAAAGGAUGAAUCGCCUUACUAGUAACCCGGCCCAUCUUGGGCGGGUCACUUAAUAAGCAAUAUCCCCAACAACUACUUAUCUUAUUUAGAGCUUAUUAUGUCAUUUUGGAGGAAGAUACGCUAAGUUAUGAGCUAAGAAGGUUCUUGUGCUAUUUUUGACCUAACUAAGCUAAUUAUGUCAUUUUGGAGGAUAAUUAGUUAAGUAUGUCAUUUGGGAGGAUAAUUAGCUAAGUAUGUCAUUUUGGAGAAUAAAACUAGAAGAAGAAGAAGAUUAUGUCAUAUUGGAGAAAAUAAGCUAAGUAUGCCGGAGAACACUAGGGAAAACUUACCGUCGUCGUCAUCAAGGAUGUGAAUCAUGGGGGUUGCUAGGGGCGGGUUCACUUGGAGAAGGUUGCCCUAGAGAAGGGUUGUGCGAUGCGGCUCGGGAGUUAUUAUGCACCAAAGAUAUUUUGCAAUGUCUCGUUGGCAUGAUGACAGUCAAAUGUUAAUACUACUAACUAAUGGCCAUUGAAAUGAAACUCACCCUUCCAACCCCAGAAAUAUCCGGCAUCGGCGGAGGGGUCUGACAGUUCUGGAGGCACAUAGACUGCACAUUUAUUUUUGAAGGGUUAGUCAUAUCAGUUAGUAAUGAAACGAACAUUACAUGCAUGAUUUGGCUAAUGUGAACAAGAAACUUACCACAAGGAGAUCGUACAUGGUCCGGUUAGCCGCCUUAUUUCGUGCCCUCUUCUCCUCCAAGAACCAAGUCGUGUUCUCCUUCGUGGCUCGGUCCCUCUCCUCCAGAAGCACCUGGGUUGGCGCUCUCUCUUUCUAAAGAGUAGCCUGCAACACUACUCCUCAUUAGCAUUGUAUCAUCGAUGGCCACACACACAAUGUAAUGGAUGAAAGGUUUUUGAGUCCGUAUAACUAACCUCGAUGGCAAGAUCGACUGGCGUGGACGAGGCCUUAUCCCAGGACAGGAGCUCGUCUGGCGCGCCUUGAUCUCCGGGAGAGUGAGAGGACAACAUAUCAGCCCAUCUCACAUGGCUAUCGAGCCAUAGGGCCUCCCGCCACCAAAUAUCAUCACGAGCUCUUGAUCCAAAGGUUCUUGGCUUGGGUUAAAGUCCUCCCCUCUCCUAUUAUUCCCCUCGUCGUUGUAUAUGACGAGCUUGUUGUGGGGGGAGAUGUUGGUGAACUUCUCUGGAUGAUCAAGGUCAGACUCAGAGAAUGCCUUUGCCUUCUUGUAGGAGGCAGUAUGGGCCAUGCCAUAGAGGUCGUACAACUCUCGCACCUCCAUCUUAUUGUGAUGCGCCUAAAAGAGAGGAACAAAGUAUUAGUAAAGGGCUCAAGCUAGCAUGAAGAAUGAAUUGCAUGAAUUAUGAAGAAAACCACAUACCCAGUUCCGUCGAGACUGAAAUAAGUUGGGGCUGCCUUGAUGGUGUGGCACACCAACCAUUUGGCCACGCCGGUCCUUCACAUUGUCAUGGACGGCUCGCCAUUGGCCUAUGCACCAGUCAUCCACCAACGCCUCCCAACAAUCCAUUUGAUCUACACACCAUCUCGGGGGCACCUAUAAGUUAGUAAGGAGAAAUUUGAGUGCUAUGCCUAUGAAUUAAAUUAAGAAUAGGUAACUAACUUCAUGUACUACUCCUUCUUCACAUACUUUCCGCGGCACAACUUCGUGUCCUUCUUAAUACCACACAUGGCGUAGUAGUCUCGAACAGCCUGCGGUCGAGCCAUGUGGCAUAAGUUCUGGAAUAGCCGCUUGCACUCGACCUCGAUAACAUUGGUCGCGGCCUCUGCUUAUCCCUCCUCACACCUGUAGAAGGUCUCCAAUCAAAUGAGACAACACUGAUUAGUACAAUAACUAGCUAUAUUGUUAACUUUAGUUGUGUAAAACGAGAAAUUACCCAAAAUCUGUUGAUCACCAUCUCGGCCCUUGUAUGGCACAAGACACCAUCGAUAAUCUCCUCUGGCGGGGCCUGGGCAGCCUUGUAGUGCUACCACCUCAAUCCUAGUGUAGGAAGCUCACCCUCACCGGGCAACGUGACAAACCCCGAGAAAUUUUCCCCGCAAAGCACACCAAGGACGGUGUUCUCCUUGUGGACCCCAAGGGGGUGACUCCAACCCCUGCAGUAUGACAAGGUCAACACAUUAGAUAUUUGAAGAAACUUGAAGGCAAAAGGUACAAAAGGAGUAAAUGCACUUACUUCUCCCCUUCAGGCCUAAUCAUCGGCCUCUGCUCACGGGUCGCCGGCAUGACCGAGAGAUGUGUACUACCACGCUGGUACACGGUGAACCCCUCAACCACCUUGCCCUCACUAUCAGUAAACUCAUCACCGACCUCCCUGCCACCAUCAGAAUGGCCACUCGGCCCCUCGGUCUGAGACGGCCAGGUAUCCCAUCCGAACGUCUCUGUGUUGGCUGAAGCCUCUAGGGUGUGAUCCUCCUGGGACGUAGCCCCUGGUACAAGAGUCUCCUGGGUCAAAGCCUCAGGAACGGGAGUCUCAUGGGUCGAAUGCCCUUCGACCCAAGGCUCCUAGACUAAAGUCCCCGUAGCCUCCACCUCAAAUGGGUCCACCAUAGUAGUCAUGUGCUCAUCUGAAUUAGCUGGGGGUGGCGAGGAGGGCAUAGCAGUCCGCCUACCUCUCCCAUGGCCACGUCAUGUACCCUUUACCUUCUUCCCUUUCUGACCUCCUCUCCCGGUGGGCAACGACACCGACGAGGAAGCACCCCUGGGUGUCCCCACACUAUCUGAGAAGACUCUAUGGAGAGAAUGGGGUGGAAUGGAAGUACCACUCGUGCGGGCCGCCGAGCGAUGUGGACUCGUGCCCACCAUCUUUCAACACCUGCCAUGCUAAAGAGUAAAAUAAAUUAGUACAACAUAAAAAUUGAAUACCUGACGUGAAUAAUAAUAUGUAUACAUAUAUAAUUUAAGUUGGGAUGCAUACAAACUAAUAGUAGUCUGGAUCAACAAAUGCAUCAUCAUCAUCACUAUCACGCGUGUCUUCAUGAAUGACAUGCUCAUCGGGUUCACCGACAUCAACUUGUGGAAGGCCUUUAUGUAAUCGGUCAAGCAUUGACAGGUCAUCUGCAGCAGUAACCUCUUCUAGUUCUGGCUCUGCUAGUUCUGGCUCAGGGGUGAAGUCAGAUUCACUAUCGCUGUCUACUUCCAUGUUCUGGGGUGAAGUACAACGGUUCUUGAAACGUUUCUUUGAAAUACGUGUUUCUUGGAAGAAUUCUCCGUCAUAUGUGUGUGGGUUAAUAUGAGGUUCAUAAUUGUCGGGGGAAUAACCCCGGGGUAGGCUCAUCGAGCCUGUUCCUUCAUUUCCGGCCCAAUGGGCAUGAAGGCGCGGAGAUUCUCAAGGCCCAAGUCUUCUAACCGGCUAGGCAUCUCCUGCCGGCUGGAAAACGAGGCGGCCACCUUUCUUGGUCGGCCAGGCAACCCCUGCCGGCUAUAAUCCAGGCGGCCUCCCAUUCAGACCCUGCCCGGUCCCGCCAGCCGGACUAAGGAGGAGGUGGCCACCCUCAAGCCGGUUGACCAAGCAGGCUAGCCGGCCGAGGAUCACCAGUCACAUCAGAUCGUAGGUCAGGAAAGAACUUCACAAUUAAAGGUAGCUACGCGUCAGCAAAGGUACUGAAUCAGGGCGCCCGACACGUACGAGCGUCGGCGGCCACGCCGCUGACCUACCCCGGCUCUGAUCCAUCACCUAGCAUGAUGUCGGACCGUCACACUCCCACUCCAUUACUGCACUCGGCGUGGGGAACAGUGGAGGCGGUCGUACUGCCUGCCCAUGAAGAAUCUCGCGGGGCGACGCUCGAUGUACAGCGCGUGCUCAGCGUCAACCUUACGCGAGAGCCCCAUUGGCCAGUCGGUGGGUCCCACCAGCAAUCGAGACCAUGCAGCCGGCGGGCCCCUCAUCGACAAGACAAGACCCUUAUGGGCCCCUCAUCGACAAGACAAGACCCUUGUGGGCCCCUGGCCAGCCGGCGAAGCAGCCAGCCGGGUCCCACGCAUGUACCCUUGAUUCGUCUAUAAAACCCCUCGGCCGCCCCCCAUGCCAGGGGGCCGAUCACUUGCCAGUCAUUCAGCACUACACACUCACCAACCAAUAGAGAGCAAGGGAGAUCGAGUCGGCUGCUCCCCUCUUCCUCCUCCCAACACAGCUUCAGGAGCAACAUUGUACUAUGUUCCCAUACAUCAAACACACCAGCAGGAUUAGGGGUAUUAUCUCUACGGAGAGCCCUGAACCUGGGUACAUCGUGCAUCCCAUGCGUGUACCAANNNNNNNNNNNNNNNNNNNNNNNNNNNNNNNNNNNNNNNNNNNNNNNNNNNNNNNNNNNNNNNNNNNNNNNNNNNNNNNNNNNNNNNNNNNNNNNNNNNNNNNNNNNNNNNNNNNNNNNNNNNNNNNNNNNNNNNNNNNNNNNNNNNNNNNNNNNNNNNNNNNNNNNNNNNNNNNNNNNNNNNNNNNNNNNNNNNNNNNNNNNNNNNNNNNNNNNNNNNNNNNNNNNNNNNNNNNNNNNNNNNNNNNNNNNNNNNNNNNNNNNNNNNNNNNNNNNNNNNNNNNNNNNNNNNNNNNNNNNNNNNNNNNNUCCCAUGCGUGUACCAACCUCGUUCCCAGCGCCCACCUUUGUCCCUUCGGUUCUCACCGACUUUAGCCUACCUAUGGCAUAUGUUGUGAGUAUUCACCGACAUUUGGCGCCCACCGUGGGGCCGAUCGCGGCAUCGGCUGGCUUCACGCGUUGGGCGGGGCCCCACACCUACACCACCGGAUGCAUCGCGUCCGGAUCAGUCUGCAUGCCCGUGGAGCUCGCUUUUGACGAGGCGACGCCCAUGAUGAUUGACGUCCCCGUCCGUCAUGCGGAUUCGGACGAAGAUUCUGAUGACGAGGCGCUCCCUAGCGUCGUCGUCGCUGCUAUGGAGAACCUCAGCGUUCUCUUCAGCGACCUUCGCCUCAACGACGGCCCGCGCUACUUCGGCGAGGACUACGACGUUGAGGCGCUCUGCGCCAGCUUCAACAGGCUCUCUAUCGCUGAGAUGCCUGCCCACGACGUUUACCCCAGUAACAUCCUCAUCUUUGACGGCCCUCCGCUGUCGGUAGGGUUCUUCACCCCAUACCACGUUGUUGCCAUCUCCAACACCGUGGAGGUGAUGGUUAUCGGCGCUGGCACCAGCACGGCUCCCGGCAAGGCCUCCGCAGGCGCCGACGAACCCGCUGCGGCCGCCGCUGAUACCCUUCGGGACACCAUCGCCAGCCUGAAGACACCGGUCACCGCUUCCGCCGAUCCUGCAGACGCUCGGGCCUCACUAGAGGAGGCUCGCAAGCAUAUCUUGGAGGAGGGCAUCGCCGUGGCCUCGGCGAAACGUCGGUUGGAGGCUACACAUCAUGAGUAUAACUCUGCGUACGGUCUUAAUCCGAUUUCCAAGGCCCCCAGCCGGCUUGGAUCGGUCCGCAGCCGCGGACGGUUCGUCGCCGAGGUUCUAGGCGGGGACCUGCCCACCUACGAGACUCCCGCGGCGAACAUGCGGGCAGCGCAGGCGGCCAUGGAGGAGAUGGCAAGCCUGGAAGGCGAGGAGCGCGCCUUCCAUGAGAAGCGUGUCAAGGAUCUCCUUGACGCUGCUAACCAGCAGCAUGCUCGGUUCGACCCCGGCCAGGCUGAUUCAGAGUCCCCGGGACCGAACUCGGGAGCUCGCCGCAACCCUAGAGGCCAGCACCACGCCGAAGGAUCUUCCUCGCAUCGCCUUCCGGCUGGAGAGGCGAGGGAAGCCAAGGCCGGCGCUCGCAGCACCAGAGCGAGCACACUUCGGGCUUACGACGCGGAGGCGACGAGGUCGACUCGGAGUACGGGGAUCUUCCCCCGCGAAGAACUCACGCCUCUGGCUCCCGAGGAGCCAACCCUCUCGCCACCGGGGCUGGCGCCCCCGCCUCCGAAGACGAGCGGGACGCCCGCCGGUGUAUCAUCGCCCUGGCCCAUUCGGCCCUCCUAGAGGAAGAUGGACCCGUCGGUCCAGCUUGCUUCGGCCCUCGGAUCCGAGGGGAGCCGUUCCCCCGAGGUUUCACCCUGCCUCGGGAUACGCUGAAAUACAACGGCACGGCCAAGCCAGAAGACUGGCUGAUCGACUACACCACGGCCGUAGGCAUCGCCAGGGGCAACAAGCGCGUAGCGGUUCGCUACGUGCCACUCAUGCUGGCCGGCUCGGCCCGGACCUGGCUUAACAGCCUCCCGGCCGGCAGCGUCAACUCCUGGGUGGACUUCGAGGAGGCGUUCGUCCGCAACUUCACCGGCACCUACAAGCGCCCUGGCCGGCCCCGCGAGCUGGCCAUGUGUGUCCAGAAGGCCGACGAACCCCUCCGCGACUACGUCACCCGGUGGACUGAGCUUCGCAACUCCUAUGAGGGGGUGCAUGAGGUACAAGCCAUCCAGUACUUCAUCGACGGAUGCCGAGAUGGCACCCUACUCAAGCACAAGCUCAUGUGCGCCGAGCCCACCUCUUUGGCGGUGCUCAUGGCCAAGGCGGACAAGUACGCCACGGCCGACUCUGAAAUGCGCAUCAAGGUGACCGCCUUGGACAAGGUUGUGCCUGCGCCGGCUACUCCCAAGCCGGCUGGGGACAACCGAGGCGGCCAGAACAACGACAAGCGCAAGGCGGAUCAGAUGGUUCCCCGCUCCAACAACAAGCUAGUGGCCAACGUGGAGGGCGAGGCCCCGGCUUCCCAAGCCGGCACUCCACGAAAGCGACGCAAUCAGGGCAACCCCAACUGGCUUCCCAAGCAGUCUCUCGAGCAGCUGCUCGACGACCCCUGCAAGAUACAUUCGGGGGCGACGCCGUCUACCCAUACCCUUCGACAGUGCAACAUCGCACAUCGGCUGUCGCAAGGGGAGGGCCUGCCGGCUCUUCCGGGUGCGCAGGCGGCGCCCCGUGCACCGGCUCCCCAUCACGCUCUGCUUCCGCCGCCGCCGCCUCGCGACGAUGGCCCACACCCUGACGACUAUCCACAUAAAGACGGAGCAUUCGUCGUCUUCACCAGCGAAGGUGACGACAAGCACAGCCUGCGCCAAAGGCGGCGCGAGGUGAACGCCACUGUUCCCCCGGUUCCCCAGUACAUGCAUUGGUCUGACAAACCAAUCACAUGGAGCCGGGCGGACCAUCCUGCGGUGAUGCCCAACCCGGGGUCAUACACACUCGUCCUCGACCCCACCUUGGCCUCCAAAAGGCUCACCUGCCGAUUCUCCCGGGUGCUGGUCGAUGGCGGCAGCAGCAUCAACAUCUACUACCUCGACACUCUCCGCAAGCUCGGGCUCAAGGAGACGGACAUCCUGCCAACCAGCACUGUCUUCCAUGGCAUCGUGCGUGGGUAGUCAUGCUCGCCCAUCGGCAAGAUCCAGCUGGACGUCCUCUUCGGCGACAAGGCCCACUUCCGCCGAGAGUCCAUAUGGCUCGAGGUGGUGGACCUCAGUAGCCCGUACCACGCGCAGCUGGGGAGACCGGCUCUGGCCAAGUUCAUGGCUAUUCCGCACUACGCCUACCUGAAGAUGAAGAUGCCGGGUCCCAAGGGCAUCAUCACUGUAGUUGGCGACUACAAGAAGUCGCUCGAGUGCACCCAAGAUAGCAGCCACCUCGCCGACGCCUUGGUGAUUGCUGAGGAGAAGCGGCAGAUUGACCGGCUCGUGGCCCAGGCUACCGAGCAGCCGGCGAUUCCUUCUCCUCCGUCCCAAUCGACCGGCGAGGGCUCUUUCAAGCCGGCUAAAGAGACCAAGCAGGUCCCACUCGACCCUGCCAACCCAAAGCAGUGCAUCACCAUCGGGGCUAGCCUCAGCCCCAAAUAGGAAGGCGAGCUCGUCGACUUCCUCCGUGAGAAUCGGGACAUCUUUGCAUGGUCCCCCAAGGACAUGCGUGGUGUUCCGAGGAAGUACGUCGAGCACAAACUUCACGUGCGACCGGAUGCAAAGCCGGUGAAACAACCUUUGCGCCGCUUCGCCGAGGGGAAGCGGCGCACAAUCAGAGAAGAGAUCACCCGGCUCCUUGCAGCCGGCUUCAUCAUGGAGGUUUUCCACGCGGACUGGCUGGCGAACCCAGUCCUGGUGCUGAAGAAGAACAACACCUGGCGAAUGUGUAUCGACCACACUAGCCUGAAUAAGGCAUGUCCGAAAGACCCUUUCGUGUUGCCUAGGAUAGAUCAAGUGAUCGACUCCACUGCAGGCUACGAACUGCUGUCAUUUCUGGAUGCUUAUUCGGGCUACCAUCAAAUCAAGCUGGAUCCAGCUGAUCGCCUGAAGACCUCCUUCAUCACGCCCUUCGGGGCCUACUGCUACACCACCAUGACGUUCGGUCUGAAGAACGCAGGUGUGACGUUCCAACGCUGCAUUCAGCAGUGCCUGCUGCCACAGAUUGGCAGAAACAUCCACGUCUAUGUGGAUGACAUCGUCGUCAAGACGAGCAGCACUUCAGCCUCCUCGACGACCUGCGGGAGACAUUCGCCAAUCUGCGCGAAUUAAAGAUCCGUCUCAACCCUGAGAAGUGCGUCUUCGGGGUCCCAGGCGGCAAACUCUUGGGGUUCUUCGUAUCCACCCGCGGCAUCGAUGCGAACCCUGAGAAGAUCAGCACCAUCGAGCAGAUGGUGCGGCCGGCUCGGAUCCUCGACGUCCAGAAGUUCGCUGGCUGCUUGGCGUCCCUCAGCCGGUUCGUCAGCCGGCUUGGCGAGACGGCCCUUCCACUCUACCAGCUCAUGAAGAAGACGACGAAGUUCGAGUGGAACGACCAGGCGGACGAAGACUUCCGCGACCUCAAGCGGUUAAUCUCAAGCCUACCAAUCUUGGCAGCCCCAUCUGAAAGGGAACCCAUACUCAUAUACAUCGCGGCGACCCCUCGCGUGGUCAGUGUACUGUUGGUAGUUCAGCGCAAAGAGGAGGGCAAGGCCCUGCCAGUACAGCGCCCUGUCUACUACCUUAGCGAGUUCUUGUCCGCCUCUAAGCAGAACUACCCUCAUUAUGAGAAAAUGUGUUAUGGCGUUUACCUUGCUGCAAAGAAAUUAAAACAAUACUUCCAAGAGCAUGCCAUCACUGUGGUGAGCACUGCUCCUCUCUCAGAGAUCAUGGGAAACCGUGAUGCCUCGGGCAGAAUUGCCAAAUGGUCCAUCGCCAUGGCACACCAUGAUAUUCGGUACGAGCCUCGCACCGCCAUCAAAUCACAGGUGGUGGAUGACUUCUUAGUCGACUGGGCCGAGACCCAGUUCGAGCCACCGCCUCCAGACUCCACGCAUCGGCGGAUGCACUUCGACGGCUCGAAGAUGCGGACAGGGCUGGGAGCCGGCAUUAUCUUGACGUCUCCGAAAGGGGACCAGCUCAAGUACGCUCUCGAUAUCCAUUUCACCGCCUCCAACAAUGUCGCCGAGUACGAAGCGCUGGCUCACGGCCUCCGGCUUGCCAAGGAGAUCGGCAUCCGGCGGCUCAUAUGCUUCGGCAAUUCAGACUUGAUGGUGCAGCAGGUUUCUGGCGAAUGGGACGCCAGGGACGCCAACAUGACGAUCUACCGCUUCCUCAUCCAGCAGCUCAGCGGCCACUUCGAGGGUUGUGAGUUCCACCAUGUUCCCAGGGCGGAAAAUGAGGCGGCCGAUACGCUGGCAAAGAUCGGCUCCACAAGGCAGGCCAUCCCAGCCGGCGUCUCCCUCGAGCAACUCCACAAGCCGUCUAUCAAGUCGUCUCCUGGGUCGGCAUCAAUCUUCGUACCGGCCGACUCUACGAUACAAGCGCCGCCGGCUCCGCCAGUUAUGCCGGCUGUGGACCCCACGCCGGCUGCACUGACGGCACCGGCUCCAAAUACGGCACCGACUGAGUCUACGGUGCAAGCGCCAUCGGCUCCACCAACUACGCCGGGUUCGGAUCCUGAUCCGGCUCCAUUGGUCCACCCGACUCCAACCACGGCACCAGCUACAAAAACAACCCCGGCUCUGCCCGGGCUCGAAUCCUCCCAGUGGGUGGACAUCAUGGAGAUAGACAAUGAGCCGGCUGCAGCAAUAGCACCAGAGACGCCAUCAAGCUCGGGGGUUGCAGAAGUCCCCAACAGUCUAGACGAAGCGGAGGCGACCCUUGUGUCGGCUCCAUCAUCGGCUCAGGCCAUUCUGGCCUUCCUUCUUCGCGGCGAACUUCCUCAGAACGAGGCGCAGGCGAGACAGACACACCGCAGGUCCGCCGCCUACGCCAUCAUCAAUCGCGAGCUGGUGCGACGCAGCACGACCAGUGUGUUCCAAUGCUGCGUCGAAUCAGAAAAAGGGCAGGAGAUCCUCAGAGACAUCUACCAGGGGGAGUGUGGGCAUCAUGCCGCCUCCAGAACCCUGGUGGCCAAAGCAUUCCGCCAUGGAUUCUAAUGGCCCACAGCCCUCGAGGAGGCUGUGGAUCUGGUGGACAAAUGCGAAGGGUGCCAACGCUUUAGUGCACAAAGCUAUAUGCCGCCCUCAGCACUGAAAACCAUUCCCUUAUCAUGGCCAUUCGCCGUCUGGGGCUGGACAUGGUUGGGGCCUUCAAGACGGCUCGCGGAGGGAUGACACAUCUUUUGGUAGCUGUCGACAAGUUCACCAAAUGGAUCAAAGCCAGGCCUAUCAAGAAGCUUGACGGCCCCACUGCUGUCAGGUUCAUCACAGGCAUCUUUGUCCGAUAUGGCAUUCCCCACAGCAUCAUCACCGACAACGGCACCAACUUCGCCAAGGGCCCCCUGGCGCUCUACUGUUCCAAGGUAGGCAUCCGGCUCGACUUGGCCUCAGUGGCACACCCUCAGUCAAACGGCCAAGCGGAGAGGGCCAACGGCCUGAUCCUAGCCGGCAUCACGCCAAGACUGCUGGCACCACUGGUCAAGUCAGCCGGCUGCUGGAUUGAAGAACUGCCGGUUGUACUAUGGAGCCUCCGCACCACGCCCAACCGGUCGACCGGCUUCACUCCAUUCUUUCUGGUAUAUGGAUCCGAGGCUAUUAUCCCCACGGAUGUCGAGUUCGACUCGCCUCGGGUCACCCUAUACACAGAAACAGAGGCGAAGGAGGCUAGAGAAGACGGUGUGGAUCUCCUCGAAGAAGCAAGGGACUUGGCUUUGCGCCGGACGGCCAUCUACCAACAGAAGCUGAGAUACUACCACAGCAAAAAGAUCAGGCCUCUCUCUUUCAGGGAGGGAGACUUGGUCCUCAGAAGAAUCCAGCGCACUGCCAGCCAGCACAAGCUCUCACCCCCCUGGGAGGGACCCUUCAUCAUCAGUAGGGCGCUACACAACAACGCUUACUACCUGAUUGACGCCCAGAAGCCAAGGAAGCGCAAGAGGGACGACUCCGGCCAAGAAACGGAGCGCCCAUGGAAUGCGGCGUUGCUUCGCCCGUUCUAUUGCUAAAAGGCAAAAGACAAGCAAAAGAAAGAACAUGCACAUGUAUCUUCCUCCGUCUUCAGGGAACAAAGAAGGCAAUAAAAAGGACAUGCUCCAUGUUUCUUUUUAUCAAGACUUUUCACUCAAGUGUACGGGCUACACAGCGUACCACCUCUUGCCGGCUUAACCAAGCUCGGAGGCUACAUAGCGCGGCCCCUUGCUAGCUUAAAACAAGCUCGGGGGCUCACCAGCCGCCUGAACGAUCCACCCUUAUAACGGACACAUAGUGUACCGGCUAACCCCUGGUCCGUCGCUUGAGCCUGCGGGCUGACUCCGGUCGCUCGGUUCGCGAUAUGACGCCAGGUAAGGUCGAAUACAUGCAAAGUCUGGCUAUACUUGGGACGACCGGCUCGGGCUGGCUCGAUCGUAUAUACGAUCUCAAUCAAGACUCAAGACGGCCUCUGACUGCCGGGAACAACAAAUAUCAUGCAAAAAGCAGGCUCCAUGCUUUCUCUUGCUAAAAGAGUUUUCACUUAGUGUACGGGCUACACCGUGUACCACCUCUUGCUGGCUUAAUCAAGCUCGGAGGCUACACAGCGCGGCCCCUUUCUAGCUUUAAACAAGCUCAGGGGCUCGCCAGCCGCUCGAACGGUCAAUCCUUGUAGUCGGGCACAUAGUGUACCGGUUGACUCCCGGUCCUUCGCUUGAACCUGCGGGCUGGCUCCGGUCGCUCGGUUCGCGAUAUGACACCGGGUCAGGUCGAAUACAUGCACAGUCCAGCUAUACUAGUGACGACCGGCUCGAGUUGGUUCAUUCAAGCCGGCCUCUGAUUGGCUUAUGUCUUGUUCUUUAUGUCUUGAUGGCUUCGGAUAAGAGAAGUCAACCAGGAAUCAAAAGACGGGAUCAUAAGACAACACGCUUGGUGACGAAUAUAAUGUUGAAUAUAUACAUUCAUAAAAAGCAUUGGCCCACGGCCCACGUUCGUUACAUCCCUCCGGGGGUAGAACCAAAAGCACAAAAGGACACCAGUUACGGGACAACGGCCUCAAGGGUCGUCUCGGCUGCUGCUCCUGAUGUGGUAGCGUCGCCGCCUCCGGCCCCUCCCAAGGUGGAUGCGCCGUCUCCCCCGUUGCGGCCCCCGGCUCCGCUGAUCCCGGAGUCGGCAUACGCCCCACCGCUGGAGGCGGCUGCAGAUUCCGCAGCCCGGACCGCCUCGUCGGAGCUGCCGUCAGCGUCAUAGGGCUGAAGGCCGUGCAGAUCUUCAGCGAUCACGCCGCCGUCUUCACCCCGCUCCAAGACGAAGUCAUCCCAGGCGGCGUACUCGGCGACGGCGCUGGCUCUCACCCGGAGCUCCUCCUCCAUGCCUUGCAGCUCCGCUUUCGAGCCGUCGCGCUGGGCCGCCAGCUUGCCCAAGUUCAGGUUACGAUACCAGGACUUGGCCAGGCGCAGGGCCAUAUAAGCCCCCGACCGCGCUGCGGAGGCUCGCCAGGCGUAUAGGUGCUCUCCACCAGUUGCGAGCUAGUAGGCGAGCCGGCUCAUGGUCGUCGGCUCCACGCCCUCCAGCCACAGGGCCGCCACCAUCGACGAACCUGCAACCUGGAGCUGAGUCACAGACUCGCCCAGGGCGUGCAGACGGGCCCGAAGGCCCACUCCAAUAUCCUCUACGCUCUAGCCGGAGGUAGUAUCUACCUCCUACCCGGUCGCACGGCACACCUCAACGGCGGUGUCGGCUGCGACCUGGGUCUCGGGGAAGAGAUCUGGGGAAAAGGCAACCAGGACGUAAGAACACAACAAGAGGAGGAGACGGCAAAAAGACCAAACCCAAAACAAGGAAGAGAGACACCCACGCUGGAAGGCGUCGUCGAUCUCAUGAAAGGCCUCGAGGACCUCGCGCUCCCGCACCUCACUCGCAUGAGUGAGGCGGGCGAUUUCCUCCUCGAGGGUCGCGGCGGACUCCAGCGCCUUAGCCAGCUGCGCUUGCUUCUGGGUAAGGGCUUCGUCCUUCGCCCUCAAGGCGGCGUCCUUGAGGUUCGCCUCCUCAAGAUGAAGCGACGCGAGGCGGUCCACGUCGACAGAGUAGGAGGCCUCCUUCUCCUGCAGCAUGGCCCGCAGCCGCUCCAACUCGACUCGGACGGCCGCCUCGAGCUCCUUCUUCUCCGUCUGAAGAAGGUCCAGCUGCUCUUGGAGCCGGCCGCCAGCUUCACGCAGGGCAUCACGCUCCGCGGCAGCCUUGCCCAUGCGGGCUUCAAGCUCGGCGAUCCGGCUAUCAGCCCACAGGUGCUGCUCCCGAAGCUCGUUGUACGCCUCUACUUGAGCAUCAUAAAGCGCCUGCAAAAGGGGAGAGAAAGGGAGCAGGAUUAAGAUUCGACCUGGUUAAAAGCAUAACCAGCCCGAUUCUCGGGGGCUACACCGAGUGGGUGCGUUUGCGCACCCCCACUGAAGAAAAAUAUGCACAGAAAAAGGCCUCCAAGAGAUUCGGACCGGUUGGCAAUCAACCCGCCCGAUUCUCGGGGGCUACACCCAGUGGGUGCGCUGUCGCGCCCCCACGGACGUCAAGAGAAAAAAGCGCAAAGAAAAACCAAAAAAGGCAAGGCCUACCUGGGUGCGGGCUUCCAGGCGCUCCAUGUCGCCGCAUACCACGCGGGCCGCCUGCUCCACCUUCGACCGGCCGCUAGUAAACAGCGUCACCAGCUCCGGCACGCCGGAAAGAACGGUGUCGGCGGGCAUUCGCAGGCGGGCCAAGUUCACCGCCCUCCAUGACUUCAUGGGCCGGCUCCCAGGCCGGCCCCCUGCCCUUGGCGCAAUAGGGCCCUGCAGGGGUACGACGAUGGCGCCGGCUCCUGGUGCCGGCUCGAAGGCCGGCUCGGGCGCCGUCCCAACCGGCGCUACCUCCUCCGCAGGAGGCGGAUGAGCCACGUCCGGUGCAUCCAUGGUCGCCCCUGGAGCAUCAGGGGCUCCGUCCGGCGCGGUCAGAUCCAGCACCAGCGCGUCAGGAGAUGCUUCGGCCCGGGGAGAAACCGGGAUCGUCUCCAGGUCCACCUGCUCCGGGGCUGCCGGCUCAGGCGGCUGGGCCCCUCGGUCCUUGGGGCCGGCCUGGAGGCGGCCUCGCUAGUUGGCUCCUCCACACGGGCGUGUGCGGAGGGAUCCUGUCUAGCUUUCACACGCUUCUCCGCCGGCCUCUCGACCCAGCUGGGGCGAGGCUGACCCACGGCGGUUUUCCCCGCAGCCGUUUCCCACCGGCGCUGGGAUUCUAUCUCGAGCUCCCUCUCGACAGCAUCAGCUGGUGCCCAGCCGGCCCGCUCCGCUGCGGAGGUGGUGUCUUCAUCCGCAUCCCCCGCCUCCCUGUCAAGCCAAGCUUCUCAGGAACAAAGCUCAUCUCAAGAUAUGGAAGGGAGAAGAGGAGGAAACCAUACCCUGCAACCACCGGGACCUACCUCCGGCCACCGCCACGGCGCCUCUUGGCGUCGUCUGCUCGCUGCCCGGCUAGGGGACCCGGCGCCGGUCGCUUAGAGGCCGGCCGGGAAGCUGUGGCACCCUUUCCCUUCUUCCCGGCUGCCUCAUCAGCAGCGGUCGCUCCGCCACCUUGACGCCGGUCGCGCGACGGUAGUGGGCCGGUGACCUCCUCCACCUCGUCGGAGUCUCCCUCGAAGGCUGCAUCAGAACAGAAUGAGGCUUCCUCAUCGUCGUCCGUCCAGUCUGCUAGGGCGUCCCGCGGGUACUCACCGGACGGCUCGGUCCCUUCUGACUUCAGGGGAUCUUCCGAGCCGGUGGAGGAGUCUGAGCGGGGCUCCAUCGCAUCCUCGUCCUCCAUCUCGGAGGCGCCGGACGCCUCCACGUCGGGAGCAGGCGGACGGAGGGACCCCCACAGGGUCUUGAACAUCUACAAGAAAGGAAUUCAACCAGGCUCAGCAAACGCCACCAGCUUCAAAACAAAACGACAGAAAAGAAGGGAGUAAGGCUACCAUCGGAGGCGGAUGAGCCCGGUUGAACGGGGACAUCCCCCAUGUCCAUUCCCCGCCCUCAUCCAUGCGGGCGGUGGAGAUCAGGUUCACCCUUCGCGCUACAGCACCUGGGGUGAACCUCUUGAUGGACAGCCGGCAUGGAUCAAGCCGGCCGCUCAUCUGGCAGACCAGGUGCAGCCGCCUCUGCAGAGGCAGUAUCCGGCAGACCACCAUGGUGGCGAGAAGGUCGCGACCGAGGAGGCCGCUCUCCCUCAAGAUAUCAAGGUGGGCGCGAAUAAGCGCCACCUCAGGAUGUGGCUUGGGAGUCUUCGCGUCCCAGUUCUGCCGCGUCGGAGGGGCGAUGGCUAACGGGGGCAUGUUGAGGGUGUCUUGGGCCAGGCCAGUGCUCCUCACGUAGAAGAACCCCUUCUGCCAAUGCUUGAUGGAGUCUUGCAAAGGCAUCUGGGGGAAGCCGGACUUCGGGCUGUGAUGCACCAACGCGGCCCCGCACGGCAUCAUGGGGCGCGGCCCCUUGAGCUUCUCCACCUCGGAUUUCUCCAUGGUGAUGGAUUGCUGCUUAAAGAAGAACAGGCUGCGCCACAGAUCGACGCGAGGCUCGAUCCCCAUGAAGCCCUCGCACAGGACCACGAAGGAGGCCAGCUGCAGUAUGGCGUUCGGCGCCAGAUGAUGCGGCUGCGGGCCGAAGAACUAGAGCCACUCGGCGAAGAAAGAGCUAGCCGGGAGCCCGAAACCCCGGUAGAAGUGCUCGGCGAAGACCACAACCUCUCCCGCGACAAGUGCGGGAGAGGCCUCGGAGCCAGGAAGGCGUACCGACACCUGGGAGGCCGGGGGCAGCAGCCGAUGAUGACGGAGCGCAUCGAUGAGCUCCUCGUUGACAUCGCUGCCCAGCCAGGCCCCCUGCAAGGACGCCUGCUGCGCCGACAACUUCUUCGAAGAAGAUCCACCGGCCAUGGCUGCGGGUGGCGAGAGCUCGAAGCGGUCGGCGGAGGUCUCGGCGGCGAAGAAGGAGACGAAGGGCGCGAGCUCUUCUUCUCAGGACGCAAGGAGGAACAAAGCACGGAGCAGGGCGAGAAGAGGGGGCGAAUGGCCUCCUCGAAACCCUCGCGUCCCAUUUAAACCCCACGAAGCAUCGUGGGGAGGGGAUCCGGUGCGCGCCGGGCCCCAUUAAUUCCGUGUAUUACGGGCGGUAACGCCCCCCUAAGCCCAACCGUCGCGGAGUAAAUCCGCAGAGGAUCUCCCGCGCGGAGGCCGAGGGGGCAUCGUGGCGGGACCCAGGGCCCAGGCCCGGUCCCGUCAGCAGUAAUCGCCAUCAUUACGCUAGGCGGGGCCUGGCACGUGGCGUUCUCUGGGCCAGUUACGACCGGACCGAGGCGUCGCUUUGAAGCUACCCGGCUCGGAAGCCGUCGUCCUUCGCAGCAAACAACAACCAAAAUAUCAAGACAAAUCAACAAGCCGGUGAGGCCGCCCGCCAGCAGGCGGCAGACCUCGCCAGCUUCGGGGACUACUGUCGGGGGAAUAACCCCGGGGUAGGCUCAUCGAGCCUGUUCCUUCAUUUCCGGCCCAAUGGGCAUGAAGGCCCGGAGAUUCUCAAGGCCCAAGUCUUAUGACCGGCUAGGCAUCACCUGCCGGCUCGAAGACGAGGUGGCCACCUUUGUGGCCGGCCAGGCAACCCCUGCCGGCUAUAAUCCAGGCGGCCUCCCAUUCAGACCCGGCCCGGUCCCGCCAGCCGGACUAAGGAGGAGGUGGCCACCCUCAAGCCGGCUGACCAAGUAGGCUAGCCGGCCGAGGAUCACCAGUCACAUCAGAUCGUAGGUCAGGAAAGGACCUCAUGAUUAAAGGUAGCUACGCAUCAGCAAAGGUAGUGAAUCAGGGCGCCCGGCAGGUACGAGCGUCGGCGACCACGCCGCUGACCUACCCCGGCUCUGAUCCAUCACCUAGCAUGAUGUCGGUCCGUCACACUCCCACUCCAUUACUGCACUCAGCGUGGGGAACAGUGGAGGCGGUCGUACUGCAUUCCCAUGAAGAAUCUCGCGGGGCGACGCUCGACGUACAACGCGUGCUCAGCAUCAACCUUACGCGGGAGCCCCAUUGGCCAGCCGGUGGGUCCCACCAGCAAUCGAGACCAUGCAGCCGGCGGGCCCCUCAUCCACAAGACAAGACCCUUGUGGGCCCCUGCCCAGCAGGCGAAGCAGCCAGCCGGGUCCCACGCAUGUACCCUUUAUCAAUAUUGUAGGCCGGCGAGUUCGUCUAUAAAACCCCCCGGCCGCCCCCCAUGUAAGGGGGCCGAUCACUUGCCAGUCAUUCAGUACUACACACUCAACAACCAACAGAGAGCAAGGGAGAGUCGAGCCGGCUGCUCCCCUCUUCCUCCUCCCAACACAGCUCCAGGAGCAACAUUGUACUCUGUUCCCAUACAUCAAACACACCAGCAGGAUUAGGGGUAUUAUCUCUACGGAGAGCCCUGAACCUGGGUACAUCGUGCGUCCCAUGCGUGUACCAACCUCGUUCCCAGCGCCCACCUUUGUCCCUUCGGUUCUCACCGACUUUAGCCUACCUAUGGCAUAUGUUGUGAGUAUUCACCGACAAUAAUCCUCUUCAUCUGUGGGAGGUGGUCUAGCAUGUGGCGGCACUUCAUAAACAACAUCCCAACCAUUCAGAUUCUUAUUAGUUUGGCAAGCCUACGGUAGAUAGAAAACUCGGGUCGCCUGUUGAGUCAUAAUAUAGACAUCGGGAACAUCUAAAUGGGUGAUUUGUUUGAUUUCGACUAGCCCUAUAUGUUCGUGAGUCCUUCUAGUCUCCUUCACCUGGAACCAAUAACAUUUAAAGACUACGACGUUCGAUGGGUUUUCACCAAAGAAUUGAAGUUCAUAAAUUUCUUCAACUCUUUCAUAAUACUCGGUACCUCCUUCGUUGGUAGCAGAGACACCACAAUUUUUAGAUUUCCUAUUGGGCAUAGAUAGCUCUUUGCCAAAGGUACGAAAGCGAUACCCGUUGAUGUUGUAUUUCUCAAAUGAACGAACCUUAUAGUCAAAACCAUUAGCGGCUUGUCUUAAUUCAGCGUCGAUAGACUCUGAAUUAACCCACAAUAAUACAAAAUGAUUGUUGCAUUAGCCGCAAAUUAGACAAGAAAUGAAAUGGUCCAUUAUUGAUAAUUACCGUUUGUUUGAACCAAGAGAUGAAACCGGGAUAGCCGCCUCCAUGCUUUGCCAGAAGCUCAUACUCUUUGACGGAAUCAAUUUAGAUGACCUCUCCAUCCGAGAAUUUGGCGACAUAUCGACUAUAUCAAAUAUCCGGGAAUAAUAGGAGUUCAAAGGAAUUAGAAGUUGUGGAAAAAUGUACUGAGAACUUACUCAAUGUACGGCCACACUUCUCUUAGGUUGUUGAAGAUAUACAACGAAAUGGACUGCCAUUUUUUGACAUCCAACGUUAUUGGUUUUGAAGCACCGGCUCGUGCAAGCUUCGCUUUGAAUAGGCUGAGGUUGGAUCCACCUUUUUUAGGGUCGCCAUCAUUAUACCAAGGCUUCGGAUUAAGCAAAUGACGAUUUUUGGCUUUGUAGUGUGCUAUCAUGAAGUUUGCCAACUCUUCGGUAAUGAAUGCCUCGGCCAUCGAUAUUUCAAUUCUACGUUUAUUUUUAAAUUUAUCUCGAAGCGUCUUCUACAUCCUCUCAGUUGCAAAGCACCAAUGAUUUUGCAUGGGCCCACCCAAUCUUGCCUCGGUCGGGAGAUGUAAAAUCAAAUGUUGCAUUGGAUUAAAGAAGCAUGGUGGAAAGAUCUUCUCUAACUUGCAGAUCAACUCCAGCGCCAAUUCCUCCAUGUCAUCUACCACGUCAGGCGACAGUUCUUUUGCACAAAUAACACGAGAGAAGUAGCUCAACUCUGCUAGUACUAGCCAUUCAUCCUUAGGUAUAAAGCCACGUAACAUCAUUGACAUUGCCCGCUCAAGCCAUAUGUGCCAAUCAUGACUCUUGAGACCAAAUAUUUUCAAUUUUUCAAGACUCACUCCCCUCUUUGGAUUCGCUACAUACCCAUCGGGGAACAUCAAGUGCAUUUUGACCCACAAGAUAAUUUCCUUUUAUCAGAUCUUCCAAGAUUGAACCAGACCUUUAGCUUCGACCAGUUCUGCUUUCCUUUCGAUUGUCGCAUGUUUUGUAAGGUCUAUGACAUAGAGUCUCUUGAUCGACUCUAGCCUUAGGAUUAUCCUUUGACUUCCCCUCUAUGUCGAACAAUGUAUCAAAAAUGGCCUCUCUAGUAUUCUUUUGAGUGUGCAUCAUGUCGAUGUUGUGUGGAAGAAGGAGGUCUUUGAAGUAAGACGGAUCCUGCAAGCAUGGCUUGUGAGUCCAGGCGUUUUCUGAAUUAUACUCGUUGAAAUACCCUCGAUGCUGUGGAUUGGGCUCGAGAGCAUUUAACUGAUCUAGGAUCUGUUGGCCUGUCAAGCAGGUGGUGCCAAGGUUUCGGUAAAGUUCUGCUUGUCCUUUCUAAACUGAUGGUGAGGAUCCAGGAACUGUCAAUUGAUACGUCUCAAACGUAUCUAUAAUUUUUGAUGGUUUCAUGCUUUUAUCUUGUCAUCUUUGGAUGUUUUAUGUACCUUUUAUAUCUUUUUUUGGACUAACUUAUUGAUUCAGUGCCAAGUGUCAGUUCCUGUUUUUUCUGUGUUUUUGGCUCUUUACAGAUCUGAUUUUGGAACGGAGUCCAAACGGAAUAAAAUCCCCGAAAUGAUUUUUUCCCGAACAAAAUAAGAUCAGGGGGCCUGUGGGCCAAGCCAGGAGGGCUCCUGGGAGCCCACAAGCCCCCACUCCGCCACCAGGGGGAGGCGGCGGUGGCAGGGCUUGUGGCCUCCCUAGCCGCCCCCUGACCUAGAUCUUUGGCCUAUAUAUUCCCUAAAAUACAUCAAAAAAUCAGGGGAGCCUCGAAAAAACUUUUCCGCCGCUGCAAGCUUCCGUUUCCGCGAGAUCUCAUCUGGAGACCCCUCCUGGCGCCCUGCCGGAGGGGACUUUGGAGUUGGAGGGCUACUUCAUCAUCAUCAUCACCCCUCCAAUGACUCGUGAGUAAUUCACUUCAGACCUACGGGUCCGUAGCUAGUAUCUAGAUGGCUUCUUCUCUCUCUUGGAUCUUCAAUACAAAGUUCUCAUUGAUCUUCAUGGAGAUCUAUCCGAUGUAAUCUUCUUUGGCGGUGUGUUUGUCGAGAUCCGAUGAAUUGUGGAUUGUGAUCAGAUUAUCUAUGAUAUAUAUGUGAGUCUUUGCUGAUUUCUUAUAUGCAUGAUUUGAUAUCCUUGUAAGUCUCUCCAAGUCUUGGGUUUUGUUUGGCCAACUAGAUCUAUGAUUCUUGCAAUGGGAGAAGUGCUUGGUUUUGGGUUCUACCAUGUGGUGACCUUUCCCAUGAUAGUAGGGGAAGCAAGGCACACAUUAAGUAGUUUCCAUCAAGGGUAACAAGAUGGGCUCUGUCGUUGAUAUGAGAUUGUCCAUCUACAUCAUGUCAUCUUGCUUAAGGUGUUACUCUGUUCUUUUGGACUUAAUACACUAGAUGCAUGGUGGAUAGCGGUCGACGUGUGGAGUAAUAGUAGUAGAUGCAGACAGUAUCGGUCUACUUGUUUCGGACGUGAUGCCUAUAGAUAUAAUCAUUGCCAUAGAUAUCGUCACGACUUUGCACGGUUCUAUCAAUUGCUCGACGGUAAUUUGUUCACCCACCGUCUACUUCCUUUCAUGAGAGAAGCCACUAGUAAACACUACGGCCCCCGGGUCUAUUCACAUCAAUCGUUUACACCUCCGCUUUUACUUUGCUUUGUUACUUUGUUGCUUUCAGUUCUCACUUGGCGGACAAUCUAUAAGGGAUUGACAACCCCUUCAUAGAGUUGGGAGCAAGCUUUUUGUGUUUGUGCAGGAUCUUGUGAUACUCCUCCACUGGAUUGAUACCUUGGUUCUCAAACUGAGGGAAAUACUUACCACCGCUGUGCUACAUCACCCUUUCCGCUUCGAGGGAACACCAACGCAAGGCUCCAUAGCCGUAGCAGAAGGAUUCCUGGUGUCGUCGACACGACUAUUCCUGUUGCCGUUGCCGGGGAAGCACAGCUGACAUCAUCUAUGCAAGUCAAAGCAAGAAUACUUCCGACCUCCUGCGGCCAAUGAAACUGAAGAGUUGCCUUGCACAUGGGGCACGAGAACCUUCCAUGCACACACAAGCCAGAGAAUAGUGCAUACGCUGGCAAGUCAUGCAUCGAUUACAUGUACCAGACAUGCAUUUUGAAGUUUUCUUUUCUAGCGGUGUUGUAUGUCUUGACCCCAUUAUCACAAGCUUCUUGCAAUUCUUCCUUAAGCAGCUUCAUGUACACAUUCAUAUUCUUCCCCGAAUAGUUGGGCCUUGGAAUUAUCAACGUCAGGAAUAUGUUAUUUGCAUAAUCUUUCUGGGGGAGAUUGAGUGGAAUGACAAAUACAGGCGAACAACUGCAUUGGGUUGCCGUCAUACCAAAGAGAUUUAACCCAUCCAUGCCAACGCAGACUCGAGGAUGCCUUGGAUCUGCCGCUUUAUCCGGAUGUAAUGCAUCGAAGUCCCCCACGCUUCCCCCAUCCAUGUGUGUACCGCUAUCUUAUUCCCAUCUGCAUCUAGUUCGGUUGUUUUUCCCAAUUUGUGUCAUGUCAUAUGUCUGGCCGUCUCUUCGACCAUGAAAAGACGUUGAAGCCUUGUUAUGAUUGACAGAUACCGAAGAACAUUAACUUGGACUUGGGUCUGGCUCUUCUCACCAUACUGUUAUCUACCACAACAUACGUGGAAGACUUGCAAAUGGGACAAUAGUUCAAGUCCGCAUACUCAAGCCUAAAUAAGGCAAAUCCUUUCUCACAUGCAUGUAUAUUCUCAUAGGGCAUCUUAAGUACACGAAGUAUUUUGUCCGACUGGUACAGGUUUGCAAGCAUGACAUAGCAAGUGGGUAGAAAGCGUCCAAAUAGUGUCAUCAUCACGUCGUAGCAUUCCCUUCCCAAGUUGAAGUGAGCCUUUAGAGCGAUUACUUGUGCGAUGGCAUCCAGCUGAGAAAGCUCAGUGUGCUCGUGGAGAGGACGUUUUGAAGACUCCAACAUUUCAUAGAAGGCCUUUGAAGAUUCGACCAUCUCAUCGUCCGAAUCCCGAGCAUCAGCAAAGUCUUGCACCAUGUCUUCGAUCCCAGUACCAUGCUCAUCGGUGCGACUGAAAGCACAAUUGCUCCCUAGGGUGGUUUUGAUAAUUGAUCACAACAUAUGCAUCAUUGGACUAAUAGUUUAUCCAAGUAUAUUUCAGAAAAGUUCAAAAGAUGCAUUGGCUAAAGGCUUAUGUGGAUAUGCCCCUUGAUGCAAGAAAGGAAUAAAAUUGGCCCAAGUUUCAAGCUAGAAGCCUCUCAUUUUAUAUUUGUGAGAAAUCACUUUUGAGUCCAUAGGAAAGCCAAUACUAUUAAAAGGGGUGGGGUAUUAAAAUGAACUGUUUGCUCAAGUGCUCAGAGAUAGCCACCAAAAAAUACUCAUACAUUUUCCCACAUAACCAUUCUAUCCAAACCACACACUCAAAAUCGGUGCCACCAAGUUUUCCAUUUCGGCACUACCGAAUUUCAUCACAGACAGAACCCUAGCCAUAGCCACCAAAUCGGUGCAACCGAAACCAUAUCGGUGCUAACGAGUUUAGGUGACCAACUUUAUGUUGCCUCGAUACACAAAAUCGAAAUUUUCCGAGUUUGAGUAUCGGUGUCACCGAGUUGUAUCAUCUAACCGAUAGCUGCCUUUUCGGUGCCACCGAGUUGUGUAUAUCGAUUCCACCAAGAUUCAAAAGUUGAUACCUUUAGUGCAAAUUGGUACCGCUGAGUUUUUGACUUCGGUGUCACUCGCCACUUCAUGUGUAACGGUUGGAUUUUGGCUGCUGCCUAUAUAUACCCUUCCACCCAUCUCUCAUUCGUGGGAGAAGCACUCAGACCACACACUUCAUUGCCAGAUUCAAUUUUCUGAGAGGGAGCCACCUGCUCAUGUGUUGACACCAAGAUAUUCAAAUCCAAUCAUUUGAAACUUGAUCUCUAGCCUGCCCACACUACUUUCCACCAAAUCAAUCUCUCCUACCCAUGCCUAUUAUGUGAGAGAGUGAUUUUGUGUUGAGGAGACUAUCUUUAGAAGCACAAGAGCAAGGAGUUCAUUGUUCUACCACAUCUAUUACCUUUUGGAGAGUGGUGCCUCCUAGAUUGGUUAGCUGUUGCUUGGGAGCCUCCUACUUCAUGUUGUGGAGUUUAACCAAGAUGUUUGUAAGGGCAAGGAGAUCGCCUACUUCGUGAAGAUCUAUUGUGAGUAAGGCUAGUCCUGUGUGGACGGAAGCCGUGGUGGAAUAGACAAGGCCGCUUCUUUAUGGACCCCUUGUGGGUGGAGCCCUCCAUGGACUCUCGCAGUUGUUACCCUCCGUGGGUUGAAGACUCCACUAACAUGGACGUACGAUAGCGCCACCUAUCGGAACCAUGCCAAAAAUCAUUGUGUCAACCUCAUGCGUUUGAUCGCCCUGCCUUACUCCUUUACUUUACACUUGCAUGUUUUACUUUCCCCUGCUAUACUCUUAAAACUACAUGUGUAGGGUGUACUUAACUUGCAAAAAAGGUCAAAACUGGCCCUCAACUAAAACUAGGAAAAGGAUAAGGUUUUAUCUUGUCAAGUAGUCUAAUAACCCCCCCCCCCACCCCUCUAGACAUACUUUCGAUCCUACAGCAAUGACGAACCACCUCAGCUCCGAUGCAUUGUCUAGACUCACCAUGAAAUGUCUGCACCGUAUAAUUAGGCUUAAAACCACUCCUCUGCAGGUGUUUAAACAUUAUAGACUCUAUCCUCUUUUUAUAGUUGUUGCACCUAGGACAUUUGCAAAUGCGGCUUUCUCAAAAUCCUUGGUUUUUACAAACCAUUAUUUGGUCAUCUCUUUCUGACUAGUGUGACCGGUGUACAUCCACGCACGAUCACUCAUCUUGCCUAACUGCUACCAAGGAGAUGAAAUAGCACAAAUCCUGUAAAUUUUACCGAGUGAAAAAAAUUAGGACAUCACAUCACAUAAAGCACUCUGAGUUCAAACUAUGAAAAAAAUCAUAUUGCUAAUUACAUCUCCUCUUAUUCUUCUUCUUCUUCUUUCCUUCUCUUCUUCUUCUUCCUCUUCUUCUUCUUCUUCCUCUUUCCUUCUCUUCUUCUUCUUCUUCNNNNNNNNNNNNNNCUUCUUCUUCUUCUUCCUUCUUUUCCUUUUUCCUCUUCUUUCUUCUCCUCUUCCUCCUCCUCUUCGUCUUCUUCUUCUUCUUCCUUCUUCUACUUAUUCUUCUUUUGUUCUUCUUGUUUUUUCUUCUUUCUCUACUUCUUUUAAUUAUGACUAAUUAACUAAAACCUAUCACUAAUCUAGCACUAAACUACAUAUAUAUACCUAAUACUAAAGCGGCUACUGCUUCUGUCGAAAAACCCGUCACGGCGUUUUUCGCAAAAAAAAUCCCCUGAUGUUUUGUGUAUUCAACAUGCACUCCCUUUUUAAGUGAAAAAACGUUUCAUUUUAGAAUUUUUCGUUAGAAACCUUGUAGUUUUUUGUAUUCACCCCGCGUUCAUCCUCCUCUGCCCAAACUGCUGCUGCUUGAUGCCAUGCGAAGCAGCAAGGGAGGCCGACGGGAUCGACUGGCUCGGGGGUUGGGGACGUGGGGCUCCAGCGACUCCUCGUCACUGGCGACGGCUGGUUGUCCUGCCGCCGAUGCGCGAGAGAGGGGGGUCCGACGUGGCCGUCCAUUGCUCCAUGCAGGAGCAGCUCCUGAAGGUAAGAAAGAGAGAUGGGCGGUGAGGAGGAGAAGAGAGAAAGCGCACGGAAAGGAGAGGGAGAGGGCACGAUGGGGCUGACCUGCAUCUAGGCCGAGCAGAGGUGGCGCUCCUACACUACAGGGCGCGGCGGCGGGGCUGCAUCGGGAGGCAUAGGAGGGGCAUGGCGUUGCGGCUGGAGGAACUUGGAUCCUCUUGAUCCAUCGAGCGGGGCGCUCAGACUGGCUGUAGUUAGCGAGGGAAAGCACAAAGGCACGAGGAUCGAGGAGAGGAAACGAGGAGGGGAUCUGGAGGAGAUGUUGCGGUUGCCCGAUGGGAAAAAUUAGGUGGGAUGUGCAUGCUUAUGUUUUUACUUUUAUUUUAUUUUCAACUAAACGAAACUUGAAGAAAAGAAAAGACAGGGAAGAAGGAAUUUAGACCAACAAUAGAAAUUUUUAUGGGAUCUAAAAAAUAUGAGGAAAAAUGAAGUGAUUUGGGGAAUCUUAUCGACUUUAAAUUUAAAGAAAUUUAAUUUAAUACAAAAUUAUUUGAAUUUAAAGUCUAACUAAACCAAACCCAAAUGGCUCAAAAUUUAGGAAGCGGCGUUUUGAUGGAACAUCAACCUUACUUUUUCCCGUUGCAACGCACGGGCAUAUGUGCUAGUAUAAUCUAAGCUAACAAUUAAACACCAAAAAAUAAGAAGAAACAAAAGCAAAAGGCUCACUGGAGGGCGGUGGGGCGCCGGAGCGGCACGAUCAACACGAGGCCGAAGAGGUGUCCGGGGUUGGGGUGAGUGGCGUCGAGGGCGGUGUAUUAACAGUUGUGCGGGGAAUUAUAAUAGUGAUCUAUCAAUGACAUCUUCCCACCGCCACACGCAAGUGCAGGUGCCUGGUUUCGUGCCGGGGUGUCAUGUCGUGGUGUUGUCAGGGUGUCGUGUCGGGGUGUCGUGAAGGGGCUCACGAAAGGGGCAUCGUGUCGGGAUGUUGUGUCGGGGGUGUCGUGCAGGGGGCUCACCGGAGGGGCGUCGCCGGGGUGUCGUGUCGGGGUGUCAGGGCGUCGUGUCGUGCUGUCAGGGUGUUGUGUCAGGGUGUCGGGGUGUCAUUUUCUUACUAUUCCUAUCCUUCUUUUUUCCUCUUCUUCCUUUUCUUCUUCUUCCUCUUCUUCCUUUUCUUCCUUUUCUUCCUCUUCUUCCUCUUCUUCCUCUUCUUCUUCUUCUUCUUCUUCCUCUUCCUAGUCUUCCUUUUCUUCAUUUUCUCCUUCUUAUUCCUCUUCUUCCUUUUCUUCCUUUUCUUCUUCUUCUUCUNNUUCUUCUUCUUCUUCUUUUCUUCUCCUUCUUCUUCUUCUUCUUCUUCUUCUUCCUCUUCUUCCUUUUUUUCCUUUAUCCUCUUCUUCUACUUAAUUAUUCUUCUUUUCUUCCUUUUUUUGCACUAAGCUAAUUAACCUAAACUAACAAUAACCUGUUUAACACUAACAGUGACCUAAAUUAACACUAACAGUGGCCUAAACUAACCCGAUAACCUAAACUAACAGAUGCAAUGAAAUGAAAAAAAUUCAAAAAAUAUAUAAACAGGAUGAACUCACCGAUACGGGAGGUGGGGCGCCGCCCGAUGGAGGAGGACCGCAGGAAGGGAGAGGGGUGGCGCCACUAGUUGGCUCCGGGAAGGGGGCUCACCACGGGGAGGGGCGCCACGGUGGGGCCAGGGGCGGUGGCUCCGACGAUGGGGGAAGGGGGGUGGCGCCGGUGGUGGGGAAGGGGGUGGCACCGCGGGAGGGGGCGCCAUGGUGGGGGAAGGGGGAAGGGGCGGUGGCACCGACGAUGGGGAAGGGGGUGGCGCCACAACGAUUGUGGUGUGUGGGGGCGGGAUAGAGACACGGGAGGGAGAGAAAGAGAGGGGUCGGGUGAGGAAUGAUGACCGUUAGAUAGGAAAGGCUUUGUCGUCUGCCAACGGAUGGCAAAGCCCCUAAAGGCAGACGACAAAGCCACAGAGGGGGAGAGAAAGAGAGGGGGCAAGGUGGGGCUUGACGGCCGUUAGAUAGGAAGAGCUCUGUCUUCUGGCAGCGGAUGGCAAAGCCCCUAAAGGCAGACGGCAAAAGCCACAACUCUUUGUCGUCUGCCAUUAUGGGCUUUGCCGUCUGCUGGGUGACAGCAAAGAAAGGACUGAUGGCAAAGAGUAUAUUUGCCAUUGGUUACGCAAGCACACGGCAAAGAGUUGACUGACAGCAUAUUCUCUGAUUCUAGUAGUAAAAUUUCAAAAUAACCUCUAAAUACAAUAUUCAUCCACCAUAUUUGAAAAAAUCAUUUUUUUCUCACUCAACAUGAUUGAAAUGGUUUCACAAAUACUUCAAAACGAGUUCUGGAAGAAAUAAAUCCUUUUGAGUUUGAGUGAACCUUUCAUAAGCAAGAUUUAUAUUUCUCGGAUAAUUGAUUAUCCACUGUCAUGACACGGUUUGAAUAGUUUAAGCAAGUAUCAGAAGGUUUUGAUCCGGUGUGGAAUUCAAAUAAAAGCCAAUACAACUCACAUAAUAUGGCUUAUUUAUUUAGUGAUUAACGUUCCAAAAUAAGAGGAGGGAAAUGAGUAAAACAGGUGUAUACACAACCCACAUAGAACAGGAAAUGUGGUUCAUGCGGGUAUUUCCCGUGUGGCCUCGUCGGAAACCAUACAACAAUGAGAAUGGUCAAAAUAGUCAAUGAAAAAAAAAGGGUCCCACUAGUGAUUAAUUCCUUGUAGCCGCAGCAUGAACCACUAUCUAGACAACACUUAAAGUCCAAAUUCAUCAACAACGACGCAUGCAAGAAGAAAAUAGUGCACAAGCACCAUCAUCGUCGAUACUAGAUCUUAAGUUUUCAUGCACCAUCAUCGUCGAUACUAGAUCUUAAGUUUUCACUCUGAAGAAGAUCCACACUCUCAAAAACAAUGCUUUCAGCAAGAACACUGUAAAACACAAUCAAUAAAUGGCAGGCCUUGAAUUUUCAGCCGGAAAGCUAAGAACCUGAAAACUACAUAUAGGCAUUAAUUAUCCAGAGUUGAUAGGCACUGAAAACUAUGCAAUCAAGCAGCAUCCACCAAAGGUUUGUUGAAUAACCCAUAGUUGCAGGACACUGCUACUCAGCUUGCCUAGCAGCGCCAACUUGAAUCAAUGGAUGGACAAGCAGCACCCGCUACAUUGACAAAUUCGGACGUUUCACUCGCCAAUGAUUCAACAUUACAUUACUACCUGUGUUAGUGAUCUAAACGCUCUCAUAUUUCUUUACGGACGGAGUACCUCUGUACCGGUCUCUGCUGGGUGGCCGUCCUUGGCGUCGAGCAUACGGCGUUCUGGACUGGCCCCUGCAGCAGGGGGAUCAUCAGUGCACAUCUCCCCGCUCUGUUCUCCCUGCGCUGGACCCCCAUGUCUGUGUGAAAAACCACCUAGAGGCUGGGGAGAGGGCAGCGCUGGUGCCACGUCUGAUCCGUGCUGGAGGGCGCGAUCUGCGGGUGCCGCUUGGUACUCUGGUGGGUGUGGAGCUGCGUCAGGGGCAUGACUCCUGGGAGCUCGCAAGGUGCAGGUGUGAGGAGGGGGUGCUAGACACGGGUGCCCUCUAUCGUGUGGCUGCUGGAGGGCAUGUUUGGUCCUCAGCCACACUUUGCCAAACCAAAAUUUGACAGCCACAGUUUAGUUUUUGCCACACUUUGGCUUGCCACAUUUUAUUGUCGCUAUGGCUCAUUUGUCGUAGAGUCAAUUUUUUUGUCAACUUUUGCCAAAGUUUGACGUUCGUUUUUUCAGCCACACUUUGUGGCUUGCCACACUUUAAUGGCUUGCCACAUUUUGACUUGGCAAAAUUAGUCUCCAAACAAAGAGGCCCUAGUCGCCUGCGGCUCUCCUGUCACUUUGCGAGAUCAUUCCGGGACUCGAUCCGUGGAGGCCCUCUGAUGUCGUUCCGGGACUCGAUCCGUAGAGCCCCUCUGAUGCCUCUGUUCGUGAGCUGCCGCUCCUCCAGUUCCUUGCUAACAUCCCCUCCACCAGAGGACCGCGUCUCGCCCUCUUGUCCUGUUCACCUGUGAAAAAAAUCGAAAUGGCGUGGCCUUGGUAACCUGCGCCCAGACUUGUCCUCUCUCCGACGAGUGCGCCGGGAGGCGGCGAUGUGGUUCCACCCGCGCAUGCUGCCUGCUGGGUGACGCGGACGGUAUGUAUGUACUGUUCUUGAGUAGUCUUCAAAAAAAAUUAGAAGCAAGACAAAUGCAGUAUCUAGUGCGCAAAGCCUGACUGUCUGUGUUCCUAAAUAAAAUGAACAGGAGGUGAUGAAGGGACACAGCUUGUGUCUAGAGGGUUUUUCACCUGACCGUAUUAUAGUCCUCGGUUGAAGCUUCAGUUCCAUCAGACACAUUGUUGUGCGUUUGUCCCCUCACUUAAGUUAGCACAUCAAUAAGGCCUUUGGAGAUGCGUUACCUGACGUCCAUGCCUAUCCCCUCACUGCAGUUAUCCCAUCAUCCAACCGAAACGCAAUCAUUGCUCUUUCUAGAGAAUGUAUUGUUCAACAACACUACACGAGGACAUUCCCUCACAUUCAAGUAUCUUGUGCAACUUCAGUAAGCAAUCAAGUAAGUUCUGGGAUUCUACAAUUGAAGUUGCCUAGAUUUUUUAUUGGACUCGUCAUAGCAAGGAUGCAUUUCAAAGAUUGAAUCAUAUGCUUACCAGAGUAUGCUACAAGUCACUGUUUGAUUAUAGGACAUUAAGGACAGUAACUCUGUAACUUCUACACACUUCAUUCCCUGUCCACUCAAAUUAAAAUAUUUAGAGACCAUGCAAGUUCUAGUGGAAACGAUGCAGUUCCCUCCACAUUUUCUCAUCCGGGCUUGGGACCGGCAAAGGCAGUGUUAAACUACAAAACUACUAAGCACAUAAACUAGCAAACACUACAACUAAUUAUUCAGCUAAGCAUACAAGCCACACCAUCAACCAAAGGCAGCGUUGUCACGACACACGAAUUGACCAAAGGCAAUAAAUAUUCACACAACGUUUGCACAAGAUCAUAAGACAGAAACAUAGGGGCACAAACAAGGAAAGCUAUAAAUUCCAGAACCUACUAAUUUCUCUAAUGGGGCAAGGUGAUUCAAAUCUUCAAUCUUGAAUAUCUUCAUCAGCAGGCACAGAGAAAGCUUUCACACUUUUAGCCCAUAAUAGAGUCCUUGGGCCAUAAGAUGUGUCAACAGAUACUUGUGUGUCUUAAAAAUCCAGUAUAUGUAUAAGCUUGAUUUAAGAGUGUGCAAUUGGCAGGAAUCAUCAAAUUAGUAUUUUUGCUAGUUAACUAAAUUAAAACUAGGAAGCUCCGGGAAAACCAAUAAUAUGUAAUUGAAGAUUUGAGAAUAUGUAAUUGAAGAUUCCAUAAUCCAGAUCAAAUUAACCAUUAGAGGACCGUAAGAUGUGUGGAGGCUUUGUAUCUUCAAAUCCAUGACGAAUGCAGAACGAAACAAACUGACAUGUGUACAAGCUACUUGAGUUGAAAGUAUACAAUCAGCAGUAAAACCAUCAAACUUAGCCCAACUAUUUUACAAAGUUGUCAAAUUAAAAUAGGAAGUUCCCCAGCAAACCAAGAAGAUGCAUUGAAGAUUCGUAAUCCAGAUCCCACUGGAGAACCACCAAUGGUAAGAACAUCACUUCUGAAAAUCAAUUCCAUACCAAUAAGUCGGGAUCAUCGGAAUCAUAUUCAGUGGAAAUGACACUAAUCAAAGACAUGAUGAGUAGUAGUGUCCAUGCCAAACUGUUUGUUCAAGCUUCUUCAAGAGAUCAAAUAGAGAGCACUGGGUUUUUUCGGCUGUAGGAUGGUCCGUCUAGAUUGAUGCCCUGUAGCAACCUUCAAACCUUCUACAUCCAGCAAUUCAAUCUGAAUGUUUAAAUUUUGUCUCCAUAAGAUAAAUUAUAUGUUCAAAAAAUUACGACGAAUUGGAAAGGUGCAGGGUUUAGAAUAUCUUCGAACAUACUCAUCAUCAGGUUGGACCUAAAUCGUCAGUUAGGACCUGCAAUGACCAAGAAACCUUCGUUUCAACUUCUGCUUUGGGGAAACGAAGCUGCCUAUGAACAGCUAAAUGAUGCAUCAAACAUUGAGGGGAUAGGAUAAGCCUGCUUGGCUGGGAGAUAUCAGUUAGGGAAACACCAGUUCCAGAUAGCAAACUAUAUUAUCUCUCGUCCAUGUAAAUAUCUGCAAGGACAUGUAGUUACCAAGGCCAUAGAAAACAAUGUCUAGGAAGUGCAAUGUUCAAAGCAAAUCAGGAAAGAUGAAGUCAAGAGAAGAAACCCCAUCCAACAGUCAAAGCCCUUCCAGAAAGCCCCAUAAGUCCAAUAGCUGGAGAACCAACAGUUCCAUAUGAGAGAUGCUGUAAGCUAAAUUCGACUGUGCAAACAAAGAAACUAAAUUGAGGAUCAAUUAUCCAAACGCAGUUCGCAAAUUCUCUGAUCUCCAUUCCAUGUUUAAUGAUCCAAUCCGACUUCAAUCCAAAACAAAAACUUCAGCACACAAGAUGCUAUCUUAUAUCAUGCAAGGCAUUGAGCCAUAACCAAUCCAAAUAACCAUGAACAUUAAAACAAACCUCCACCCUCUGAUUCAUCACUCAGCAACCAUCACCCUCCGGCAUCUGAAGGAGAACAAACACAUACCCCACAAGCGGAGAUCAGCUGUAACAACGAGAACCAACGAGAAUGCACCUUGUACCGAGGGAUAAUGGUACUCAUGUUGAGCCAUCAGACGAAAAUAAAUCAAAGAACUUAAGGUAUAUCCACUCAAAUCUGGCGUCACCAAGAUCGAUGUGACCAAACAUGGUAAACUGACCUGCCUCAAGUCCACUUCAACAUACUGUUCAUACACCACACUGAGCUUCAUUUCCAGACCAGAUCCAGAUCCAUCCUGCAAGCCAACUCACGGAGGCGGCGAUAACAAAUGAAACAAACAGACCGUCUACGAGACACUGACCUGAUUUAUGUACAUAGGUUUGGGCAUAAAAUCCUAACUGUUAUAUCCUGCAACCCACACUUGCAGAAGACCAAAAGAACACAGGGAUCAAGAGUACGGAUAACUAGUAGGAUCAUGGAGAGCAAGAUCACAAACCAAAAUAUUUAACAGAUUCCAUGUCAUUACCGGCUAAAGAAUAAUCUGCAACCACAAGAAGGGCAGGAGCAAAAACCUAUAUCAAAGACAUGGCCAAGUAGCUAAACGAAAUGAAAAAAUAGGAGGGCUAGAGCCUUUCGGUUGUAGGAUGUGCCAUUAGUUGAAAGCUUCGGAUUGUCCUUCGAUUCAUGCACCUUUGCAUUUGAAUCUGUAUUAUAAAUAUUGCCUAGUAAGAUAAUUUGUAGGUUAUAUAAGUUUGUGAUGAAUUGAAACAAUACUCGUAGAUUUCAAAGAUCUGCAAACAAAUUCAUCAUCAGGUUGGACUCGAGGUCAUCAACUACAACCUGCAACGAGCAAGAGACCUUUCUAUAAAUUUUCAGUUCGGGGAAAACGUUACUUUUAAAUAGCUAAAGCAUGGAUCAAAGAUGGACGGGGAACAAGUAAAAGCCUGUCUCAGCUAGGAAGUUCGGCUAUGGUUGACGGAGGACAACAACACCGGUUCCAAACUGCAGUUAUAUCAUUUUCAAGUCAGUAUCUACAAGAGCUGAGAAUUACCGACUAAGGCGGAGAAGACAUGUACCUCAAUGAAAUAAAAAUAAGAGGAUAAGAGAUUAGGUUUUUUCCGGUUGUAGGAUGUGCCACUAGUUUUGAAGCUUCAUUAUUGCACCUUUACAGUUAAAUCUGAAUUUAAGAUAUUACCUAGUAAGAUAUCUUAUUAUUAUUAUCUAAGUCAAGGAAUUGAGAAGAUAGUAGAUUUAGAAGAACUGCAAACUCAAUAUCAGGUUGGUGGACUUGAGUUCGUAAACUACGACCUGCAACGAGUAAGAUACGUUUCUAUAAAUAUUUCAGUCAUGGGAAAACUAGGAUUAGGAAAGUAGGUAAAAACGAAUGAGGAGGUAAAGGAUGAGUAAGUCUGUCUCCACUGUGAAGCUAGGUCAGGUAGACACAUGGCUUUCAAUUAUAUCCCUUGCAAGACACUAUCUGCAAGAGCUGAAAAUGACUAAGGCAGGGAAAACUAAUGUCUGCUGAGUUCUAAUUAAUACUGUAUUGAAUAAAGAAGGUCCAAAAAGUUUAGCCACAGAAAAAGAACCGCCAUGCUGAGCCAAAAUAAGAGCACCCGCUAGGCCUGUGCAAUUCCAGAUUCUGGAUAACCAGCAAACAAUCCAAAUCAGAAUUGUUGGGAGAAUAAUUGAACCGUGGAGAAGAACAAAUUGAACAGAAUUUUGAUCAUCCAAACACAGGUCGGUCAGCAAGAAGAUAGUACGCCGCUCCCACUAAGCCGAGUAAUCUCAAUUUGUGACAACGAGCAAUGAAUCCAAAUUAAAGUUAGGCUAGAACUGAACGAAUCCAAAUGAAAUGAAGUGAAAUUCAGAGGAUCAUCUGAACACGGAUCUCAAGUUCCAGGUUGAUGUGCGAUCCAAAACUUCAGUCCAACACCAAACAUCAUCCCUGGAGACCUCUGACCAUAUGAAACCAAACCACCAUCCUUUCGGUUCAUCUAUGCGGAACCACUUCCUGCUUCUGCUGCAUCUGAAGGAGCACAAACACAAACCAAAAGCGAGAUCAACUGCUACAAUAAGAAUCCACCAAUACCUCUAAUCCACCUUAUAUUGAUUAUGAUGGAACUCGUGAUGAGAACUAGAAGACCACACGGGCAAUAGGCAUGUUAUCUGACCUACCUAAAAUCCCCUUGAACAUACACCAUCAUAGUGAUCUCCACAUAUCAGAUCCCAUCCGGCAUGGGAACACAAACGAACCAACAGUUACUGACCUGACACCGCAACAGACACACAGCAAAGGUUUGCAUAUGUAGGCACAGACUUCCUAAAUAAAUCCUGCAGUGCAACCCACACACUUAUAGGAAGACCAACACAGGGAUCAAGAGUACAGAUAUAACCAAUCAAACAACAAAGAGAUAGAUAGCAAACCAGAAGAUUUUUGACUCGCUACAAGCAUUGUCUUAGGCAAAACAGAUCUGCAACGACAUGGAGGGCAUAAGCACAAAUCAAAGACAUGAAAAUGUAGCUGAAUGAAAUAAAAAUAGGAGGGUAGGAGAUUAUUAUUUUUCCGGUUGUAGGAUAUGCCACUAGUUUGAAGCUUCAUUCUUGCACCAUUCGCAGCUAAAUCUGAAUUUAAAAUACUGCCUAGUAAGAGAUCUUAUUAACAUUAUCUCAGUUAAGGAAUUGAGUAGAUAGUGGUUUUAGAAGAACUGCAAAGUCAGCAUCAGGUUGGUGGCCUUGAGUUCGUAAACUACGACCUGCAACAAGCAAGAUACAUUUCCAUAAAUGCUUCAGUUAGGGAAAACUAGGAUGAAACGAUGAGGAGGUAGGAUAAGUAAGCCUGUCUCGACUGGGAAGGUCAGGUAGACAACACCGGUUCCAAUUAUAUAUCCUUUGCAAGACACUAUCUGCAAGAGCUGAGAAUGACUAAGACAGGGAAAACUAAUGUCUGCUGAGUUCUAAUUAAUAUUGAGUAAGAAAGUUCCAGAAAGUUCGAGCCAGGAAAGAAGAAGCGUCAUGCUGAGGCCACAUAGGAGCACCCGCUAGGCCCGUGUAAUUCCAGUUUCUGGACAACCAGCAACCAUUCCAAAUCAGAAUUGUUGAGAGAAUAAUUGAACUGUGGAGGGGAACAAAUUGAAGAGAGAGAGAGAGAGAGAGAGAGAGAGUUGAUCAUCCAAACACAAGAAGAUAAUAAGUCAGCUCCCACUAAGCCAAGUAAUCCCAAUUUCUGGACAGUGAAGACCAAAUCCAAAUUAGAAUUGUUGGAGGCUAAAAUUAAACGGUGGAGAGUAAGGGAUUAAAUAGAGAUAGGAGUAGUGAUAUUCAUCCAAACACAAAUCAGCCGAAGAUAGGUGGUCCCGCUAAGCCGUGUCAUCCCAUUUUCUGGAGAACCAUCAAGGAACGAAUCUAAAUCAGAUGAGUUGUAGAUUAACUGUGCUGUGCAAACCAAAUAAAUAAAUCGGGAGGGGUUGAAUUAUUAUUAUCAUCCAAUUGCAGACUGGUGAGAUCCAAAGCUUGAUCAUCUGUCCAUAUCAAUCAGAGUAACCGCUGAACCGUGACCAAUGAAUCAAAAUAACCAUAACAGAAACCAAACCUCCACCCUUUUUAUGUAUCAUCUCUUGCGAACUACCGAGCGUCCCUUGCCUCUGCUUCUGCUGCAUCUAGGAUGAGAGCACAAACACAUACCAAAAGCGGGAUCAGCCGGUAAAAUUUAGAAUCCACGAGGGCGUCGAAUCCACCUCGUAUUAUUAACCGAUGACGACGGAACCCGUGACGAGAGGGCUGGAUCGGGGGCAGGCCGCACGGGCGAGAGCCGGCCAACUGGAUCCAAAUCUGAAAUCGCCGAGGAAGGCAGGCAGGUGACGGAACCAAGGAACCGAUCUGACCGAUCGAGCACGGGAAACUGACCUUGCUUCGGCCCUCUCAUCACACAGAAAUCAGAGCAAAAUCGACGGAAUCCCCCGAUCGAUCGAUCGCUCGCUCCCCGAGGUCGCGCGGAGAUGGGCCGGAUCCCCUGCGAGCGCACAGGAAGCAAAGCCGCGAGGAGAUAAAUCAAACGCGAUUCGAAACGAAUCGAGAUUUGAUGGAUAAGGGGAAGGGAACAGUCGCGAAGACGCGAGGAGGCGACUCAGGCGAUCGACACCGGCGGCGCGGCCGGUCCGAACGAGAGCUCCAAGAGAGAGGGAGGAGGGCAGCGCGCGGGGUGGAAAGGGCGCACCUGGGCGCCUUUUAUAGCCGGAGGCGGAGGCGGUGGCCGGCCUGGCGCCCGCCAACCGGUUGCUUACCGGACACGGCUUCUUCGCCGCGGGUAAUGCUUUCCGUGGAGGAUACGUGUGGGCGGCGGAAAUCAAAAGCGAGUGGAAUUGCUGGGUCGGGGGGACCGGGUUUGGGUUGGUUUGGGUUGGGGCAACGGCAGGUCGGCAGCGCGGGUUGGGAGUUUUUUUUUUUUGAUAACGUGCGGGUUGGGAGUUGGGACCGACGGAGCCGGGAACUUUCUGGGGGCGCUUGAUAAUAUGCCUUCAGCUCGGGAGUGGCGAAGGGCCACUUGAGGUGCGAUGCCCGUGUCUGCGAGCACGAGCAACGACCAGCUCGUGGAUGAGAACGUGGAACAGGCGGGUGCGGUGGGGGUGGUUCGUUGUCCUGAUCCUAAACGUGAUCCGCCAAAUCAGCUGCCGUGUUUAAGAAAUCAAAAAUGUGCUCGUUAUUUUAUUUUUUAAUUUUUCAGAUCAACGUCGUCCGGUUGUUGAUAUUGGUUUGAGAACAGGCAUCUCCAACUAUCAAUCCGUAAUUAUUUUUUUCCUGCGUCCGUCUGCCAACAAAGGAUCAAUCCACGGACAUAUUUAUAAAAAAGACAUCCAACGCUAGCCGCAUGUCUAUGAAAGAAGGACAUCUAACGUUAGACGCACACAUCUACCGUGAAGAGGGAAUAUGCUUCUAAAUUCUUUCGUGCGAUUGACUCAUUUGACCUUUUUAAAUGGGAAUGGACUCCUUCUAAUAAUAGAUCUCGUGGGGUCCUAUGUGGUCUUAAGAAAGAUAGCUAAAAAAGGAAAUACAUCCUGCAGAUUUAUGUUCAUGAUAUUAACAAAAAAAAUUGACUGGGAUCUCCUAGUUGCUUAUGGUUCUCCUCAUGAGGAGUUCAAGGAGGAAUUCCUUGUUGAGAUGGUCUUAUUUUGUAGCAGCGUAAACGGUCUCUAUAUAAUCGGGGAACUUCAAUAUUCUGAGACACAGUAGAGAGAAAAUUAGAAAGUCCAUUUUCACAAACCCUCUAAGACAUCUAACUCUGUUAUUAACUCAUUGGGUCUGAGAGAUGUACGCAUCAAUGGAGGCAAAUUCACGUGGACUAAUAACCAGGCUCAUCCCACUCUUAAAAAAUUGGAUCGUAUCCCUAUUAAUUAUGACUGAGAAAAAUUAUUCCCCCUAGUAUCUGUUAGAGAAUUUGUCAAAGAGAUUUCUGAUCAUAACCCUUUGAUCGUUUCCUCGGGGAUGAUGAGAGGGAAGCCCCUAAAGCUCGUGACUUUCGCUUCGAACUUUCCUCGCUUAAAAAUGAGGAAUUCCUCGGACUGUCUAGGGGUAUUUGGAGUAGAAAGGUGAAUGCUAUAGACCCUAUUGAUGCUCUCAAUAUCAAAUUGAAAGAUUCAAAGCCUACUUCAAAGGACGGGGGUCCAACAAAUAUGGCCAUGAAAACGGAGGAGGGAAGAGCUUUGUUUGGAAUUGUCCAUGUUGGAAGAGCUUGAAGAAGAAGGCCUUCUACCCCGUGACACUAUAGGAAUCAGGAAAUUGUCAUCUGUCUGAUCUUUGUCGCCUGUUGGUUGAUGGCAAAUAGACUUUUUGCCAUUAGCUGUCGAAAAAUAGACGACAAAGAACUGGUUAAUGGAAAAGAUGCUUUUUGCCGUCAUUGCAUUCUUUGUCGUCUGCUGGCGGACGGCAAAGAUGGACCAGACACACGACAAAGAAAUAGCUGAGGACAAAGAUGGUCCGCACAAACGACAAAGAGUCACCGCAGCUUGAGCCGUCCCCUUUGCCAUCUGCAGCCUCUUUGUCGUUCGCCCAAACCCUCUUUGUCGUCUUCCUGAUCCCCAGGCGGACGACAAAGGGGACGGCGCCCCACCUCCCCACUAACGGCGGCUCGCCUAGGUCUCACCACCCCGAUCCCCACUCUUUCUCUCCCUCUCCCCCGACCCCCACCCUCAUCUCCACCUGCGUCGCCCCCCAUCACCGCGUGGCCCGCACCGCGCCCCUCAUCUCCACCUGCAUUUCCUCCCCGCGCUGCCACACCACCACCAUCGCGUUGCCCCCCUCCCGGUGGCUUCCCCUCCAUCGCGCCGCCCCCCACCACCGCACCGCCCUCACCCCGCACAGUCCCCCUCCCCACGCCGGCUCCCCGUGUCUCCCCCAUCAUCAUCACAGCUACCCCCUCCCGGCGCCACCCUCUCCUCGCAUCGGACCCUCACCGCGCCGCACCAACCACCGCACCGCCCCACCUCGUGCGCCCCCUCCCCACGACGGUUCCCCCGUGUCCCCCCCCCCACAAUUUGGGUUCUUAUUAUUUCAAAAAAAACUCGCUGUGGGGGUUCCCCUUACAGUUUUCCUUCAAAAAAAUAUAUAGCCAAUCAGUGGUUUGCUAGGUUGUGAACAGGUUGAAGGUUUUCAUGACAAUGUUGGGAGGCUGAUAUUUAACAUGUGGUAGGCAACGAGACAUAUUGAUAGAAACGGUAAUACUAGCAUGUCAAUGAUAGUAAUGGUAUCUGGGAAAAUGGUCAUCUUGCCUGAGAUCCCGCUGAGAAGAAGAUUGACUCCGUGAAGCAGACGACAGGUCCUCACAAUCCGACAUGCUUGCGGAACUCUAUCGAGACGAAGGAAACCGAAAACAAGAAUAAACACACGAUAUUCCCCACGGCAUAUGCACGACAAGAUGCAAUCCACAUAUGAUGCAUGAACAGGGAAUACAUGCAAGUCACGGCAUGUCAAGUCACAACAACCAAAUACUACACAUUAAAUGAAGUUCAAUAUGCAACGAGGUGCAUAUUGACGAAACUCCACAUACGAGUUAUUUACUUCUAUCCCGAUUUGGUACACGGCAAUAUUAAAUGUGGUUACACAUGGCAAGAGGUGAAGCGCAAUUACUCUACUUAUCUAGGCAUUUUAAAUGAGGUCGGAAAUGACAUAUAGCAUCUCCGAAAUGACCUCACAUAUUAAUUUACAAUUCUGUCCAGAUCUGAACUAACAUGUUUAAUUAGUUGUUAAACAGCAAAACAAAUAGUUUCACGUGAUUCUACGCGUCGGUACAAGCAAUUUACACAUAUAGAACAUCUCCAAUGGAGCUACGGGUCAAAAGAUACGAACACCGCAAGAUAUGAUGGCAUGAAUGCAAAAUGUGUGCAAAUGGCAUCCACAACAUUUCAAAACACACAACCAGCAAGAUAAAAUGAAACUGCACAAGAUUCUAAGCAAGUUUCAUAUAGGACACCAUCAAAAUGGAGCAACGGUUCAACAACUACGAGCAACACAAGAAAUCACUACAAUCUGCCAAAAUCAGCCACAUAGCAUUUUUUACACCCCACAACUACGAGCUACACAAUUCUAAUAUACUCAACCAAGACAUGACAUGAUAGAGGGAAAGAAGCACUACAAGAUACAACUAACAACAACUAGCAUGGAAGCAUGGAACACUAGGAAAAGAAGUCACAAAAAGGCAUCUCACACACAGUUUCAGACUUAGUGAAAAUAACACUUUAUGAAACUGCAGUUUUCGAUCUGAAGGCAUAUUGACAGCAGCAAAGCCAUAAGCUACAGGACUCCAAAUGGCAUGAAAAUUCACAGCAUGUUAGAGAAUCCUAAAGUCUACAACUAACUCCAUUUCAUCAACCUCAAAGGAGCUACAGAUCACAAGAUAAACUCAUGCAAAGACAACAACAAAAUAUAACAGAUUUCAGACUUAGAAAUAUUUCAGCAUCUCCAAAACAGCACUAUUUCCUAGCAACUUGAGAACAAACAAACCACACCUAAACAUGGAUUCCUAUUGCAACCAAAAUUACCAGGGGCUAGACUAAACAUCCAAAAGCAAAACUCUAAUUGACAACUAACCCAUAUCACGCAUGGAUUAAAUCCCACGAAAUAAACAAUAGGGCAUCAUGACAAAAUAUCACGUGAAAUAACUUGCUCCAAAGCUAAAACUAAAUACACAGUUAAAUCCUAUGGAUUUUUCUACCCCGAAAACGUAUAUAACAUGAAGGGUUGCAAAAGAAAAUCAACGCCACACGUAUAUGCGGGAUUAUGUCCACGACACGGUAAAACAACUAGCUACUAAACCCUACGUGCAAAAAUACCAACAACCACUCUAAAAUACAUGGCAAAGGGGUUCCUAAAACAUGAACAUUUCUACUAUGGAGUUCGAACAAAAAAAAGAUAACACGGGACACAAACAUAAUAGACAACACACGUUUCUAGGCAUUCGGCACGCUAAACUAUGUCAAACAAUUAUGCAAGUUGCAAAAUCGUAAUCUACGCGCAAAACUACACAAAUACAUAUGCUACACGCCACGAUCCGACUUACGGUUAAUAAACUACGGGCGAUUUAAUAUUUAGCUAAUUUCUGAAAUCUAACUAAUUCGAGAAACUCCAAUAAAACCUAUUGGGCCGAAUCCAUCUACGGGCCUAAACAGAGGCAUGGGCGCAUGGUAUAGAAAAGUGCCUAGGGCGGGGAAUAGAGGAUCACCUUGGGGGGCCUCUUGGGCCGGUUGGGAGGCUGCAACAGAGGGGAGGUGGCCGACUGGGCAUUGGGCCGGCCUGGUGCAGUGGGGCCCGGGUGGGGCUGGCCGAAGGAGGCCUCGGGGGAGCCGGGCCGAAGCAGGGGGGACGAGCUGGGCGGGGGCUUGCUGGGCCGCGGCGAGGCCGGUGAGGCCCAGGAGCGGGACGCGUCGCUGGAGCGGGGCUCCUCGUCGUGUCCGAGGGCACAGGGCCUGGCGGCGGCCGACGUAAGGCAGCGAAGGCGGCGGCGAGCACGGGAACCGGCGGCGGGGUGCAAGGGAGGCCAGAUCCCGGUGGCCUUGGGCGGAUCCGGGCACCGGGGAUCCGUUCCCGGCGGAGGGGACGGCGGAGCACAUGGCUGUCGGCGGCGAGCUCGCGGUGGGAGGACGACGCAGGGAGCUUGGGGCGGCGGGAUCCGGCCGGAACGGGCACGGGCGACGGUGCGGAAGGUGCAGGGCAAGGAGCUGCUCGGCUACCAGGAAGCGACGAGGGCUCCCGUCGGCGAAGGAGCUCGGGAGGAGGAGGCUGCAGGCUCGGGAGGAGCACCUCGGCAAGGGAGACGCAGGGCGCCGGCGGCGGCUCGGUUCGGGCCCGGGCGGGCUCCAGAUGGGCCUCGGCGGGCCCGCGACGGCUGGAGGCCGAGGGGAGGAGAGAGAGAGGUGGGAUUAGGGUUAGGCGAGGCACGGUUUUUGAGGCAGAGGGGGUGGGUGUCUAAAAAAAUGGCAUGGGAGGUCCUAUUUAUAGGCAAAGGGGGCUAGGUUUAGCGAAAUUCCGCCCCGGUUUCAACCGCGCGGUCGGAUUCGAAUAAUUCUGAACGAGGGACGGACUAAAUGCCCGUGUAGAGUAGUUAUCCGGAGACGAGAGGGAAAAUGGGCGGAGCGGCAACACGAUUUGAAAACACCGAUAACCGUCCGACGGUAGACCGAAUAGGGUGCCGCUACGGUCGACCGUUCUGGUACCAGACGGACUCCGAUUGCGACGAAACUUGACAGGCGGCCUAGUUACCACUAAUUACGACCGCACGCCAAGUUCCAACCCAAUCAGAUAAAGGUUUACACACACUUUAAAAACAGGGUUUUGACGAUGCCGCGGCGCGUGCGUGUGCGGUCGGGCUCAGAACGGACAACGAUGAGAACCGGCAACUAACAACGGAUGCAAGUUUUGAAAACUAGCGGCAACGGGAUGCCGAUGCAAUGCGGAUGAUGCGCAUGAUGCGAUGAUGAUGCGACAAAUAAAAAUAAUCACACGACGGAAACGGAAUAGAAGGGGAAUCUUCUGGAACGUCGGCAUCGGGUUGUCACACCGCCCCACCACCGCGCCGCCCCCUCCCCGUGCCGCCCCUACCCACGCCAGCUCCCCUGCGCCGCCCCACCACCACGCCGCCCCUCCCGUGCCGCCUCUACCCAUGCCAACUCCCCUACGUUGGCCCCACCACCACAGCUCCCCCGUUCCGGCGUCGCUCCCCACCACCACCACUAUUGGAAAUAUGCCCUAAAGGCAAUAAUAAAAUGGUUAUUAUCAUAUUUCCUUGUGGGCGGCGAAAAUCAAAUCAAAAUCGAGUGGAUCGGGUUGGAUCCGGACUUGGUUUGGUUCGGGUGGGCGGCUCGCAGUGGCAGGUCGGCAGCGACGGAGCCGAGAACUUUCUGGACUGCUCGGGAGUCGCGACGGGUCAUGUGAUGUGUGAUGUCGUGUGUGGCUUCCCGUGUUUGCGAGCGCGAGCCACGACCAGCUCGUGGAUGAGAACGUGGAAUCAGCUGAACGCGGUGCCGUGGGGUGGUUCGUUGUCCUGGUCCUAAACGUGAUCCGCCAAAUCAGUUGUCGUGUUUAAGAAAUCAAUGUGCUCGUUGUUUUUAAUUUUUAACUUUUCAGGUCAAGGUCGUCCGGUUGUUGAUAUUGGUUCGAGAACACGCAUCUCCAACUAUCAAUCCGUAAUUUUUUUCGUGCGUCCGUCUGCAAAUAAAGGAUCAAUCCAUGGACAUAUUUAUAAAAAAGACAUCCAAAGCUAGCCGUAUGUUUAUGAACGAAGGACAUCUAACGUUAGACGCAUACAUCUACCGUGAAGAGGGAAUAUCCUUCUAAAUUAUUUCGUACGAUUGACCCAUUUGACCUUUCAAAUGGGAAUGAAUUCUUUCUAAUGAUAGAUCUCGUGGGAUCGUAUGUGGUCUUAAGAAAGAUAGCUAAAGAAAGGAAAUAUAUCCUACAGGUUUAUGUUCAUGAUAUUAACAAGAAAACUAAAUGGGAUCUCGUAGUUUCUUAUGGUUCUCGUCAUGAGGAGUUCAAGAAGGAAAUCCUCGUUGAGAUGGAUGGCCUAUUUUUGUAGCAGUGUAAACUGUCCCUAUAUAAUCGAGGACUUCAAUAUUCUAAGACACAGCAAAGAGAAAAUAAAAAAUAUGUCCAUUUUUACAAAUCCUCUUAGCUAUUUAACUAUGUUAUUAAUUCAUUGGGUCUUAGAGAUGUACACAUCAAUGGAGACGAGUUCAUGUGGACUAAUAACCAGGCUCAUCCCACUCUUGAAAAACUGGAUCGUAUCCUUAUUAGUGAUGAGUCAGGAAAAAUUAUUCCCCUUAGUACGUGUUAGAGAACUUGUCAAAGAAAUUUCUAAUCAUAACCCUUUGGUCAUUUCCUCAAGGAUGAUGGGAGGGCAGCUUCUAAAGCUCGCGAGUUUCGUUUCGAACUCCUGGCUUAAAUAUGUGGAAUUCCUCGGACUGUCUAGGGGCAUUUGGAGUAGAAAGGUGAAUGCUAUGGACCCUAUUGAUGUUCUCAACAUCAAAUUCAAAAGAUUCAAAACCUACUUCAAAGGACGUGGGUCGAACAAAUAUGGCCAUGAAGAAUGAACGAGGGAAGAGCUCUGUUUGGAAUUGUGCAUGCUGGAAGAGCUUGAUCUUUGUCGUCUGCUAGGUAAUGGCAAAGAGACUUUUUGCCAUUAGCUGCCAAAAAAUAGACGGCAACGAAGUGGCUAAUGGGAAAGAUACUCUUUGCCGUUAGUGCAUUCUUUGUCGUCUGCUCGCGGACGACAAAGAUGGACCACACAGACGACAAAGAAAUAACUAAUGGCAAAGAUGGUCCGGACAAACGACAAAGAGUCACCGCAGCUUGAGCCGCCAACUUUGCCAUCUGCGGCCUCUUUGUCGUCUGCCCCAACCCUCAGGCGGAUGGCAAAGGGGAUGGCGCCCGACCUUCCCACUGACGAUACCUCACCUAGGUCUCCCUACCCGGAUCCCCACUCUUUCUCUCCCUCUCCCCCGAUCCCCAUCCUCAUCUCCACCUCCGUCGCACCCACCACCCCACCAUCGCGCCGCCCCCACCCCGCGCCUCAUCUACACCUGCCUCUCCUUCCCGCGUCGCCACACCACCACCAUUGUGUCGCCCCCUCCCGGUGGCUUCCCCUCUACCGCGCCGCCCCCACCACCGCAUCGCCCUACCCUGCGCAGCCCCCCUCCCCAUGCCGGAUUGUCACGCCCAAGAUGCGACCCUAUCCUCAAUUUGGCACGAAGGCCACGUCAGGGAUAGAAGCGCANNNNNNNNNNNNNNNNNNNNNNNNNNNNNNNNNNNNNNNNNNNNNNNNNNNNNNNNNNNNNNNNNNNNNNNNNNNNNNNNNNNNNNNNNNNNNNNNNNNNNNNNNNNNNNNNNNNNNNNNNNNNNNNNNNNNNNNNNNNNNNNNNNNNNNNNNNNNNNNNNNNNNNNNNNNNNNNNNNNNNNNNNNNNNNNNNNNNNNNNNNNNNNNNNNNNNNNNNNNNNNNNNNNNNNNNNNNNNNNNNNNNNNNNNNNNNNNNNNNNNNNNNNNNNNNNNNNNNNNNNNNNNNNNNNNNNNNNNNNNNNNNNNNNNNNNNNNNNNNNNNNNNNNNNNNNNNNNNNNNNNNNNNNNNNNNNNNNNNNNNNNNNNNNNNNNNNNNNNNNUGAAAAGAAGAGAUAUAUAAAGAGUUGGCUUACACUCGCCACAAGCUACAUCAGAGUCACAUCAGUACAUUACAUAAUCAUCAAGAGUAAGAGCAGGGUCCGUCUACGACGAAAACAAACGAGAAAAAUAAGAACGACGUCCAUCCUUGCUAUCCCAGGCUGCCGGCCUGGAACCCAUCCUAGAUCGACGACGAAGAAGAAGAAGAAGCAACUUCAAAUGAACAAUCAACGCGCUCGCGUCAAGUAACCUUUACUUGUACCUGCAACUGGUGUUGUAGUAAUCUGUGAGCCACAGGGGACUCAGCAAUCUCAUUUCCAAAGGUAUCAAGACUAGCAAAGCUUAAUGGGUGAGGUAUGGUUAAGUGGUGAGGUUGCAUCAGCGGCUAAGCAUAUAUUUGGUGGCUAACUUACGAGUACAAGAAAUAAGAGGGGGAACAUCUACGCAUAGCGGACGUGAACUACUGAUGAUCAAAUGAAUGAUCCUGAGCACCUACCUACGUCAGGCAUAACCCCACCGUGUCCUCGAUCGGAGAAGGAACUCACGAAAGAGACAGUCACGGUUACGCACACAGUUGGCAUAUCUUAAUUAAGUUAACUUCAAGUUAUCUAGAACCAGUGUUAAACAAAGUUUCCACGUUGCCACAUAACCGCGGGCAUGGCUUUCCGAAAGAUUUAACCCUGCAGGGGUGCUCCAACUAGUCCAUCACAAAUUACCACAAGCCGCAUAGAAAUCCUCAAUCACGAAGCUCGCGAUCUCGUCGGAUUCCCUAGUGGAAAACCUCAACUCUGAGAAUACCCAAAGCAUCACCGGAAUCCCGAUGCACAAGAUAUCUCGUCAAAGGUAAAACUAAUCCAGCAAGGCCGCCCGACGUGUCGACGAUCCCGAUAGGAGCCGCGUAUCUCGUUCUCAGGACACGACGGAUAAGCACAGCGUACGGUGGCCUGAUAGAAAUCUCCCGAGUUGCCCCGGGUUGGCCCCGCAAACGGCUCUAGUUUUUGGACCAACACUCAUGAUGAGCAUUGGCCCCGGGGGUUGAUUAAAUUAUCCUCGGGGUCCGAAAAGUCCCUAUGCAAUUUAUUAGGUGAUUAGGCAAAUGUAGUACCAAAGUUGGGCCUUGCCAGACCAGCUUUAAUCUAAAACGAAUUAUCAAGGGGGCCCCAUAACAACCCCGAUCGUGUUAGGAGCGCUCAUUUAUGGAAUAUAACACCGGAAGCCGAAAACUAAGGGGGCAAAGGUGGAACAAAACACCAGUCUAGAAAGACCGAGCCUUCCACCUUUUACCAAGUAUAUAGGUGCAUUAAAUUAAAUAGCAUUAAUAUGGUGAUAUAACAAGGAACCCAUGUUUUUCACAUGGAAGCAACUACAUCUACAACUAGCAACGCUAACAACAUGGAUAAGCAAGCAGUAACAUAGCCAAUCAGUGGUUUGCUAGGUCGAACAGGUUGAAGGUUAUCAUGGUAUUGUUGAGAGGCUGAUAUUUAACAUGUGGUAGGCAACGAGACAUAAUCGAUAGAAGCGAUAAAACUAGCAUGGCAAUGAUAGUAAUGGUAUUUGAGGAAAUGAUCAUCUUGCCUGAAAUCCCCCUUGGAAGAAGAAUGCCUCCGUGUAGCAGACGAACCGACGUAGUCGAACGGGUCCUCACAUCUGACACGCUUGCGGAACUCUAUCGAGACGAAGCAAACCAGAAACAUAAAUCAACACACGAUAUUCACCACACGAUGCACAACACAUAUGAUGCAUGAGCUACUGAAUACAUGCCACGGCAUGACAAUUCACACAGUCAAACACUACACAUUAAGUGAAGUUCAAUAUGCAACGAGUUGCAUAUUGACGAAACUCCACGUUUAUUAUUUAGUUCUAUCCCAAUUAGAUACACGACAAUAUUAAAUGUGGUUAAACAUGGCAAGAGGUGAAGCGCAAUUAAACUACCUAUCUAGGCAUUUUAAAUGAGGUCAGAAAUGUCAUAUAGCACCUCCGAAACGACCUCGCAUGUUAAUUUACAAUUCUGUCCAGAUCUGAAUUAACACCUUUAAUUAGUUGUUAAACAGCAAAACAAGUAGGUUCACGUGAUUCUACGCGUCAUUUCAAGCAAACUACACAUAGAGAACAUCUCCAACGGAGCUACGGACCAAAAGAUACAAGCACCGCAAGAUAUGAUGGCAUGAAUGCAAUAUGUGUGCAACGACGGCUACGAGCACUUCAAAACAUACAACCAGCAAGAGAAAAUGAAACUACACGAGAUUCUAAGCAAGUUUCAUGUAGUACACGAUCAAAUCGGAGCUACGGUUCAACAACUACGAGCAAAACAAGAAAUGACUACAAUAUGCCAAAAUCAGCCACAUAGCAUAUUUUACGCCCCACAACUACGAGCUACACAACUCCGAUAAACUCAAGCGAGGCAUGGCACGAAAGAGGGCAAGACGCACUACUACAAACAACUAACAACAACUAGCAUGACAGCAAGGAGCACUAGGAAAAGAAGACACAAAAUGGCUUCCCACACACUAUUUCAGACUUAGUGAAAAUAACACCUCAUGAAAGUGCAGUUUUCAGCCUGAAGGCAUAUUGACAGCAGCAAAACCAUGAGCUACAUGGCUCCAAAUGGCAUGAAAAUUUACAGCAUGCUAGAGAAACAUAAGGGCUACAACUAACGCCAUUGGACCAACCUCAAAAGAGCUACAUAUCACAAGAUGCAAGCAAGAUAAGACAGCAACAAAAUAUAACAGAUUCCAGACUUAGAAAUAUUUCAGCUACUCUAAAACAGCACUAUUUCUAGCAAGUUGAGAGCAAGCAAACAACACCUAAACAUGCAUUUCUAUUGCAACCAAAAAUACCAGGGGCUAAACAAAACAUCCAAGAUCAACUCUCUAGUUGACAACUCCGUCAAACGAAGCACGGAAUAAAUCCUAUGAAAUAAACAAAAGGGCAUCACGGCAAAAAUAUCGCACGAACUAACUUGCUCUAAUGCUAAAACUAAUUGCACAGAAAAAUCCAUGGGAUUUUUCUACCCCAGAAACAUAUAAAAUAUGUGGGGUUUGCAACACAAAAUAAAGCCACACAAAAAUGCGAGAUAAUAACCUAUACACGGAAAAAAAAACUACCGGUAAUUCCUACACGCAAAAAUACGAGUGACCGCUCUAAAAUGCAUGGAAAACUGGUCCCUAAAACAUAGGCAUUUCUAUACGGCACUCGAGCAAUCCGGACUUGCACGAAAAAUAGAUACGGGUCGAAACCUAUUAGGACAGCACGCAAACCUAGGCAUACGACACGCUAAAUGACCUCAAAUAAUUAUGCAAGUGUUAUAAUCGGGUUCUACUCGCAAAACUACCCCAAACCCAUAUAAGAUACGCCCCGUUCCGACUUACGGUUAAAAAGAUACGAACGUUUUAAAAUACGUCUAUUUUUCUGGAAAAGAGUUAAAUCCCAGGAAUUAUAAAAACCCUACACGGGCCGAAAGUGGCAGGCGCUUCAUAACAAAACAGCGCACGCGCAAGGGAUAGCUCACCUCGGGCCACAGGCCGACGGUUGGGGCGGAGGCCUCUUGGGCCGGCUCGAGGUGGGCCAGGGGUCAGUGGUUGGAGCGGGCCGGUCGCGCGGGGUAGGCCGAGCUGGGCCGAGGCGGCGCUGGCGCGGGAGGCCGGCCCACGUGGUGCUGGCGAGCGCUGCCCCUGGGGUCGUCGUCCUCCUCUGCUCCCGAUCUGGGCAGGAGGCGGCGCGGCUCAGGGACCUGGCGCGGGGGCUCGCGCCGGUGAGGGAGGCCAGAUCCGGCCGGCCUUGAGCGGAUCCGGGCACCGGGGACCCGUUCUCGGCGGCGGGGACGGCGGACACAAGGCGGCCAGCGCUCAGACGGCGGCGCAAGGAGCGGCUCGGUCCGGCGGCUCGCGGUUGCAGGCCUCGGGAACUUCGGGCAGGAGUGGCAGGGCUCGACGGGAGUAGGGACUCCGGCAGGCGGCCCUGGCAAAGGACGACGCGGGACUCUGGCGAGCUGCCGGAGACGGAGGGACGAGCCCCGGCGGCGAGGAGGCACGGGCUGUUGCGAGCAGGAGCAGCGGGGAGGCGGCGCGCAGAUGGGCCUCGGGCGGGCCGCGCGCGGGCUCGUGCGGGCCCGGCGGCUGGGGGAGGAGAGAGAGGUGGGAAAAUUAGGGUUAGGGGUAGGUGGGCGCGGAAAACAAGGAGGGAUUUGAGGGAGGCUGUCUAAAAUUAGGAGGGGGGUAUUUAUAGAGAAAAUGAGGGCUAGGUUACCCGGAAUCGCGUUCCGGAUCCAACCGCGGGGUCGGAUUCGGGCGAUUUCGAAUGCAGGAAUGGGUACGCGGCCGUGUAGAGGGUAUAUCCGGAGACGAGAGGGAGAACAGACGGCACAACAACAAUUUUUAAAACACCGAUGACCGUCCAACGGUAGACCGAAUACGGUGCCGCUACGGUCGACCGUUCGGGUACCAGACGGACUCCGAUCGCGACGAAAUUCGACAGGCGGCCUAGCUAGAACUAACUAUGACCGCACGUCAAAUCUCAACCCGAUUAGAGAAAUUUUUACGCACUCUUUUAAAAUAGGGUUUCGACGGUGCCGCGGGCGAGUGCGAGUGCGGUCGGGCUCAGAACGGACAACGACGAGAACCGGCAACUACUAACGGAUGCAAGUUUUGAAAACGGGCGGCAACGGAGAUGCCGAUGCAAUGCAGAUGAUGUGCAUGAUGCGAUGAUGAUGCGACAAAAGAAAAUAGACACACGACGAAAACGGAAAGAGAGGGGAAUCUUCUGGAANCGCCCCCUCCCCGUGCCGCCCCACCCCACAUCAGCUCGCCUACGCCGGCCCCACCACCGCGGCUCCCCCGUUCCGGCGCCGCUCCCCACCACCACCACCGGCCCUCAAGGUCAAAUUUUUUGCUUUUUCUGUUUUUUCUAUUUAGGUUUAGGGUAAUUAGUGUCUGGUUUAGGUUAGUGCUAGGUUUAGGUUUAGAUUUAGAUAAUUAGAAGAAGAAGAAGAAAGAUGAAAAAAAUAAGAAGAAAAGAAGAAUAAUUAAGUAUAAUAAAAGGAUAAAGGAAGAAAAGGAAGAAAAGGAAGAAGAAGAAGAAGAAGAAGAAGAAGAAGAGGAGGAGGAGGAGGAGGAGGAGGAGGAGAAAAGAACAACAACAACAAUAACAACAACAACAACAACAACAACAACAACAAUAACAACAACAACAACAAGAGAAGAUGAGGAGGAGGAGGAGGAGAAAAAAUAAUAAUAAGAAGAAGAAGGAUAAGAAGAAAAAGAGGAGAGGAGGAGAAGAAGAAGAGGGAAAAAGGAAAAGGAGAAGGAGAAGAAGAGGAGGAGAAGAAACAACAGCAACAACAACAACAACAACAACAACAAAACAACAACAACAACAACAACAACAACAAGAGUAAAAAGGAAAGGAAGAAGGAGAAGAAGAGGCCAACUGGAUCAUGGUUUUGUAAAUUACGAGUUAGGUCAUAUAUUUUCCAAUUUUUUUAUAAAAAAUAAAAAUAUUUCUGUUGAUUGGGUGGAUUUACAUGUGUAGUUGUUUCGCCGUUGCGAGGUCUGGUGUUUGAAGACCUUUCCAUGCGUUCGACGAGCUCUCCGCCCGUGCGUUCGUGGGUGAGCACAAAUGACACUCCUCCUCUCCCCUUCAUUUGCUCUGUUCCGGUCUUCGUGUUGAUGAAACUUGCUAGAUAUAUGUACAUUAAAUCAUCAGUAUGCGUGACCACUAUGCGUCUCCUGUUCGAAAGGGUUACAAUUAUAAAUAUGCAUGCAUUUGCAUAUAUUUAUAACCGUGAUUCUUUCGAAUUGUCCAACGUUAUCCAUGGACAUCCUGAGUAUGUGUAGAUUGCGUUCGUUUUCCCAUAUGCUCUGCUUUGAAUUCGAUGCAUAAUUUCGUCAGUGCCUCCCUGUUGUUCUCCAGGUACACAUCCUCUUUGUUUAUUGUUGAGACGUGUAUCAGGAGAACAACGGGGAGGUGCAGCCGAAAUUUUGCAUCGCAUCCGAAGCAGAGCAUGGGAAAACGAACCCAAUCUUCACAUAGUCGGAUGGGAUUAGGGUCAAUCUUUACCUAUUAGCAUGUAGGUUGCACGGACGUAAUAAAACUAAAAAACUUGAUUAACUGAUGAAUAUAUAAUGAAUUAUAUAUAUAUAUAUAUAUAUAUAUAUAUGGAAAAUCAAUACUACCACUAGGGGGUAGUUACCCCAUGCCCAACACCGUCUGAUCUGGUGUGGUGGACGCUUUGAUUAACGGGUUUGGUUCUAGUAAUACACCAUUUUUAUUUUCAUCCCAUAAAGCAACUAAUCGUGCAGUUCCUAUUUUCAUGUAUGGAUAUAACUACCACACGUCCAACAGAUAUCUAGCUUUCACAUCUGGCUACCAGCUGCAGCAGAUUUUAUGGCAAUCCCAGUCAAUUCGGAUUAUGAGCAUCGAUGCAUGUUGCAAGGUAUUCAUCCGGCGGACAAAAUCUUUCAAAUUGUUCCUGAUAGAUUUUAUUAUCUAAUUGAAUUCUUUGAUCAGCAGCCAUGGGCAUUGACUUUUUUAUCUAAUUGAAUUCUUUGAUAAGCAGCCAUGGCCGAUGUCAACCAUGCAUCAAAUUUUCAAGACCUUAUAAUUUUCAAGACACAGCCGCCGUCGAGUUGCGCGCUCCGAAUGACACAGCCGCCAGCCAUUGAGGAGCUCAACAUUGCUGCAUCGUCCUCAUGUUCUGGAAAGUUUCCAAACUAUCACUACAUUCAGCACUAUCAUGAAUUCCAAUCCAGUUCUCAUGUUACAGAUCAGUAUACGUACAUGCGUGGACAUGUAUCAUCACUUCGUGUUGAAUUGUAUCCCCAUAUUAUUUUUAGCUCAAUCAUGUUCUAGCUAGCACAUGUAAUUGAUUGAAGAUUUCAUAUCUUGGUGAAUUUUUUAUUUUGCAAUCUUAUUUUUGUACGUAAAAAAAUAUAACAAACACAUCCAUACUCUUGUACAUUUGUUCAGUAUAUAUUUAUUCCGGAGAUACUCCUCUUAUCUUCGAGUAUAUGUACAUUUUGUGUGGGAAGAUACUCCUUACUUUUGGAAAUUAUACUGCUUAUUUGGACGUACUCCAUACUUCAUUCACCUUUUCAAAUAUACUCCAUACUGUAGCACUAUAGUAGUAUGUAGACAUGUAGUACACACCAUACUUCUAUUACAAACUAUAUAUUACAUGCGAAGUACUACUUUUUUGGGAGACUUAUUUUGUAUGUCCAUGUAAGAAUCUUAAUACUCUAUACUCCAGCUUGUUGUUAAUACUUCAUACUUCAAUAAUCAAAUUCUUAUACUUCAUACUCCAAUUUUACGUUAGCAUUGCAUACUACAUACUAAUGAAAUUACAUGUCAAUACUUCAUACUACAAAAUUUACAUGUCAAUACUCCAUACUACACGUAUGACUAUACUCUAUGUGGUUCUAAAAGGGGAAUAUAUUUGGCACAAUAAUAGCAGAAUCCAAAAAGAGUUAUUUGUACCAUACUAUCUAUUUCCAACAAAAAUUACGGUGCGUAUAAAAUAACAGCAUCAUGUUCACAUGCUUAUAUUGUUGUACGCACCCUGGAUUAAGGAGGUAGUUGCAACAGCCUUUCAACGGCUUGCUGGAUUAUUUUAUUAUAUAAACUAAAUUAGUUUCUGCCUAUAAAAUUGCAUCGGCACCCGUUAACACAGUAUCCAUUACCCUGUUGACUUGAUGCCAUUAUUUGAGCGAGGGAAAGAGGGACACGUGGAGGCCAAAGAAAAUGGUGGUAACUACCACUCUUGUAGAUAAAGUUUGUCAUAUAUAUAUAUAUAUAUNNNNNNNNNNNNNNNNNNNNNNNNNNNNNNNNNNNNNNNNNNNNNNNNNNNNNNNNNNNNNNNNNNNNNNNNNNNNNNNNNNNNNNNNNNNNNNNNNNNNNNNNNNNNNNNNNNNNNNNNNNNNNNNNNNNNNNNNNNNNNNNNNNNNNNNNNNNNNNNNNNNNNNNNNNNNNNNNNNNNNNNNNNNNNNNNNNNNNNNNNNNNNNNNNNNNNNNNNNNNNNNNNNNNNNNNNNNNNNNNNNNNNNNNNNNNNNNNNNNNNNNNNNNNNNNNNNNNNNNNNNNNNNNNNNNNNNNNNNNNNNNNNNNNNNNNNNNNNNNNNNNNNNNNNNNNNNNNNNNNNNNNNNNNNNNNNNNNNNNNNNNNNNNNNNNNNNNNNNNNNNNNNNNNNNNNNNAUGAGUGAUCGUGCGUGGAUGUACACCGGUCAAUGGAAGUAGACAACGACAGUGAAUUCGACUUCACCCUUCAGUUGGAACCAGUAGAGCUGGAACUAGAAGAGGUUACUGCUGCGAAUGACCUGUUAAUGCUUGACCGAUUACAGAAAGGCCUUCAAUAUGUUGAUGUCGGUGAACCCGAUGAGCACGUCAUUCAUGAUGACACGCGUGAUAGUGAUGAUGAUGAUGCAUUUAAUAAUCCCGGAGCAUAUAUAGACGAUCGAGACUAUUAUUAGUUUGUAUGCAUCCCAACUUAAAUUAUAUAUGUACAUAUUAUUCUUCAUGUUAGGUAUUCAAAUUUUUUUAUGUUGUACUACUUUCUUUUACUCUUUGUCAUGGCAUGUGUUGAAAGAUGGUGGGCGCGGGUCCAGAUCGCUUGGCGGAUACUUCAUAGGCGGCCCGCAGGAGGGGUCCGUCCAUUCCACACCUAUCUCUCCAUAGAGUGUUGGCAGCCAGUCUGGGGACACCCGUUGGUGCUUCUUCGCCGGUUGUGUUGCCCACCGGGAGAGGAGGUCGGGUAGGGAAGAAGGCGAAGGGUACAUGACGUGGUCGUGGGAGAGUUCGCGGACUGCUACGCCAUCCUCGCCGCCACCCCCAGCUCAUUCACCUGAGCACAGAACUACUAGGGUGGAGCCAUUUGAGGUGGAGGCUAUGGGAACUCUGGACCACGAGCCUCGGGUCGACAGGCCUUCCGCCCAUGAGACUCCGGUUCCAGAGGCUUCGGCCCACGAGACUCUUGUACCAGGGGCUAUGUCCCAGGAGACUCUCGCCCAGAGGGUUCGUCCGGAUGGGGUACCUGGUCGGAUCGGACCGAGGGGCCAGGGUGGCACUAGUAGAAAAUGGUCCAUUUGUCCCGAUUUCAGAGGCCCAUUAGCCUCGGAUCUGGAACCGGGACUAAAGCGUGGGGACUAAAUCCCAAAACCUUUAGUCUCGGUUCGCUUACCAACCGGGACAGAAGGGUCUCCAUGUGGCCGCUGCGUGGAGCCCAUGCAAGAGGAUCUUUAGCCCCGGUUGGCCACACCAACCGGGACCAAAGGGCAUCCAUGCAUCAGCAUCUGGCAGGAGCUAGGUUUUUGGUUUUUAUGGGGGUGGGGGGUGGGGGUUUUGGAGAGUUAAUUUAGGGGUUUCAUAUUGUGUUAGCUAGCUAAUAGAGAGAAGUGUCCUCUCUUUCUCCGUGCUUGGUCGACGCUAGCUACUAUACAUAUAAAGAGAACUCGACGCUAGCUAAUAAGAAAAUGAAGGAAACCAUUAAUUACACAAGAUCGUCAUGCUGAACAUAUAUAGAGAGAAGUGACAUAUCUUUCUCUGUGCUUGGUCGAACAACAAGUUUUCGUAUACCUAUCUGAUGAUACUACAUAUAUACAAUAUAACAUCUUCUACAAUCCCUAACAUCAUCUACCUAAGAUCCAAUCACAAAUCCACAUGAUAUUCUCCGUCUUUAGGUAUGAUGUGGUCAAGAAAGAAUCCCGCCAAUUCCUCUUGAAUUGCUCGUAUGCGAUCAUAUGGUAGGAGUUCAUCCCGCAUCUGCGAGAUAUAAUUUAAAGAAGGGUCUCAAUACAUGCAUAUAUAUGAAUAAAACUCAACACAACUGAUGGUAAUAUAUAAAAUAAAAUUGUGAAUAUUAUUUACGUACUUCAAAUUGUUUCUCAGAGAAGCCCCACUCAGAGGUCGAGUGGCGAAUGAACUCACAUACGUAGUAUGCACAUAAAACAGUCCCUUCUUCCUGGUACAAGCACUUUACGAGAAUAGAGUUCAAUCAAACUGAUAAGCAAGCAUGGUAAUGAUAUAUUGAUGAAAAUUUGAAUCAAUUAUAGAUGCGUGGAACUAGCUAGUACUACUUACUAUGGGGUGCGUAAAUCGCAACUCUUUGUUUAGACCGGGAACCUACUUCGUGAUGAUCUAGUGUGAGUAAGGCUAGUCCUGUGUGGACGGAAACCAUGGUGGAAUAGACAAGGCCGCUUCUUCAUGGAUCCCUUGUGUAUGGAGCCCUCCAUGGACUCUCAUAGCCGUUACCAUCCGUGGGUUGAAGUCUACACUAACAUGGACGUACGAUAGCACCAUCUAUGAGAACCAUGCCAAAAAUCGUCAUGUCAACCUCAUGCGUUGGAUCUCCCUACCUUACUCCUUUACUUUACACUUGCAUGUUUUACUUCCCCCUGCUAUACUCUUAGAACUGUAUGUGUAGGGUGUACUUGACUUGCCAAAACUAUCAAAACUGGCCCUCAACUAAAACUGGGAAAAGGCUAAGGUUUUAUCUUGUCAAGUAGUCUAAUCACUCCCCCCCCCUCUAGACAUACUUUCCAUCCUACAUCAACGACAAACUACCUCAGCUUUGGUGCAUUAUCUAGACUCAUCAUGAAAUGUCCACACCGUAUAAUUAGGCUUAAAACCACUCCUCUGCAGGUGUUUAAUCAUUACAUCCUUUAUCCUAUUUUUAUAGUUGUUGCACCCAUGAUAAGGGCACCAGUUUGUUUCCUGGCCAUUUCCAAAUGCGGCUUUCACAAACUCCUUGGUUUUUAUAAACCAUUCUUUGGUCAUCUCUUUCUGACUAGUGUGACCGGAGUACAUCCACGCACAAUCACUCAUCUUGUCUGACUGCUAAAGACACUAUAUAUAUAUAUAAUUCAACAUGUAUAUUCAUUAGUUAAUCUAGUUUGUCAAUUUUAUUACAUCCAUGCAACCUACACGCUAAUAGGUAAAGGUAGGUCCUAAUUCCACCCGAGUAUGUGUAGAGUGAGUACGUUAUCCAUGCUCUACUCCAUUCCGAGACAAAAUUUCGGCACCACCUCCCCGUUGUUCUCCAAAUACACGUCUCGGAAAAAAGGUGAGAGAAUGUGCAUCACGAGAAUAAUGGGGAGGCGUUGUCGAAAUUUUGUCUUGGAAUAGGGUAGAGCAUGGAGACCAUACCCAAUCUACACAUCCUCGAACUGUCCGUGGAAGCGCUGGAAUAUCCGAAUAAGUUACAGUGAUAAAUAUGCAACUGAAUGCAUAUUUAUCGAUGCAACCCUUUCGGAUGGGAGACGCCUAGGUUACACGACUUAGCAUGAAAAUGAAAUCUAGUCACAUGAUUAAAACAACGUAGGAGGUGAAGGUGGAUUCAUAGAUCACCCUCAGCUGUAGAGGAAGUAGCCGAACAACGACGGGAUCACAUACCAAAAACUUCGACGACGAUGACUCCUGUAAAUUUUACCGAGUGAAAAAAAUAGAACAUCACAUCACAUAAAGCAUUGGCAGUUCAUACUAUGAGAAAAUCAUAUUGCUAAUUACAUCUCCUCUUCUCCUCCUCCUCUUCCUCUUCCUCUUCUUCUUCUUCUUCUUCUUCUUCUUUCCUUCUCUUCUUCUUCUUCUUCNNNNNNNNNNNNNNNNNNNNNNNNNNNNNNNNNNNNNNNNNNNUCUUCUUCUUCUUCCUCUUUCCUUGUCUUCUUCUUCUACUUCUUCUUCUUCUUCUUCNNNNNNNNNNNNNNNNNNNNNNNNNNNNNNNNNNNNNNCUUCUUCUUCUUCUUCUUAUUCUUAUUCUUCCUCCUCCUCCUCCUCCUUAUUUUCCUUUUUCCUCUUCUUUCUUCUCCACUUCUCCUCUCCUCCUCCUCCUCUUCUUCUUCUUCUUGUUCUUCUUCCUUCUACUUAUUCUUAUUUUGUUCUUCCUCUUUUUUCUUCUUUCUCUACUUCUUUUAAUUAUGACUAAUUAACUAAAACCUAUCACUAAUCUAAUUUAAUCUAGCACUAAACUACAUAUAUAAUCUAAUAUAACAAUUAAACAACAAAAAGGAAGAAAAAACAAAAACAAAAAGCUCAUCGGAGGGCGGUGGGUCGCCGGAGCGGCACGGUCAACACGAGGCCGAAGACGUGUCGGGGGUUGGGGUGAGUGGCGUCGGGGGCGGUGUAUUAACAGCUGCGUGGGGGAUUGUAAUAGCGAUCUAUCAAUGACAUCUUCCUGUCGCCACACGCAGGUGCAGGUGCCUGGUCUCGUGCCGGGAUGUCAUGUUGUGGUGUCAUCGGGGUGUAGUGUCGGGGUGUCACCGGGGUGUCGGGUCGGGGUGUCGUGAAGGGGNNNNNNNNNNNNNNNNNNNNNNNNNNNNNNNNNNNNNNNNNNNNNNNNNNNNNNNNNNNNNNNNNNNNNNNNNNNNNNNNNNNNNNNNNNNNNNNNNNNNNNNNNNNNNNNNNNNNNNNNNNNNNNNNNNNNNNNNNNNNNNNNNNNNNNNNNNNNNNNNNNNNNNNNNNNNNNNNNNNNNNNNNNNNNNNNNNNNNNNNNNNNNNNNNNNNNNNNNNNNNNNNNNNNNNNNNNNNNNNNNNNNNNNNNNNNNNNNNNNNNNNNNNNNNNNNNNNNNNNNNNNNNNNNNNNNNNNNNNNNNNNNNNNNNNNNNNNNNNNNNNNNNNNNNNNNNNNNNNNUCGGGGUGUCGUGAAGGGGGCUUGAUACGUGUCCAACGUAUCUAUAAUUUUUUAUGGUUCCAUGCUAUUAUCAUGUCAACUUUGGAUGUUUUGUAUGCAUGAAUAUGCUAUUUUAUAUCUUUUUUGGGACUAACCUAUUAACUCAGUGCCAAGUGCCAGUUUGUGUUUUUCCGUGUUUUUUACCUUUUUCAGAGAAGAAUAUUAAAUGGAGUCCAAACGGAAUAAANNNNNNNNNNNNNNNNNNNNNNNNNNNNNNNNNNNNNNNNNNNNNNNNNNNNNNNNNNNNNNNNNNNNNNNNNNNNNNNNNNNNNNNNNNNNNNNNNNNNNNNNNNNNNNNNNNNNNNNNNNNNNNNNNNNNNNNNNNNNNNNNNNNNNNNNNNNNNNNNNNNNNNNNNNNNNNNNNNNNNNNNNNNNNNNNNNNNNNNNNNNNNNNNNNNNNNNNNNNNNNNNNNNNNNNNNNNNNNNNNNNNNNNNNNNNNNNNNNNNNNNNNNNNNNNNNNNNNNNNNNNNNNNNNNNNNNNNNNNNNNNNNNNNNNNNNNNNNNNNNNNNNNNNNNNNNNNNNNNNNNNNNNNNNNNNNNNNNNNNNNNNNNNNNNNNNNNNNNNNNNNNNNNNNNNNNNNNNNNNNNNNNNNNNNNNNNNNCCGUGGCUCCUUUGCCCUACCUCUUCCGUCUAAAAAUUCUCUAAAAAUCCAAAACCACCAGAGAGAUCCACGAAAAUACUUUUCCGCCGCCUUACCUCCGUGGCUCCUUUGCCCUACCUCUUUCGCCUUAAAGCAUUACUCUGUUCGUUAUGAACUCAAUACACUCGAUGCAUGCUGGAUAGUGGUCGAUGUGUGGAGUAAUAGUAGUAGAUGCAGAAAGUAUCGGUCUACUUGUCUCGGACGUGAUGCCUAUAUGUAUGAUCAUUGCCUUAGAUAUUGUCAUGACUUUGCGCGAUUCUAUCAAUUGCUCGACAGUAAUUUGUUCACCCACCAUAAUACUUGCUAUCAUGAGAGAAGCCUCUAGUGAACACUAUGGCCCCCCGGGUCUACUUCACAUCAUAUUUUCAGAUCUACACUUUUACUUUGUUGCACUUUCCACUUUCAGAUCUCACCUUGCAAAUAAUCGCGAAGGGAUUGACAACCCCUUUAUAGCGUUGGGUGCAAGUUUGUUUGUUUUUGCGCAUAGACAUUGGUGCCUCAUCUUGAUACUCCUACUGGAUUGAUACCUUGGUUCUCAAACUGAGGGAAAUACUUAUCGCUACUGUGCUGCAUCACCCUUUCCUCUUCAAGGGAAAAACCAACGCAAGCUCAAGAGGUAGCAAGAAGAAUUUCUGGCGUCGUUGCCGGGGAGGAUCAAGUCAAGAAUAGUCUCCCGUCAACGUGCCAAUUUUUGGCGCCGUUGUCGGGGAGUAUUCAAAGUGAAGCAUAUCCAAGUAACUAUCGCAAACUCAUCUCUUGCAUUUGCUUUAUUUUCCUUUUGCCUCUCGUUUUCCUCUUCCCCACUUAUGAAAAAACCAAAAUUUACAAAAAUAUUUACCUUUUUCGUUCACCCUUUUCUUUCGCUUGCUUUCUGUUCCCUUGUGUGCUUGUCUGCUUGCUGAGUCACCAUGACUGAAAACACCAAAUUGUGUGACUUCUAGAAUACUAAUUGUCGUGGUUUUGUCACGGCAGAUGUCCUCGUACAAGGACUUAGGUGUGAGGCCAUCGCAACCAUGUGGCGGCUUGAAGGGGUUGGUCGGAAUCGAGAGACACGAGUUUACCCAGGUUCGGCCCCUUCGAUGGAGGUAAAAGCCUAUGUACUGCUUGUGUUUCAUUGAUGAAGAUGAUGAUCUCGAUUACAAGGGUGUGGAAUCGCUACCUCUAAUCUCGAGGGUGUCUAAUAUAUCUCUCUCUUGACUUAUUUGUCUAAGAUCUGACUAUUGAGACCUCUAAAAAACCUAACCCUCUUGGGGUGCCUCGUCCCUCCUUAUAUAAGCUGAAGGGGCGAGUUACAUAUAGAGUCCAAGCCGGAUUUAGGCUUAGCAUAUUAUGACUCCCCAUCACGGGACUCUCUUCGUGGGCUUCUGAGUCCCGGGCGACUUACGGACGGAUUGCUGAGUCCCGGGCGACUUACGGACGGAUUGCUGAGUCCCGGGCGGCUUACAAACGGAUUGCUGAGUCAGGGGCGGCUCAGGACCGGGCUGCUUAGGAUCAGGCUUCUAAGGACCGGACUUCUUAGGACCGGGCUGCUCAGGACCGGGCUUCUCAGGAUGGGGCUGCUCAGGACCGGGCUCCUCAGGACCGGGCUGCUCAGGACCGGGCUGCUAAGGACCAGGCUUCUCAGGACCGGGCUGCUCAGGACCGGGCUUCUUAGCAUCGGGCUACUUAGGACCGGGCUUCUCUUCGAGACUCAUCUUCAGGGAAUCCGUGUGCCGGGUCAUACCACGAGGUAUAUCCCCAACAUUAGCCCCCAGGUUAGCUUGAAUUUAUUCAUGGUAAGAUCCUGAAAUAAGAAUAGCAAAUAUGCGAAGUGACCGGUUCUCUCCAUUAAUCGGUUUAUAAAGUAGCUCCUCAGAAAUCCAGUUUCCUCAUAAAUCCGGCCUCUUCUUCAUAUGAAUGAGUCGUCUUCACAAUCAUCUUGCAGAUCCAUGUCCUUUGCAAAAUAAGUACAUAUGCCAUUGAGUCGGCCUCCAAUGCUUUGGAUUGAAAAAAUUUGGGGAAUAAGAAACCCACACAAUGUUGAACCAGCUUCUCUUGCUUCGUCGGGUUAUGAUUGACAAUGGCGAGUCAUGAUCGCUAAUGGCGGGUCAUGAUUAUUGGUAAUGCCCCGUCAAACAACUGAACUUCAAUUGACUAUUUCCAAUUAUUGGGAAUAAAGAAAAUCCGUGUGAUGUUGAGCCGGUCUCCCAAUACUCCACCUUCAUGAUGAAAUGAAAUGUGCUCUUUAAUUUUAUGAUAUAUCCAUAUUACCUGUAGCCCCCAAGUGCCGGGUUGUCUUGCCUGCAGCAACCUGGGACUUUUAGAAAUUUUGAUCUGAAUAGUGUAGCCCCCAAGUGAUGAGUUGAUUGCUUGCGACGACUCGGGACUUCCACGUUCUUCUCCUUUGAAAAUAAAACAUCAUAUGAUGUAGCCCCCAAAGGGUCGGGUCUUUAUGCAAUAUUGAGCAGGGACUUUGUAGAUCUGUCUAUGUAAACUUCAGCGGCAAUAUGUAGCCCCCAAAGGCCGGGUCAUUAUAAAAAUGAUGAGCCGGCUCUUCCUUGAAUCCAUACUUGAACAAAGAGCGAUAUGUAGCCCCCCAGGGCCGGGUUAUCUCCUUGAGGUAGCCGGGUCUGUUGAUGAUGUGAUGAUUUGAAAAGCGGAUUGCAUUAGCCCCCAAGUGUCAUGGUGCAUGCUUGCAGCAACAUGGGACUUCCAUACCUUGAUGUAAUCUUGAUUUGAAUAAUGUAGCCCCCAAGUGUCGGGUUGUGUGCCUGCAGUGACUCGGGGCUAUUCCUCCCAUUGUAGAAUAAAAUCAUAUCCACUCUGUGAGCUGAUGAUGCCUUUGUGAUAAAAGAAAUCCUUGACCAUGGUUUGCAAUGUAACCCGACAAAUAUAUCCUUGAGAAAUCCAUAUGUUUGAGAAAUCCAUAAGUGUUGUAGUUUACUACAGAGCACAAGUUGAAGAAAUCCAAGGGCCGGUCAAUUAAGUGACUCGGCAUUAUAUGUGAUGGGGCGGCUCUUCGACAAUAGUCAAUUCUUCUAAGCUGGCUUAAUACCCCAAUCACUUAACUCUGGUUAUGAUAAACCAUGAUGAAAAUCCAGCUAAACUGGCCAUUCAAAGAUUUAUUUGCACCUGCAAGAAUGUAUGCUUUAACCCGGUUUUGAAGACCGGCAUGAUAUGUAUGUAUGAUGUAUGAUGCAAUGCAAAAUGAUGCAUGUAUAUGACAAAAUAUUGCUGGUUUAUGAGAUUUGAAUCUUACUUCAAUGAAACUAGCUUGUUAGCCACUGGUUUAUCCUCGCUCUCUGUAAGCCGGCACUCGCGACCAAUCGAUGUUUUAACCUCGAUAGUUCAGGGUCCAACUGGAUUGACAUAUCGAGAGUACAUGGGAUUCGGAGUAGCAUCAUGCAGACAGGCAGGUUUAACCAAGUUUCAAAGAAGGCGGCUUAAUAGCCCAUGGAAUAUCCUCGCUUUCUGUAAGCCGGCACUCGCGACCAAUCGAUGUUUUAACCUCGAUAGUUCAGGGUCCAACUGGAUUGACAUAUCGAGAGUACCCGGGAUUCGGAGUAGCAUCAUGCAGACAGGCAGGUUUGACCAAGAAGGUGGCUUAAUGGCAAAUGGAGUAUCCUCGCUUUCUGUAAGCCGACACUCACGACCAAUCGAUGUUUUAACCCGGAUAAGUUCAGGGUCCAUAUGGAUUGACUUAUCAUGAAACGGAGUACACGGGAUUCGGAGUAGCAUCACGCAGAUAGGAAGGUUUAACCAUGAACUCUUGCCAUUAAGCCGGGCACCCAUGUUUGUACUGCGCAUCAUGGCGACUCGUCCUCUUGGGCGAUUUUAAAAUGCCCGCCAAUGAAGCAAUAGCCCUUGGAGCCGGGUUAUCUUGCCUGUAAUGACCUGAUGUUCUUGAAUUAUUCAGCCUGGUUGGAUCUGGCGAGCCAUGUAUUUAUAGCCCCCGAGUCUUAAGUCGACUCAAGGAGGCGGCUUGAGAGUCUUCAUACUUGACUGCGGCAUAAACCGGAGGAGAAAAAUGCUGGUACCCGCUCCAUCUGAUGUGUUGAUGUAGAUUGGACCGUGGGGACGACGGCUUGUGCACAUCUGUUGGGCGGCUUUAUAAGUGAGCACUGCACGAUAUGUUGAUGUAGACGUGGAAGUCAGCCGCGACGUUUGAAACCAGCUUGGUAACACAACCGAGAUAAUAGUUUGUGGCGUUGUAAGCCUUCUUAGUUGCGCUGACGUGAGUGUAAGUCGUCUCGGUUAUGCGGACGUGACAGUUGGCCGCAUCAUUUGUAAAUAGGUGCUCGCAGCGAGUUGUCCGUCAAUUAUGAACUGGCAUGGACGGCGAGUUGGCCGCGGUAUUGUAUGCCGGCGCAUGAGUCCGUUGAGCAAAGCCAGUAAUCUUAUAUCACAUUUGUAAUGAGUACUUGUCCUGCGUAGAAAAAUAAUGUAGACAAAGUAAUUGUCCUUUUGAAAGAAUUAGACAUACUGAUAAAAUAUACUGGAUGAAUAUCACGUGAUAUAUUUGACUUAGCCUGUUUAGCUGCCCCAUUCUAGAUGAACUACGGGUGGCACUUGAUGCACGCACAGGGCACGAUCCAUCCAUCAGCCAUCCACCAUCUAUCCAUGCACACAAUUUAUGCACGGGAAAGAUUCAUCAAGGACCCAAGUAGCCAAGGGAGCCGCACACAUCAGCCAGACACGAGGCGAGCGGGAAUAGCGCAGUAGCAGGAACUGGAUGAAGGUGAGGCCGUGAUGAUGUAGGGUGGAGUUGACUACGUCACGGCGGGUCAUGAUGUAUCGGGCCAGGCGAGGCAAAGCCGGCCGACUCGUCGCGCGGCGACGGUGGAUGGUGCAGCGGCGACUAUGGGCACAUCGGCGGCUCAUGGCAUGGCGGAGGAUGUAAGCGGACGGCGGCUCAAGGCACAUCGGCGUGUUGCGGCGGCAGCGAGGCAGAGCGUGGUGAAGCAGGGGCGAACGAGGCCGAGGUCGAAGUGGUGAGGAGUUGAUGAGGCGCGGUUGAUGCAACAUCUAUGGCGGAGGGUAGCAGCGGGAGCAGGGCAAGGCGACUUGAGGCGAAGCUGAGGUGGGUGGCUCGGAGACCGAGCCGACUGGGGCAUGACAGAGCAAGACAACGACACGACCAGCGCGGGCAUUAUGCUCACACGGGGGCGGCUCAAGCGACGAGUCUCGCGACGAGUGCGCGGCGCUGACGGCGAAGCAGCGGCUGAGCCGGCUAGGGGCGACUCGCGGCGAGGGCGAGAUGAGCCAGAAGGAGGCGACUCGGGUCGUGGCGUUGCCCGCCCGCAACAGAGGUGGAGCUCGUAACAACGACUCGGUCGGGGCGGCUCAGAGCUCUCAGCCAUGGUAGAGGCGAAGCGAAACCAUUGCAGAGGCAGAGCUCGCGGCGGUAGCUCAGGUGGGGCGGCUCGGCGGCGUUGGUUCGUGGCAGAGACGGAGCUCGCGACGGCGGUUCGUCCGGGACGCUCGGCGACGUCGUCCCGUGGUGGAGGCGAAGCUUACGACGGCGGUUCGUCCGGGACGCUCGGCGACGUCGUCCCGUGGUGGAGGCGAAGCUUACGACGGCGGCUCGGCCGGGACGGCUCAACAAUGUCAAUCCAUGAAGGAGGCAGAAACAGCGGCGGCGGCUCAGGGCGCGGACGACGGCUGGCAUCACCAGUUCUUCAAAGUGCAACGACGACUCGAGGCUGACGUCGAGCGGCAACACCCGCGGCCGAUCACAUCAGCCCAUUAACGAUUGAUUUGAGAUGACUCGGAGGCGGCGACUCGAGGCCACCUCAGACCGAAGAGCAGAUGACUCGCCCUUGCCGCUCCAGCCGGCCUCCGUACAGAUCGCUUUGGGUGGUGGCGAGCCGUCAAGCACGACAGCAAUAUAGGCGGGACGCAGUGGCGGCUCGGCCGGGGCGGUUGACAAGACGACAGCGGAGGACAGCGGCGGGUCGAGGCGAGGUGACCGGCGGCUUGGAAACGAGGCCGACCCUGAGCACAAUUGAGAGAGGCGCCCGCGGAGGCGGGGUGCGGCCAUGGCAACGAGAGCAGCAAACACGACGGAGUCAUCACGAUAAGGCGGAUCGAGGCAAAGGGGGCGACGUGUGAGGAGCUUGAUCCGCGUCGUCGCCCCAAAAUUCCUGACCACAGCCUUGCUCCGAGUGGGCAGAAGUAGCAGUAGUUUUACUGUAUAUGUGCUCCUUCUAAUUCUUUUUAUGCGCAUAACCUUCAUCCUCUAAUCCUUAUGAAGACCAGUACUUCUCAUCUCCUGCACCUUCUGAUUGGGGCCUGGGAAGCUUCUUCCUUAUCCUUCGUGUAUACCAGAAUCACAACAACAAGAAGCUAGUUAACACAUUGUAAGUAAACGCGUCAACAAGGGUGAGCGCGGCGAGGAGACAACUCGCGCAAAGCGAUGCACGGGUCGAGAAACGGCGCAACGAACGCGACGGGGCAGGUCGGCGAGGAUGCAGCUCGCGCGGGAACGGCUCAGGGUGCGGCGGGGGCGGCGAGGAUGCACCAGUUGAUCGUGUUGGAUGUUUCUGAUCCCCCAGGCUUGGACGGUUGUAUGUUGAGCAGCGACGAUGACUCAUAAAUUGCGUCGCUGUAAUCCGACUCGCACAAGGGCUGUUUUUGACGCGCCUGCUUCACUUGAUGGAAUCGAAUCAAACGGAAUAGAUCUGGGUCUCGGUGAGAAUUAGACAUCAAGCGCACAGUCCGCCAUGAAAAAGGAGUUGACGUAAAUCUUUCUGAGUCAGCUCUUCCUCGUUCGAUAAAUCGCGAACUCCUUAACCCUGAUAAUUUCCCUUCAAGAACACAAAAUCAUCGUGCGACAAGCCCCACGGUGGGCGUCAACUGUCGUGGUUUUGUCACGGCAGAUGUCCUUGUACAAGGACUUAGGUGUGAGGCCAUCGCAACCAUGUGACGGCUUGAAGGGGUUGGUCGGAAUCGAGAGACGCGAGUUGACCCACGUUCGGCCCCUCCGAUGGAGGUAAAAACCUACGUCCUGCUUGUGUUUCAUUGAUGAAGAUGAUGAUCUCGAUUACAAGGGUGCGGAAUCGCUACCUCUAAUCUCGAGGGUGUCUAAUCUAUCUCUCUGUUGACUUAUUUGUCUAAGAUCUCACUAUUGAGACCUCUAAAAAACCUAAACCUCUUGGGGUGCCUCGCCCCUCCUUAUAUAAGAUGAAGGGGCGAGUUGCAUAUAGAGUCCAAGCCGGAUUUAGGCUUAGCAUAUUAUGACUCCCCAUUACGGGCCUCUCUUCGUGGGCUUCUGAGUCCCGGGCGACUUACGGACGGAUUGUGAGUCCCGGGCGACUUACGUACGGAUUGCUGAGUCCCGCGCGACUUACAAACGGAUUGUUGAGUCCCGGGCGGCUCAGGACCGGGCGGCUUAGGACCGGGCUGCUUAGGACCGGGCUUCUCAAGACCGGGCUUCUUAGGGCCGGGCUGCUCAGGACCGGACUACUCAGGACCGGGCUUCUUAGGACCGGGCUGCUCAGGACCGGGUUUCUCAGGACCGGGCUGCUCAGGACCGGGCUUCUCAGGACCGGGCUGCUCAGGACCGGGCUACUUAGGACCGGGCUUCUCAAGACCGGGCUUCUUAGGACAGGGCUGCUCAGGACCGGGCUGCUCAGGACCGGGCUUCUCAGGACCGGGCUUCUCAGGACCGGGCUGCUCAGGACCGAGCUUCUCAGGACCGGGCUACUCAGGACCGGGCUUCUGAGGACCGGGCUGCUCAGGACUAGGUUACUCAGGACUGAGCUUCUCAGGACCGGGCUGCUCAGGACCGGGCUGCUCAGGACCGGGCUACUCAGGACCGGGCUUCUUAGCAUCGGUAUACUUAGGAUCGGGCUUCUCUUCGAGACUCAUCUUCAGGGAAUCCGUCUGCCGGGUCAUACCACGAGGUAUAUGCCCAACAUUAAUAAUAAUGAUUUUAUUAGUACUCCGAUUGCUCCCGUUACUAGUACGGAAUCAUAUGAAAUCAAUGCUGCCUUGCUGAAUCUUGUUAUGAAAGAGCAAUUUUCCGACCUUCCUAGUGAAGAUGCCGCAUGAUACGUCUCCAUCGUAUCUACUUUUCCAAACUCUUUUGCCCUUGUUUUGGACUCUAAUUUGCAUGAUUUGAAUGGAACUAACCCGGACUGAUGCUGUUUUCAGCAGAAUUGCCAUGGUGUUGUUUUUGCGCAGAAAUACAAGUUCUCGAAAUGACUUGGAAAUUUACGAGGAUUUUUUGUGGAAUAUAUAAAAAAUACUCGCGCAAGAAUCGCCUAGAGACGUGGAGCCAGGAGGCCACAAGCACAGGAGGCGUGACCCCCUUGGCCGCGCCUGGCAGGCUUGUGAGCCCCUCGUGGCUCUGCCGCCUCCAGUUCCAGCUCUAUAUAUUCUCUCUCGCCCGGAAAAAAAUCAGAGAGAAGAGUUCAUCGCGUCUUACGAUACGGAGGCGCCGCCACCACCUGUUCUUCCUCUGGAGGGCAGAUCUGGAGUCUGUUUUGGGCUCCGGAGAGGGGAAAUCGUCGUCGUCGUCAUCACCAACCUUCCUUCAUCGCCAAUUCCAUGAUGCUCUUUACCGUUCGUGAGUAAUCUCAUCGUAGGCUUGCUGGACGGUGAUGGGUUGGAUGAGAUCUAUCAUGUAAUCGAGUUAGUUUUGAUGGGGAUUGAUCCCUAGUAUCCACUAUGUUCUGAGAUUGAUGUUGCUACUACUUUGCUAAGCUUAAUGCUUGUCACUAGGGCCCGAGUGCCAUGAUUUCAGAUCUGAACCUAUUAUGUUUUCAUCAAUAUAUGUGUGUUCUUGAUCCUAUCUUGCAAGUUGUAGUCACCUACUAUGUGUUAUGACCCGGCAAUCCCGGAGUGACAAUAGCCGGAACCACUCCCGGAGAUGACCAUAGUAUGAGGAGUUCAUGUAUUCACAAAGUGCUAAUGCUUUGUUCCGGUUCUAUAUUAAAAGGAGAACCUUAAUAUCCCUUAGUUUCCAUUAGGACCCCGCUGCCACGGGAGGGAUGGAAAAUAGAUGUCAUGCAAGUCCUUUUCCAUAAGCACGUAUGACUAUAUACGGAAUGCAUGUCUAUAUUACAUUGAUGAACUGGAGCUAGUUACAUAUCUCCCCAUGUUAUAACUGUUACAUGAUGAAUGUCAUCCGGCAUAAUUAUCCAUCACCGAUACAAUGCCUACGAGUCUUUUCCUACUGGUCCUUGCUACGUUACUUUGCCGCUAUUGCUGUCGCUGCUCCAACUGUUACCGCUACUGAUGUCACUAUUGCUACUGUUACCAUUGCUACCGUUGCUAUCACACUACUUUGCCUCUGAAACUUUGUUGCAGAUACUAAGUCUUUCAGGUGUGGUUGAAUUGACAACUCAACUGCUAAUACUCUAGAAUAUUAUUUUGCUUCCCCUUGUGUCGAAUCAACAAAUUUGGGUUGAAUACUCUAUCCUCUAAAACUGUUGCGAUCCCCUAUACUUGUGGGUUAUCAAGACUAUUUUCUGGCGCCGUUGCCGGGGAGGCCUAGCUCUAUUCUCUGAGUCACUUGGGAUUUACGUCUCUUGAUCACUAUGAGGAAUCCGAGAGAUCCAAAAACUAAAGUCUUGCCCUCAACUAUGAGGACAGGUAAGGAACUGUCAUCUAGCUCUGCACUUGAUUCACCUUCAGUUAUGAGUAAGUUUGCGACACCAUCGCGUACUAGAAAUUUUGAUGUGUCGCUUGUGCUUGAUGAUGCAACUUCUGCUAUCCAUGAUGCUUGUGAUGAUGCUUUGCUUGAUACUGCUUUGCCACUAGGUGCAUUCCUUGAUGCAUAAAUUGCUAGAGUUGCUGCUGAAUGUGGUGAUACUUCUGAAACUGCUAAAAUUAUUGAAGUAGAACCUGUUGUUUCACCUGUUAUAACUAGCUCUCCUAGAUAUGAAUUGCCUGAUAUACCUGAGGGUUAUGUUAUGGAGGGAGAGGUAGCUGAGGACUUUCUUGCUUGUAAGGAUAGCUAUGAUCUUGAGAAUUUACUGCGCAAGUGGAAGGAAAAAUCUCUGAAUGCUAGAAUGAAAUACGAUCCUAAGUUUGCUACUUCACCCAUCUUUGUAACUGAUAAGGAUUAUGAAUUCUCUGUCGAUCCUGAGUUAAUCACUUUGGUCGAAUCUGAUCAUUUUCAUGGUUAUGACUCUGAAACGGUUGUAGCACAUCUUACCAAGCUGAAUGAUAUAGCCACCCUAUUCACGAGUGAGGAAAAGAUUCGCCAUUACUAUAUCCUUAAGUUGUUUCCUUUCUUGCUAAAGGGUGAGGCUAACACUUGGUUUACUUCUCUUGCUCUUGGUUGUGUGCGUAGUCCCCAGGAUAUGAUCUACUACUUCUUUGAGAAAUAUUUUCCUGCCCAUAAGAAACAAGCUGCCUUGCAGGAUAUAUAUAACUUUGUGCAGGUUGAAAAAGAGAGUCUCCCACAAGCUUGGGGGAGGCUUGUCCAGUUACUGAAUGCUUUGCCUGGUCACCCUCUUGAGAAGAAUGAAAUACUUGAUAUCUUUUAUAAUGGACUAACCGAUGCUUCUACGGACCACCUAGAUAGUUGUGCUGGUUGUGUUUUCAUGGAACGAACUGUGGAACAAGCUGAAACUCUAUUGAAUAAUAUCUUGAGCAAUGAUAAUGCUUGGACUAUUCCCGAACCACCACCGAAGCCAACUCCGAAGAAAAGAGGUAUUCUAUUCCUCAGUCCUGAAGAUAUGCAAGAAGCCAAGAAAUCUAUGCAAGAGAAGGCAUUAAAUCUAAAGAUGUUAAGAAUCUACCACCUAUCGAAGAGAUCCAUGGUCUUGAUAACCCGACACAGGUAGUAGAGGUAAAUUCUCUUCGUAGAUUCAAUGAGAGUGAUAUUCCCUUUGAUAAACCUGCUAGAUUAUGCUUAGAUGAUUUUGAUAACUUUGUUGUCAAACAACGAAGUUUCAAUGAUUAUGUUAGCAGACAAUUGGAACAGAAUGCUCGUAUGCUUAGUCAUUUAAGUGCUUGUGUGGAUAGAAACGUCAAUGAUCUUAAGCUUUUGAGUAAACACGCCUCUAUGGUCACUACUCAAGUAGAACAAGUACUUAAGGCUCAAAAUGACUUGCUCAAUGAGUUGAAUGACAAUUCUGUUAGAGUCGUCACUAGAGGUGGUAGAAUGACUUAGGAACCUUUGUAUCCUGAGGGCCAUCCUAAGAGAAGUGAACAAGAUUCUCAAGGAGUUAGCACGGAGGCACCUAGUCAUCCUAGUAAUAGGAAGAAAAGGAAAGAUGAUAGGAACUUGCAUUCUAGCAAACAUGCUGCCGUUACACCUGAGAAUCCAAAUGGUAUCUCUAAUUCUGAUGCCGAAACACAAACUGGUGAUGAACAUGAGCCUAAUGAUAAUAUCGAUAGUGAUGUUCAGGAUGAUGCUCAACCUAGUAAUGAUAAGGAUGUGGAGAUUGAACCUAGUGUUGAUCUUGAUAACCCACAACCUAAGAACAAGAGAUACGAUAAGAAUGACUUCAUUGCUAGGAAGCAUGGUAAAGAAAGAGAACCAUGGGUUCAGAAACCCAUGCCCUUUCCUCCCAAACCAUCCAAGAAAAAGGAUGAUGAGGAUUUUGAGCGCUUCGUUGAAAUGAUUAGACCUGUCUUUCUGCAAAUGCGUUUGACAGAUAUGCUCAAAAUGUCUCCUUAUGCUAAGUACAUGAAGGAUAUUGUGACUAACAAAAGGAAGAUACCCGAGGUUGAGAUUUCCACCAUGCUUGCCAAUUACACCUUCAAGGGUGGAACUCCUAAGAAACUAGGUGAUCCCGGAGUGCCCACUAUACCAUGCUCCAUUAAAGGAAAUUAUGUUAGAACCGCUUUAUGCGAUCUUGGAGCUGGUGUUAGUGUUAUGCCUCUCUCUCUCUUUAUCGUAGACUUGAAUUGGAUAAGUUGACACGCACUGAAAUCUCCUUGCAAAUGGCCGACAAAUCAACUGCUUCCCCUAUCGGCAUUUGCGAGGAUGUGCCUGUUGUGGUUGCUAACGUUACUAUCUUAACGGACUUUGUUAUUCUGGAUAUUCCCGAGGAUGAUGCCAUGGCGGUCAUCCUUGGAAGACCCUUUUUAAACACUGCAGGGGCUGUUAUUGAUUGCAACAAAGGCAAUGUCACUUUCCAUGUUAAUGGUAAUGAGCACACGGUGCACUUUUCAAAGAAACAAUAUCGAGUACAUUGCAUCAAUGCUAUUGAAAAAACUUCAUCGAUUCUUAUUAGGAGCUUUGAAAACCCUAUACCUACUGUCAAGAUGAAGUAUGACUUACUUGUUGGGGAUAUGCACAUCCCCGUUGAGGUAACAUAGUGAUUAUUCGAAAAUUCUCCGGUUUUAUGCGAUUCAAAAAAAGUUUGUCAAGGAGACUUGAUCAACCUCAUUGACAGAUUUCUUUUGAUGACCAUGAGAUGUAUGAAUCUAGGAGUCACAACCCUUUGUUCCGAACUUUUACUUUUUGUUGUUUAGAAGAAAAAUGAUAGAUUUAGCUUUAUUUUCCUGUUUUGUGCUUUUUGCGUCCCUUAGAAAAGUGUCCCAAAAAUAAAAGUUCUUCAAAUGCCCUAAAAAUCAAGUAUGAUUUUUUCUGGAUUUUUUGAAAAAUUCUGAGACACAGAGCUAGUCAGGGGGAUGCACCAGUGGGCCACAAGCCCAGGAGGCGUGGCCACCCCCUGGCCGUGCCUGGCAGGCUUGUGGGCCCCACGUGGCCCCCUCCACUUAUUCCAGCUCCCAUCUCCUUCUCCUACCUCCAGAAAAAAUCAUUCCACAACUCAAACCCGUGUUCUUGCUCUUCUUGCUGCGUUUUUCGAUCUCCUUGUGCAAAACCCCAUUCACCAAACUGUUUUGGGGGAAUUGUUCCUUGGUAUGUGACUCCUCCAUUGGUCCAAUUAGUUUUUUCUCUAGUUCUUUAUCCGUUGCAUAUUUUUGCUGCCUUGGUGACCCUGUUCUUGAGCUUUGCACGCUAAUUUUAGUUGGUCCCAAGUAGUUUUGAUGCAUGAUACGACCUCUAGGCACUUGAAGGAGUAGUUGCUAUGAGUUUUGUUGAGCCUUGUUCACUUUUCUUUUGUGUCACUAAAAAUUUCAGAAAAGGAAGAUGUUCAGGAGAAACUAUCAUGAUGGUUCCUCAAGGAAAAGGGGUCCCCGUCUCUCGAUUCGGGAGCCUGAUCCUUACCAACCAAGGAACGCACAUGUACAACCAUGUGAAUGGCCUUCUGAUGAAUUCAUGAUUGAUGCAGGUUUCAAAGACGAGUUUGAUACAUGUGUUCACAACGCCGGGCUCGAAGAAUUGAUCUCCAACAAAUGCGAACAUUAUACUACCCUCACUGCCUCUUUUGUUCGUAGAUUCAAAUUUUCAGUUGGCCAUGACGCAUCCAUACUGUUUGAUCUGUAUGACGAAUUGUAUACCAUGGAUUUAGAGGAUUUCAAUAGAAUUUGCAAGAUACCUGAUUGGGGUAGUCUCAGUGAUCCUCCUAAGUCUUCGGUUAGAGAUUUUAUCUCUAGUAUAACUGUUGGAGAAACUAGAGAUAUUACGCAGGCUACCAUGGGGAGCAUUCAUUUUCCUGCCUUGCAUUACUUUGCCCUCUCCAUAGGUAGAUGCAUUAACGGCAAGAUUGAGCAUUGUCACCUCUGCGCACCUGACCUUAGUAUUCUUAAGAGCGCAGUAACGGGUGAUAGAAGUUUCAACAUGGGAGCUAUAAUAGAGAGGAGGCUAAAUAAUAAUGCUAAUGAAGGGGAUUUCUUUGGUGGGAUCUAUGCCACUCGCAUAGCAAAUUUUCUUGGAGUACCCAUCCGCGAAGGAGAUCCCCGCUCCAUACAACUUUCCUUGAUCGCGCCGCUAUGACAUGUUAUUAGUUCCUUGAGAGGGAUAAUGAAUUCCUCCUAUACCGGUUAAUAUUUAACCGACAACGUAUUUUCCAUAUUACCCUUCCUGCUCCUGCCUUCUUUGACUUUCAGGUAAAACGGAGAUAUUACAUAACCAGAGGAGAGGCACAGGAGUAUGAGAGGGAGGCAAAGGCUGCUCGCCUCCGUGAGGCAGCUAUUCAGGCGGUAGCUGCCUGAUGACCCACAAGUAUAGGGUAUCUAUCGUAGUCCUUUCGAUAAGCAAGAGUGUUGAACCCAACGAGGAGCAGAAGGAUGUGACAAGUGGAUUUCAGCAAGGUAUUCUCUGCAAGCACUGAAAUUAUCGGUAACAGAUAGUUGUGUGAUAAGAUGAUUCGUAGCAAGUAGCAAGUAGCAAAAGUAAUAACGGUGCAGCAAAGUGGCCCAAUCCCUUUUGUAGCAAGGGACAAGCCUGGAGAAACUCUUAUAGGAGGUAAAAUGCUUCCGAGGACACAUGGGAAUUUCUGUCAAGCUAGUUUUCAUCAAGUUCAUAUGAUUCGCGUUCGCUACUUUGAUAGUUUGAUAUGUGGGUGGACCGGUGCUUGGGUGCUGCCCUUACUUGGAAAAACCUCCCACUUAUGAUUAACCCCUCUCGCAAUCAUCCACAACUACAAAAGAAGAAUUAAGAAAAAGUCUAACCAUAGCAUUAAACUAGUGGAUCCAAAUCAGCCCCUUACGAAGCAAUGCAUAAACUAGGGUUUAAGCUUCUGUCACUCUAGCAACCCAUCAUCUACUUACUACUUCCCAAUGCCUUCUUCUAGUCCCAAAUAAUGGUGAAGUGUUAUGUAUUCGACGUUCACAUAACACCACUAGAGGAAAAACAACAUGCAACACAUCAAAAUAUCGAACGAAUACCAUUUCACAUAACUACUUAUAGCAUGACUUAUCCCAUGUCCUGAGGAACAAAAGUGACUACUCACAAAACAUAAUAAUAUUCAUGACCAGAGAGGUAUUGAAUAGCAUCAAGGAUCUGAACAUAUAAUCUUCCACUGAGUAAUCCAACUAGCAUCAAGUACAAAGAGUAAUUAACACUACUAGCAACCUUACAAGUACCAAUCAGAGUCGCGAGACGGAGAUUGGUUACAAGAGAUGAAUAGGGUCUGGAGAUGAGAUGGUGCUGAUGAAGAUGUGGAUGGUGAUGAGUCCCCUCCGAUGAGAGGAGUGUUGGUGAUGAUGAUGGCGACGAUUUCCCCCUCCGGGAGGGAAGUUUCCCCGGCACGACGACCCUACCGGAACUCUAGAUUGGUUCUGCUCAAGUUCCGCCUCGUGGCAGCGGCGAUUCCUCCCGAAAGCCUCCUCUUGAUUUUUUUUGGAACGAAACCCUCCUUACAGCAAAAGAGGGGGGCCAGAGGGCCAACAGGGAGCCCACAAGCCCCCUAGGCGUGACCAGGGGGUAGGCCGCGCCUAGCAGGCUUGUGGCCUCCUACUGGCUCCCCUCUGGUACUUCUUCGACCCAGUAUUUUUUAUAAAUUCCAAAAUAAAUCCUCGUUGAUUUUCAUGGCUUUUGGAGUUGCACAGAAUAGGUAUCUCAAACUUGCUCCUUUUUCAGGCCAGAAUUCCAGCUGCCGACAUUCUCCCUCUUCAUGUAAACCUUGCAAAAUAAGAGAGAAAAGGCAUACGUAUUGUACCGUGAAGUGUAAUAACAGCCCAUAAAGCGAUAAAUAUCAACAUAAAAGCAUGAUGCAAAAUGGACGUAUCACUACCGCGCUCCCGUACAACCCCGAUUAUGAUUUUGGAUAUAGCCCGGACUAGCCGUGGGAGUAGUCCAACUUAGGCCAAAAGCCUAAGCUUGGGGGAGUACGUGUUUCUCACCGACUUUAUAUUCAUGCUUACACUUUCACUUUGUUAGUCAGUGUUCACACUUUGCCACUGUAUCAUCCAUGCUAGUUUAUUUCUUUUUCUCGCUUUCUUCUCAUGUGUUUGUUUAGUUUGAGAAAAACAAAUCAAAUUACUUGUAAGCUUGCUUUCCAGCUUGCUUAGUGGUGUUUAAAAAAAGGAAAACCCAAAAAGAUUUCCCGUUCUUCUUUUGCUUGUUGAGAGCUUUCCCGUGUAAAUAGUUUUCUUUGUCUUUGGGUCAAGGUAGAAGACCAUGGUUACAAUGUUUAGUGGCUCUCGCAUGCAUAUCUGUUUAUCCGUCAAAGAGCCAUAUUACUUUGUCUUCUUCUCUAUGUUUGCUUGCAGAUUCCAGCUUAGUCCAAUGCAUGGACACUCUCAUUAUGAUUCACAUCAUUCGGCCGUGCAAGUGAAAGGCAAUAAUGACGAUAUACGAUGAAGUGACUGAGCCUGGAAAAGCUGGUAUGAACUCGAUCUCUUUUGUUUUUGUAGAUAUGACUAGCUCAUCGUUCCUGAUUCAGCUUUUUUAUGAGAGAAACAUGUUUGCAAUGACAACUUAGAGAUCAUAGUUUCUGAUGCCAUGCUUAAUUAGCUAGGAGAUUAUAAUGGUUUGUCUUGGAUGCCAACAUGAAUUUCAAGAUGAUUAUGAUGUAGUAUGAUAGGAUGGUAUCCUCCUUUGAAUGAUUUAAGUGGCUUGACUUGGCACAUGUUUACGCAUGUAGUUGAAACAAAAUCAACAUAGCCUCUAUGAUAUUCAUGUUUAUGGUGAUUUAUGUCCUACUCAUGCUUGCACUCAAUGUUGGUUAAUUUCAAUGCGUAUUGAUAACUGUUGUCGCUCUCUAGUUGGUCGCUUCCCAAUCUUUUGCUAGCCUUCACUUGUACUAAGCGGGAAUACUGCUCGUGCAUCCACUUCCAUAAACCCAAAGUUGUUCCAUAUGAGUCCACCAUACCUACCUAUAUGCGGUAUCUACCUGCCGUUCCAAGUAAAUUUGCAUGUGCCACUCUCUUAACCUUCAAGUAAUUAUCUGUUUUGCAUUCCCGAACCGCUCAUGUGGUGACAAGGGGCGAUCAGUAUCUUCCAUGCUAGGCGUGUUAUCCUCGAUACGUGUUUAUUCACUAUCACUCACGAGAAAGGGGCCGGUAAUUGGAAUGCCCAGUUCCAUUCUCAAAUCGAAAAGAUAAUUGCAAACAAAACUCCCCCUGGAUUGUUGUUGGUAUGGACGACACCUUAGGAUUCGGCUAGUCGUGGAGUGUGAUUGGUCGGUGGUGGGGGAGUCAAAACUUUACUUUUUUCUUUGGGAACCGCCUAUAGUAUGUGUAGCAUGGAAGAUGGUGAAAACUCUUGGUCAUCGCGUUGACAAUGAAAGCAUGCCACCCAAAAUUAUUUAUCUCUGUCUUCAAAGCUUGCAUGCNNNNNNNNNNNNNNNNNNNNNNNNNNNNNNNNNNNNNNNNNNNNNNNNNNNNNNNNNNNNNNNNNNNNNNNNNNNNNNNNNNNNNNNNNNNNNNNNNNNNAUAUAUAUAUAUAUAUAAUUCAACAUAUAUAUUAAUCACUUAAUCAAGUUUUUCAAUUUUAUUAUGUCCAUGAAACCUGCAAGCUAAUAGGUAAAGAUAGGUCAUAAUCCCACCUGAUUAUGUGUAGAUUGGGUUCAUUUUCCUAUGCUCUGCUCCAGAUCCGACGCAAAAUUUCGGCAGCAUCUCCCCUCUGUUCUCCUAAUACACGUAUCAGCAAUAAACAGAGAGGAUGUGCACCUGGAGAACAACAGGGAGGCACUGAUGAAAUUAUGCAUCGGAUCCNNNNNNNNNNNNNNNNNNNNNNNNNNNNNNNNNNNNNNNNNNNNNNNNNNNNNNNNNNNNNNNNNNNNNNNNNNNNNNNNNNNNNNNNNNNNNNNNNNNNNNNNNNNNNNNNNNNNNNNNNNNNNNNNNNNNNNNNNNNNNNNNNNNNNNNNNNNNNNNNNNNNNNNNNNNNNNNNNNNNNNNNNNNNNNNNNNNNNNNNNNNNNNNNNNNNNNNNNNNNNNNNNNNNNNNNNNNNNNNNNNNNNNNNNNNNNNNNNNNNNNNNNNNNNNNNNNNNNNNNNNNNNNNNNNNNNNNNNNNNNNNNNNNNNNNNNNNNNNNNNNNNNNNNNNNNNNNNNNNNNNNNNNNNNNNNNNNNNNNNNNNNNNNNNNNNNNNNNNNNNNNNNNNNNNNNNNNNNNNNNNNNNNNNNNNNNNNNNNNNNNNNNNACCCUUUCGAACGGGAGACGCAACGCACGUCCUAGUUCACCUAGUCGAAGAGAUUACCAUUCUGGGUCCUAUAUUUCUACACAAUAUGUUCCCCUUUGAGAGGUUCAUGGGAGUCUUAAAUAAAUAUGUCCAUAAUCGUGCUAGGCCAGAAGGAAGCAUCUCCAAGGGCUAUGAAAUAGAGGAGGUUAUUGAGUUUUGUGUUGAAUUUAUUCCUGACCUUAAGUCGAUUGGUGUUCCUCAGUCGCGACAUGAGGGGAGAUUGAGUGGAAAAGGUACUCUAGGAAAGAAAGCAGUAAUAAGUAUGGAUGGGCAUUCUUUCACUCAAGCAAACUACACAGUUCUACAAAAUUCCACCUUGGUGGCUCGUGUAUCAAGGAACACAUGGAUAUUGUACGCUCCAAGAACCUGGAGCAGUCUGACUCCUGGAUUAAACAUACACACAUGGCGACUUUCGACGGUUGGUUGCAAACACAUCUCAUGAAUAACACCACUAUUGGAGAUGAGUUGUACUUGUUGGCCAAGUCACCACUUCGACUAUAUUUACUUUCAAAGGGUACGAGAUUAAUGGGAAUACAUUUUACACGAUCGCCCAAGAUAAAAAGAGCACCAAUCAAAAUUGUGGUGUUCGCUUUGAUGCAACAUACACCAAUGGGAAAAAGGACACAUAUUAUGGUUACAUAGAGGAGAUAUGGGAACUUGACUAUGGACGUUAUUUUAAGGUCUCUUUGUUUCGGUGCAAACGGGUCAAUCUGACACAAGGCGGGGUAAAGGUAGACCCGCAGUACGGAAUGACAACAGUGGAUCUCAACAAUCUUGGGUACACAGAUGAACCAUUCGUACUAGCCAAUAAUGUGGCUUAGUUUUAUAUGUGAAGGACAUGUCUACCAAACCGAGGAAAACAAAAGAUAAGGAAGCGAAUACAUCAUACAAUGAGCCAAAGUGUCACAUAGUUAUUUUAGGGAAAAGAACCAUCGUCGGAUUAGAGGCCGAGAUAUACAUGUCAGAAUAUUAUAAUAAGUUUGAUGAAAUUCCUCCCUUCAAAGUGAACACUGACCCGAGCAUCCUGUUAAAUGAUGAAUAUUCUUCAUGGUUAUGGCGCAAUCAUAAGCAAGGGACAUACGCGAAGACAAAAUCUUAUACCCCAAGAUCCCACUCUGGCUUCACCGUCAUCACUUUCUCUCUAAUGAGUUUCCGGACUUAUAGCUGGAAACUCCCACUUCGAACAAACCGGAGGGAAUCUUUGUAACAGUUAGGGUAUACAUGUGUUUUGGGUGUUCCUAGGGGUUACCCUAACACAAGCAAGCAAAAAAGUUUCGCUUUGCUACCCCCUUCCGACGUCGGAAUCUUUGAAAGAGCUAGGGCAUUUUGACAUUUGAAACAUGAUUUUUGAAUAAUUAUUUAUGAAGUUAUCAAUUUUCAAAAAUAGAAAUUAUUCCUAUCCUUUUAGUAUUUUAAUUAUACAAAGGAGUUAAUCAAUGCAAUUAUGUCCAAACAAAAUAUGAAUGUGUAGUUUAUGUUAAGACAAACAAUUUGACACCUUAUUUGCUUCAUUUGGCUUAACAGAACUGAAGAUAUGAAUUUUUAAAGUUUAAAACAAUGUCUUCAAUUACAAUAUUUAAUUAACAAGUACAAAAUUAAUUAUGAAACUUCAUGUCAAAAUGAUACUAGUUGAUAGAAAUCUUCAAGAUGAAUCCAAAGAAAUUUGAAUCAACUCAUUUGGUUUAGUUUUCAAUGUUAUGCAUUUUAGAAGAAUUAAUUUCAAUCUAUAAAACUGAAUCUGUCAAAUAAUGUUUUCAAAAUGAAAAUUAGAACUCCUCGUGUUGACUAACAAAAACAUAAUAUAAUUUGGCAAAAGAAUAACAAGAAAACAGAAACUAAAAUAAUUUAAACAAAGGAAAAAAGGUAUAAAACUAAAAGAGCUAAACAUAAUCUGUUUUUGGUUAAAACACCUAUUGAAAAUAUCAUAAAAAUUCACAAGUUGAACAUACUGAUAAAACACACUAAUAUUAAACAGCAGGAAAGAGAAUCACUCAAAAAUCUAUAUUCGAACUAAAGUUAUUCACACAAAUUUCAAAGAAUUUAAAUUUAAGCUAUUCAAAUUUGAAAACUACUCGCACUAAUAGAAAGUUUAUAAUUUUUGUUACCUAAAGCAAAAAAAUCACUCAAAACCUCUAAAUAUUCUAAGAGUUUUACCUAAAAUUUUCUACAUAAAAAAGAAUCACUUUAAAAUCUAUUAUCAAACUCUAAAUACGAAGAAAACCUUUAGUCCCGGUUGCAACCACUAGCCGGGACUAAAGGUUCCUUAUUCCGCGUGAAAUUUGGGCCACCGAAUAGGUAGUCCUUUAGUCCCGGUUUUUGGCUGGAGCCGGGAUUAAAGGACCUUUAGUCAUGGUUCGUGGCUAGAACCGGGACUAAAGGUCUUGUGUAUAUAUCUGUCCCGGUGCGAGCCACCGCCUAGGAGAAGGAUCAGAUCAAACCACCGCCCUCGAGCACCAUCGUCUUCACCAUCGAUCAUCAGAACUCCUCGUCGAUGAUUCGCCAUGUUUAGGAUCUCCCCGAGGAAGCCUGACCCUUCACUAACCCCCUCCCCCCCGGUGAGCUCCUUUUCUCUUCCCCUCGUCUUCAACGCUCGAUUUGGUAUGUAGGUGCCCUCUCCGCCAUGGACGAACCUCGGUGUCGUCGUGCCUCGUCACUGCCAUUGCCAGGGCCAGCGAAGCUCUUUUUCGAGCGUAUGAGCAUGCUUAAUUUGCGCCUAGGAGCCGAGCGCCCCUAGUAGCUUGUCGCGCUGCGCCUUGAAGUGUCGGUCGCUUCGAUCUCGUGGCCGCGCCACCGCCACUGUAGUCGCCGUCGGCGACUCCGGUCGUCCCCAGAGCCCCUCCUUGGCCCACUCGAUACGCGAGACCAAAGGCUACACCCUGGUUCUGUCCUUCAGCGUCCCCACGGCCUCUGGAGCGGACUUCGUCGCGUCGAGUAGUCGCCGGCGACGACCUCGCCAACCUAUGUCACUGGCUGAUGGGCCCCGUCGUGAGAUUUCACUUGGAGCACCCAGUUGACCCGGUGAUGUCAUGCACAUACCAUGAUGAUGCGGUAAAUGUUUUCUGGAAUCAAAAUAAAUCAGAAAUGAUUUAUUAUAUUUUAGAAAAUGUUUAAAACUUCAAAAAAUCAUAGAAAAUAGUCUAUAACUCGUAUAAAAAUAAUCUAUAUGUGAAAAAUGAUCAAAAAUCAAAGAAUCUGUUUAUGCAAUUAUCAUGCAUGUUUGAACAAGUUAACAACACCAACUAGGACAUUUUAUGAUUAGGGAAAUUUAUGAAAGAACAUUUGAAGUUGGAAUUUGAACUAGGUUUGAAUUCCACUUCAAUUAACUUGGACUAUUGUUGCAUUAGGCCAAUUCGGUACCUUAACGUGACACACCAUUCAUUAUGGUUGUGCAUUGCAUUGAAUGUGUUCAUUUCCUUGUUUGCCUAUGUUGUUUUCUCUCGGUAGACAUUAUUUCGGCGUUGAGAACGAUGUCACUAAUGAAGUGCAGUUCAUCUUAAUUAUAUGUGGGUUUAUUGAAUGGUAGUUUUUGCUUAUUGAAUACAUUCUAAUUUAAAUACUAAAUUGUUUUAUCUUUCUUCUGUAUUAGUUAAUCUAUGGAUGAUAGCGGCACAUACCAUGAAGAUGACAUCUUCGCCAUCAUACGCUCCUCCCGAAACGAGAAUGAACAAGAUGACGGCUCACAAUAUUUGAACGAGUCUGGUGAGGGACUUGAGCAAGAACCAAGAUACAAAGGGCAAACAAACGAUGACGGCAAAGAAAAUGUUAGAAAAUUAACAAAGUCCGACGAGGUAUAUACAUAUUAAGCCUCUAGUGAUCACUAGAUGUAUUAACUGAUUUGUGUAUAUAUUAACAAAUCUUCCUUCUUUUAGGCCUCCGGAUCGAGCCAAUCUCCUAGAAGGGUACGAGGCCAGGCCAAAAGUUGGGCGAUGACAUAAAUUUCAACAUUGAUGAAGUCGUAGAAGAUGGAAAACCGAUUGCUCGUGAACAGAAUGCCCAUAAAUUUAUAAAUCUAUGUGAAGUUAUUGUUAGGGACCAAAUCCCGGUCACGAUUCGAGAAUGGAAUAAGCCAAAGGUAGAUCCAGGAGUUAGUUAUGUCGACGAAAGAUCGAAAAAAUCACUUUGGGAUAUGCUCAUGUCACAUUUCAACCUACCAAGGGGUCUCACAAAUAGAAAACGGUUGAAAGUCAAGCAAUUUUCUCUUAAGAAGAUGGCCACACAAUUCCAGAGCUGGAAGAAAAGAUUAUACAUCGACUACAUCAAGGCAAAAAAGAAGACUCCGGAAUUCACUCGAGCACUAGAGAAGACAAAAGAUCAUUGGGACGCAUUUGUGGACUACAAGGAGCCGGUUGAAGCUCUGGAAAGGUCGAGAAAAAUAAGAUAAAUGCUGAAAAAAAGCAGUAUCACCAUGUUAUGGGGACAGUUGGCUACAAGAGAAGCGUGCCUAAGUGGGAAGCAGGUGAGGCCAAAAUGGUUGCAGAAGGGGUCAUUCCAGCUAUAAUGGAUUGGCCUGAGAGGUCCAAGACUGGGUUUUAUGUGUAUGGGGGAAAGUUAGACCCAGCGACGGGGAAAAUUAUUCUAAAGGCAGAUCUUAAAAUAGCCUUGGAUGCUUUACUUCAAGCAAUAGAAGAUGCUUGAAAGGGGUUGUUCCAGCCCGAGAGAGAGAACGACGAGCUUACACACACCCUCAAGAAUCUUGAACACGGAGGACGAACACGAGGCAAAGGCGUUGUUCCGUGGGUUCACGAGUUUUUGGAGUGGAACUACACUUAUAGAAGCCGUCGGAGAAAAAAGAAGCACGAUGCAAACCAGAUUUAAAGGAUAGAAACAAAGAAUGAGGAGUUGCACCGCAUGUUAAAGCGACAGCAGGAGCAACUGGACACAAUUAGCCAGCAAAGGGCAUCUCCGUGGCAGGAGCAAGAAGAUCCAUCAUUGGAUAGUAACGUCACAUCUAUGCGGAAAAGCAGCAUGGGUUCCACUGGGGUCCGGACCGAUGAUGCACUGUUGGCUCGCUACCCCGUGGAUGAUAUCAAAGAAAGGACAGAUUGUGAGCUACACCAGAAAAUGAAGAACAUAUCCAUGAAGGUGGCGGUCAGCGUUGCUUUACCUAAUGCACCUGAAGCAACCAAUCCAUGGUAAUCCGAUUCCACCUAACUAUGCUAAAGUGGGGUACAUGAAGUUCUGUCUGGAUGUGAGUCACUAUAGCUUGACAUUCCUGGAGGUGAAGGGGAGCAGACACUAGGAAAAGUCUAACAUGUGUCAUUUUAUGGAGAAAAGAAUGCAUCGUGUUUCCAAACUCGGCGCCAAGGUCACCGACUCCUUGGAGUAGCAAUACACCUCUAAGUCCACCCCACGUCAAGGAGCCCAGCGCAAGUCCUAUCGAUCUCCGCCGCGUUAGCCGACUCCACACCCCCUAUGUCCUAGCAGGGCCAAAAGCGGAAGACCACCGCUCCGUCAACUAGUCCUAUUCGCAAGAAAGCUACAAGAAAGAAAGCCAAAGGCGAGCCUCCUGCCGAAAAUAAGUUAGCUUACAAUAUGACUAGUGAGGAAAUCAAAAUGGUCAUGGAUUCUGAAGUGAAGUCUCAUUUUGCACUGAAACCGCCUCCGCCGCCAAAGGAGAUAAUACCUAACAAAACCAUAGAGCACUUUGUGAAAUUUCUUGGACGGCCCCCGACACAUGUGGAGGAUAGGCCAUCAGACUAUGACCAAUGUAUCAGGAAGUCAUAUAAUGAACAAACGCAGCAGUCAAAACAUAGUAAUAAAAGAGGGCAAGCAGUUCCCCAGCUCGGAGAACAGGCAAUGCAAUGCCCCCCCCCCUCAAGGUGAUUACCAAUAAGGUAACCGACGCUGCUAGAAAUAUUGGUAUCAGUGUUGACCAACUCCUAGGCAACGAGGAAGUCCCCGUGACUGAAGUAGCAUGGCAAUAUGCCCCGUGAAAGCUCUGGUCAGACCUGAGCAGGUCCCAAAUCUAUCAACACGAAUGCAAAGAUUGCAUGAGUGAUACAUGAAAGAAGUUGCCAACGGACGAGUGAUGCUCAUGGUGAAAGUCAAGAAAGGGCUUACUACUAUGAAAAUGAGCUAUGCAUAAUGUUUGACGAAUUGUUUCAGUUAUACAAUCAAGACUCACUCGAGAAAUAUAUAGUCAGUUGCUAUUUUGCCUAAGUGAUUUCUUUGUGUAAUUUAAGUCUCUAGCUCAGCUCGUUCAUUACGUGUAAUUAUCUUCACUAUAUUCUUUUGUAUACUAUUACGCAGAAUGAAGAUUCUCAAUGCAAAAGAGAUAGAAUCUAUGACAUUGGGUUAGUUUAACCAUAUAUUAUUAAUGAAAAAUUGAUAGAAGACCAUCCAAAGACUAAGAGAAGAACUUGCUAAGAAUUAGGCACAGAAUACCAAAAUAGAAAUAUUAUUUUUUUACAACUUCAAAAGAGUGUUACUAUCUUAUACUACAAGUUUUAUUUUGCUUACUCGAUGUUAAGUGUAAUUGAUAAGUUAUGCAUGUCUGCUUAUAUAAAUGUGUGCAUGUAUUGCUGGAUCCUGCUAAUCGUUAAAGUUAACGCUGAAACUGUUGAUGCCUUGGAUUCAUAGGUAAAAACCCUCAAGAAUACACCAACGUGGUUAAAAUGCUCGACGCGUAAUAUGAAUCAUUAUCACACUAUAUCGACCUUUUUCAUUCAUUUCCUGAUAUCAAAAAAUUAAUACCUAUUUUAUUCAUUUUCUCUGCCAGGCAGAGUUUGAAAACGGUUCAUCAAAGAUGUUGUCGGUGAAUAGAAACCGAAACUACGUUGACGACUGGUCAAGGUAAUUAAGUAGUACUAGCUAGGUCCGCGCAUUUCUUUAAUUCUACUUUCAAUAUCAUUAUCAUGCUUUAUUAUCUAAUUGAAUUCUAUUUUCAUAAAGUACAUGAGGCAGAAACAGAGACUAAUUUAUAUGCAUACUACGUUUAUGAAAACGUUUGCAUGUCGAUCAAAUGGCACAAAGAUGUACCACAACUUAUAUGUAAACAUUGUUCAUAAUAUUUUUUUAUGAUGAUGUAACAUAUAUACACACACAACUAAUAUGUCCAUAUUGGUCUUUUUCUUUAAAGAUUAAAGACAUGCGGGAGAACCUCCUACCAAAGAUCCGUCUACGAGCAGGAAAUUGCAGUAUUUUUGUUUACGAAGGUCAUAUCUGAAAACGAAGAAUACCAUUAUGAUCUUUAAAUUGUAGGAAAGAUUGUAUCAACAGCCUGACUAAACUUGCCCAGAUUUUUCAUAGCAUCCAAAGACGAUCCAGUAUUCAACUAGGACUGUUCUAAUGCAAACGAUACAGAGGAGCUAACAGCAGUUCCCUCCACAUUUUCUCAUCCGGGCUUGGGACCGGCAAAGGCAGUGUUAAACUACAAAACUACUAAACACAUAAAUAAGCAAACACAACAACCAAUUAUUCAGCUAAGCGUACAAGCCACACACAAUCAACCAGAGGCAGCAUUCACAACGCACGAUACGCUAUUGGCAAUAAAUAUUCACGCAACGUUUUCACAAGAUCACAAGACAGUAAUGGGUCACACAAAAAAAAGCUAUAAAUUCCAGAACAAGAAUGGGAAUUCUUAUGGGGUGAGGGUGAUUCAGAACUUCAAUCUUGAAAAUAAGAAUAUAUACCAGCAUAUAGAGGGUGAUCAUCUUCGUCUCUAGACACAGAGAAAGCUUUCCUAGUUUUGGCCCAUUAUAUAGAUAUAUAUGAACAAAUAUCUCCUUGUCUUUAAAAUCCAAUAUGUAUUAUAUGUAUUAUGCAACAUAAUGGUGACAUGUGUAUUUUUGCUAGUUGCCAACAAAUUAAAACUGGAAGUUACCAGAAAACUCAGAAUGUGUAUUGAAGAUUCAAUCCAGAUCAAAUUAGCAGUUCGCGAAAAAUAAAUUAACCAUUAGAGGACCAUAAGAUGUGUGAACGCUAUGUAAUUAUAAAUUUAACAGUAGAUAAUGAAAGAUUCCAUAAUCCAGAUCAAGUUAGCAAUUAGCAGUAAAGAGAUCAAAAUAGCCAUAGAAGACCAUAAGAUAGUUGAAGAUUCACAAUCGAGAACAAAUUAGCAGUUCGCCAAAAAAUAAAUUAGCCAUUAGAGGACAUAAGAUGUGUGAACGCAGUGUGGUAGUUAUAUAAAUUUAACAAUAGAGGAUUCCAUAAUCCAGAUCAAAUUAGCAGUUUGCCGUAAAGAGAUCAAAUUAGCCAUUAGAGGACCGUAAGAUAUGUGAGUACUUUCUGUCUAAGUCCAGGAUGAGCAAGUAUGAAACAAACUGCCAUAUGUUGAAAGUAAUCAGCAGGAAUCAUCAAAUUAGCCUGACUGUUCUGCUAGUUAUCAACUUAAAACUAGGAAGUUCCCAGCAAACCAAUAAGAAGCACUGAAGAAUCCAGAUCCCACUCGAGAAGCGCCAACGACAAGAACAUCACUUCUGAAAAUCAUAUCCAUACCAACAAACCAGAAUCAUAUUUAGUGGAGUUGACACUAAUCAAAGACAUGAGUAGAGUGUUAAGGGCAAAAUAUUCGUUCAAGCUUCCAGUUCAGAACCUUCAACUCUCCAUUGUUUUAGUAUAUAGCAAUCACUCCUAACCUCUUUUUGCUCAAAGUGGUCAACAUUACCCAAAUACAGGAGGCCACUGAUGUUAACAGUUAAACCAACACAAGUGGAUGGGUGGGAUCUUUCUUUAUCAUUAAAGUUAAAAAUAUGUGCACACCAAAAUUUGAUUUUGUGUCAGAAGUGCGAUCAUGGACAACAGUAUGAAGAACAGUAAACCCACAAAUCCAAGUAUGACCAAUUCAUACAUAAAUGUAUGAACAUUUUUACUGCAUUCAGAGCUCAUGUACAUGCGAUCUUUACUUCCUAUCAUAGGUGAUAAAUUUGCAAGUUCAAAGAUACAAGCAGCCAAAUGUCAAAGCCUAACUUCCUGAAACAGUAUGGUAACCAAGUAAUUUAUAGCCAAACCAAAAUUUGAUAAUCUGCUAUACAAACUGAGUAUGAACUGAUAUUUCCAUUCCGGACCCUUGUUUGAGACUUCUAGCAUUUUCUUGAUUCGGACCAAAAGAUGACAUCAUAUUCCAUCAAAACCACAUGCAAGUUGAAGCAGAUACCAUAAUCAGCAAGAUGUCACACAACAGAAACCAAGUAAGAUGCUUCAUGACAGUUGAAAGAAUCAGAUGUGCACACUACCAACUCCAAGCUGCGCCAAAGAGAUGAGGCCACCGAGUGCAAGUUCAAAUUGAAAACUACCACAAAGACCAAAUAACGUAAUAUGCUUCAGUAUCACUAAUCAGAAGUCCAAACCAAUUUGAUAGCUUCAGCAAGUCCCCGCACUAGCCGAAUUUCCAACUCUACAAUCUUGCAAUAAAACUUCCACCACUGCAAAUCAAUGAACAGCUCAAAAUAUAGUCGUCAUAUUUAAUAUUUCUUCAACGGAAGUCCAUAAUGAAAUCUUGGCAAUGAGUGGAAAUAAGUAUGGAAUCUAAGUGUAAGAUUAUGUGGUUGUAGAGGACUCCUUCAUCCAGAACGAAGCUUCCAAACUAGCCUUUAGAACUCUCCACUUCUGCGGAUCAGUUAGAAUACUCAAACUUAACAGCUCAGGUAAUUGGUUCUCUAACGGAAUAGAAAAUGUGAAAUAAGGUCUCUAAACAGAUUUUUCACGCAGCAUGACCUCAAAUAAAAUUGUCAAGUAGACCUGCAAUGAAUAAAAGACCUAGCCAGUUUGGAGAAAGCUGCUCGACAUCUUAGACAUUUAGUUAAGUUAUGCACAUUGGUUUGAAUUAUUGUCGCUGUAUAGUACUAACAAGAGAAGAACAAUGUUUGGAAUGUAUAAAAGUUACCAAAGAGAAGUUUGACAAGAUCGACUCAAGAAGAAUCUCCUAAAGCUCCUCUGUAUCAUUUUGUCCACGCAAGCCUUACUCUAAAAUGUUGGAGAACAACCAAAUAUCAAAUAUGCUUGGAACAGAAACGGAACUGCUCACAUGGAGAUAUCAAAUAGGAGGAGAAUAUAUCCAGACAGUUCAGUCACGCUUCGAGACACAUUUGAAUCCUCAACCGUGCAGGCCUGACCAACAACUCCGAUCCUGAACUUAAGAUAUCAUCUGAUGAGCUAAAGGGAACAGCCAAUACAAUCUCCGCUGGUUUGUCUCUAAAGGCGCAUAUACCAUGAAUGAGAUAAAAUUCACCUUGUACUACGUGACAAACAGAAUCAUUGAUUAGCCAUUGAAGAAGAGAGAACAGGGCUUAUUUUGCAAUGAAGGCAGACCAGACACUGACCUGACUCUAAAUACAGGGAACAUCCACUAAUUCCAACAUAUACUGCAAACAACAAACCUAGCAGGCCAACAAAACGGAAACACAUGGAUUGGGGAUAUAACAAAGUAAACCAGAGAGAUCACAAACCAAAAAGAUGACAGAUUUUGACUGGUUACCAGCAUGGCUUGCGCUAAACAAUCUGCAACUACAGGAAGGCGGAAGCAAAAAAUCACCAUCAAUGCUACAUGCGAAAAGGAACUUAGACAACAGAAGUUUCUUCAGGAGAUAAAAAUAGAGAGCACUGAGUUUUUUCGGUUGUAGGAUGUCCCAUCUACAUUGAAGCUCCAGAGCAACCUUCGAAUCUUGUACAUCCACCAAAUCAAUCUGAAUAUUCAAAUUUUGUCUUCAUAAGAUAGUUUAUAGGAGUAUGUUGGAACAAAUUACGAUGAAUUGGAAAGGUGUAGUGUUUAGAAGAUUUUCGAACAGAUAGCUCAGCAACAGGUUGGGCCUAAAUCAUCAAUUAGGAUCUGCAAUGACAGGAGACCUUCCUGUGAAUUUUUGCUUUGGGGAAACGAAGCUUCUUAAACAGCUAAAUAAUGCAUCAAACAGUGAGGGGAUAGGAUAAGCCUGCUUGGCCGGGAGAGAUCAGUUAGGCAACAACACCAGUUCCAGAUAGCAAACUAUAUUAUCUCUCGUCACAAUAUCUGCAAGGACACAUGGUUACCAAGGGAAGAGAAAACCAUGUCUUAGAAAUAUAACGUUCAAAGCGAAUCAGGAAAGAUGAAGUCAAUCUAAGAAACCGCCUGUAACAUGAUGUACCAAGAGGCACCUUCCGGGAAGUCCCAAAAGUCAAAUAGCUGGAGAACCAACAGUUGAUAUCAGAGAUGUUGUAAGCUAAAUUCGACCGUGCAAACAAAGAAACUAAAUUGAGGAGGGUCAAUAAUCCAAACACAGUUUGCAAAUUCUCUGAUCCCCAUUCCAUGGUUAACGAUCCAAUCCAACUUCAAUCCGAAACGAAAACUUCAGCACACAAGAUCCUGGCUUCUCAUAAGGCAUUGAGCCAUAACCAAUCAAAAUAACCACAAACAGUAAAGCAAACCUCCACCCUUCGAUUCAUCACUCCACAACCAUCGCCCUCCUACAUCUGAAGGAGAACAAACACAUACCACAAGCGAGAUCAGCUGUUACAGCGAGAACCAACAAGAAUCCACCUCGUAUUAAGGGAUAGCAGUACUCAUGUUGAGCCAUCAGACAAAGAUAAAUCGAAGAACUUAAAGGUAUAGCCACUCAAAUCUGACGUCACCGAGACCAGUGUGACCAAACAUGGGAAACUGACCUGCCUCAAGUCCCCUUCACAAUACUGUUCAUGUACCAUAGGGAGGUUCAUUUCCAGACCUGAUCCAGUCCUGCAAGCUAACUCACGGAGGUGGCCGAGAACAAAUGAAACAAACAGGACCGUCUACGAGACACUUACCUGACUCCAUGUACAGAGGUUGGGGCACCAAAUCCAAACUAUUAUAUCCUGCAACCCACACUCGGAGAAGACCAAAAGAACACGGGGAUCAAGAGUGCCGAAAACACCGAAUCAAAACAUUAAACAGAUUCUGCGUCAUUAGCCACAUGGCCUGGGCUAAAGAAAAAAUCUGCAACCAGAAGGAGGGCAGGAGCAAAAACUUGUAUCGAAGACAUGGCCAAGUAGCUAAAUGAAGUAAAAAAAAGGAGGAGUCUAUUUCAGUUGUAGGAUGUGCCAUUAGUUGAAAGCUUCGGAUUGUCCUUAGAUUCAUGCACCUUCGCAUAUCUGUAUUAUAAAAUAUUGCCUAGUAAGAUAAUUUGUAGGUUAUGUAAGUUAUGAUGAAUUGAAACAAUGCUCAUAGAUUUAGAAGAUCUGCAAACGAAUUCAUCAUCAGGUUGGACUUAAGUUCAUCAACUGCAACCUGCAACAAGCAAGAGGCCUUUCUAUAAAUUUUCAGUUAGGGGAAAAUGUUACUUUUAUAUAAAUAGCUAAAGCAUGGAUCAAACGAUGGGCUGGGAACAAGUAAGCAUGUGGCGGCUAGGAAGUUCAGCUAUGGUUGACGGACGACAACACCAGUUCCAAACUGCAGUUGUAUCAUUUCCAUGUCAGUAUCUACAAGAGCUGAGAAUUGCCGACUAAGGCGGAGAAGACAUAUAGCUGAAUGAAAUAGAAAUAAGAGGACAAGAGGUUUAAGUUUUUUCUGGUUGUAGGAUGUGCCACUAGUUUGAAGCUUCAUUAUUUCACCUUUGCAGCUAAAUCUUAGUUUGAAAUAUUACCUAGUAAGAGAUCUUAUUUUUAUUAUCUAAGUCAAGGAAUUUUAAGAAGAUGUUAGAUAUAGAAGAACUGCAAACUCAAUAUCAGGUUGGUGGCCUUGAAUUCGUAAACAAUGACCUGCAACGAGCAAAAUACAUCUCUAUAAAUGUUUCAGUAAGGGGAAAACUAGUAGGAUUAGAAAACUAAGUACAGACGAAUGAGAAGGUAAAGGAUGAGUAAGUCUGUCUCCACUGUGAAGGUCAGGUAGACAACACGGGUUCCAAUUUUUAUCCCUUGCAAGACACGAUCUGCAAGAGCUAAAAAUGGCUAAGGCAGGGAAAACUAGUGUCUGCUGAGUUCUAAUGAAUAUUGAAUAAGGAAGGUCCAAAAGGUUUAGCCACAGAAAAAGAACCGCCAUGCUGAGCCAAAAUAGGAGCAGCCGCUAGGCCCGUGUAAUUCCAGAUUCUGGAUAACCAGCAAACAAUCCGAAUCAGAAUCCUUGGGAGAAUAAUUGAAACUGUGGAGAAGAACGAAUUGAACAGAAUUUUGAUCAUCCAAACACAGGUCGGUCAGCAAGAAGAUAGUACGUCGUUCUCACUAAGCCAAGUAAUCCCAAUUUCUGACAAUCAGCAACAAAUCCAAAUCAAAGUUGUGAGGCUAAAACUGAACGAAUCCAAAGCAAAUGAAGUGAAAUUCAGAGGGAUCAUCUGAACAUGGAUAUCAAGUUCCAGGUUGAUGAGCGAUCCAAAACUUCAGUCCAACACCAAACAUAGACUCUGACCAUAUCAGAAACCAAACCUCCACCCUUUCGGUUCAUCUCUGAGGAACCACUUCCUGCUUCUGCUGAAUCUGAAGGAGCACAAACACAGACCACAAGCGAGAUCAACUGCUACAAUGAGAAUCCACCAAUACCCCAAAUCCACCUCAUAUUAGCUGAUUAUAUGAUGGAACUCAUGAUGAGAUCUAGAAGACCACACUGGCAACAUGCAUUUAAUCCUCAAAUCCCCUUCGACAUAUCAGAUACUAUCCAGCAACCAACCCAUGGAGGCCAACACAAAAUGAACCAACAGUUACUGACCUGAGUACCUGACACCGUGAAAUGCACACAGCAAAGGUUUGCAUAUGUAGGCCCAGACUUCGUAAAUAUAUCCUGCAGUGCAACCCACACACGUAUAGGAAGACCAACACAGGGAUCAAGAGUACAAAUAUAACCAAUCAAACAACAAAGAGAUGGAUAGCGAACCAGAAGUUUUUUGACUUGCUACAAGCAUUGUCUUAGGCAAAACAGAUCUGCAGCGACAUGGAGGGCAUAAGCAAAAACCUAAAUAAAAAACAUGAAAAUGUAGCUGAAUGAAAUAAAAAUAGGAGGGUAAGAGAUUAAGUUUUCCUCCGGUUGUAAGAUAUGCCACUAGUUUGAAACUUCAUUCUUGCACCUUUUGCAGCUAAAUCUGAAUUAAAAAUAUUGCCUGGUAAGAGACCUUAUUAACAUUAUCUCAGUUAAGGAAUUGAGUAGAUAGUGGUUUUAGAAGAACUGCAAACUUAGCAUCAGGUUGGUGGCCUUGAGUUCGUAAACCUGCAACGAGCAAGGUACCUUUCUAUAAAUGUUUCGGUCAGGGGAAAACUAGGAUUAGAAAACUAGGUACAAACGAGUGAGCAGGUAAUGGAUGAGUAAGCCUGUGUCAACUGGGAAGGUCAGGUAGACAACUACAGGUUCCAAUUAUAUCCCUUGCAAUCUGCAAGAGCUAAGAAUGACUAAGGCAGGGAAAACUAAUGUCUGAUGAGUUCUAAUUAAUGAUAUUGAGUAAUAAGAAAGUUCAAAAAAGUUGAGCCACGAAAUAGGAACCGCCAUGCUGGCAAGGGAUCAUAGGAGUACCCGCUAGGCCCGUGUAAUUCCAGUUUCUGGACAAGCAACAACCAAUCCAAAUCAGACUUGUUGUGAGAAUAAUUGAACAGUGGAGAAGAAGAAAUUAAAACAGAGUUGGGUCAUCCAAACACAGGUCAGCAAGAAGAUAGUAAGCCGCUCCCACUAGGCCAAGUAAUCCCAAUUUCUGGACAGUGAGAAGCAAAUCGAAAUCAGAAUUGCUGGGAGGCUAAAAUUGAACUCAGGAGAGGAAGUAAUUAAAUAGAGGUAGUAAUAUUAUUCAUCCAAACGCAAAUCAGCCAAAGAUAGGUCGCUCCGGUCCGGUCCGCUUAGCCGUGUAAUCCCAAUUUCUGGAGAACCAACAAUCAACGAACCAAAAUCAGAUAUGUUGCGCGCUGUGCAAACCAAAUAGAUGAAUUGGGAGGUUUUGAUUUAUAUUGUUAUCCAAGUGCAGAUCGAAGUUGCAGGUUGAUUGAGAUCCAAUUGAUAGCCCUGAGAAUCUGACCAUAACAGAGUAACCGCUGAACCGUAGCCAAUCAACCAAUCAAUCAAUCAAAAUAACCAUGAACAGAAAUCAAACCUCAACUCCGCCCUUCUAAAUAACCUACCAUCACUUCAGAACUACCGCUCGCCAUCUUGCUUGUGUAUCCAAGAUGAGAGCACACAUACCAAAAGCGGGAUCAGCUGGUGAAGCAGUAAGAAUCCACGAGGGCCUCAAAGAAUCGACCUCGUGUUAACUGAUACAUACUCGAUCGGGAACCUAGAACCGGAAGACCGCACGGGCGACAGCCGUUGAAUCCAAAUCUUCUGAAAUCACCGAGGGACGCAGGCAGGCGACGGAACCAAGGAACCGACCCGACCCGACCCGACCGAUGGAGUUCGAGAAACUGACCUCGGGUCGCACGGAAUCAGACGCGGGAAGCGAAAUCGAUGGAAUCCCCCAUCGAUCGAUCGAUCGGAUCGCUACCCCCGGAAGCGGGCCGAAUCCCCUGCGAGCACAGGAAGCAAAGCCGGCGAGGAGCGGAGCAAAAAUCAAAGGCGAUUCGAAACGAAUCGAGAUGAGGGACGAGAAAGAAAGAGGAAGGAAACAGUCGCGGAGACGCGAGGAGGCGACUCGGGCGGAGGCGCGGCCCGAAACGAGAGCUCCGAAGAGAGAGGGAGGAGGCGAGAGCGCGGGGUGGAGAGGGCGCACCUGGGCGCCUUUUAUAGCCGGAGGCGGAGGCGGAGGCGGUGGGCGGCCUGGCGCCAACCGGAUCCUUACCGGACACGGCUUCGUCUUCGCCGCGCUGGCGGUGGUUUUCCGUGGACGGGUGGGCGGCGGAAAUCAAAAGCGAGCGGAAUUGGUGGAUCGGGCUGGAUCAUGACUUGCGACUUGGUUCGGUUCGGGUGGACGGGCGGCUGGCAGGUCGGCAACGCGACGCGGGAGAUAGCUGCGCUGCGCGUCGACCUUGGGUUGGGACUUGGGACGUGGGUCGCACCGACGGACCGGGAAAUUUCCAGGCUGCUCGGGGGUCGCGACGGGCCAUGUCCUCGCGCGCGAGCCACGACUAACUCGUGGAUGAGAACGUGGAAACCAACCCAUCAAACGGAAGACUAUGGUUUUCCUCUGUCCACUAAAGUUUAAAUUUCAGAUUUAACAUUGAUGGUUGCAUUUUUAUUUAUUUAUUUCAGAUCUUUCGAUGAUAUGCAUUUAUUAGGAGAAGACGUUUCCGUCGACUACGAAGUCGUCUAUGACAACUUUGUCAAUCUUAAGAUGAUGUGUCGGCUUAGCCUUUCGAAGAUACUUAUAGGGAUAUGGUAUGCGUGUGUGCGUUCAUAGCAAUAAAUGUAUGCUCGUGUAUGUGUACGUGAACAACUUUGAUUGUAUUCUGCUAAAUAAAACUCAUGGAUGAGAACGUGCAAACAUGCGGUGAGGUGGCCCGUUGGGGUUGUCCUAAACGUAAACGUGUGGUACAUGGAAUCAGCUGCCGUGUUUACGCAAUGACGGCUACAACAAAACUACCGGAUGAGAACGUGCAAACAGGCGGUGAGGUGGCCCUUGGGGGUGGUCCUAAUUCCUAAACGUGUGGUACAUGGAAUCAGCUGUCGUGUUUACGCAAUCAACGUGCUCAGAAACUUUCCUAAUUUUAUUCAAGUCAAAAAACUUAUUUUAUUUUAUUUGUGGAUAAGAGCAUCUACAACCGAACCCCUCGUACUGUUAAAACUAAUUACAUAAAUUAGGGGAAAAUCUCCUCUUGAUGUAACCGUUCGAGCGGUUUCCUCCCGCACGGGCGUCUCUCUCCCGACUCCCUGGAACCGACGCAUCUCCUCUCUGUCGUCGCGUCUCUCCAGGAGUUAUAUAUACUCCAUGUAAUCAUCGACAAUGAUAGAAGAAUCACUUUGAUUCGUUUCACGUUAUCAGCACUUGCGCUACCAGAAAGAGCGAGAGCAAACAGAGAAGGAGAGAAGGGAAGGGGAACUUGCCGCCGGUGAGAUGCCAGGCCUCGUCUCCUUUUUCCUUCGCCUCAUCCGUGAGGAUGGUCGCCGCUACCGCCUCAUAGCCCGUCGCCUCCAUGGAGUAGGUGGACUCCGGCGCUUCCGUCGCAGGAUGCAAGCCAUCCGCCGCUUCGGUCGCGAUGCCGCUGGACGCGGUUACCAUGGCACUCGAAGGGAUGCGCGUGGAGGUUACUACGCCUCUGGAAGCGGCCUCCACGCCGCCGGAUGCGCCCACCGCGGUGCUCCUCGCGCCCAUGGCCCGACGCCGAUGGGGUUCGACCCCUCGCUAGUGGCCGACCCGAGCGCCCCUGCGGUGCACGGGGAUGCUGCCGCGCCUGCCCCGUCCCCCGGAUCUCCGCCUCCACCACCUCCUCCACCAACGGCUUGGAUGGCGCCGCCGACGCCCACGCCGGCCGCCGAGACCGCCGGCCCGAGCCGUGCCCCCCUGGCUAUGCGCCCGUCCCGAUGCGGGUCAAGGUGGACGAGGAGGCCGCACUCGGCUUCGUCUCUGCACCAACCGGCGUCUCUGGCGUCGUCCGCCUCGGAGUGGGGAUGGAUGGUGCGGACACCAACGCCUCGCCACCGCGGGAAAUGACCGCGGGCACGAGAAGCCGCGCGAAGCGGCGCUUCGGCCGCCUCUUUGGGCGCGCCGUCGCUGCCCUCGACCGCCAGCCCGGCCACCGCGCCGGCUCGUGGGCUCCGGCGAGCCUUGGCCUCGGAGCAGCCUCCCAUGCCCCCGUCGUCGUCCCCUCCUCUUCCGACGAGGAGGGGUCCUCCGUGAGGCGUCGGUGAUCACCGGAGAGUACAUCGGCCCUCACUCCCGUCGCCAGGUCUCCUCUGGCUGGGCGCUGGUGGUGGGCUGGCUCGCACAGGAGGUGGGGAGCGAGGGGAUGCGGAUGGAUCUGAUCCAAACCGAUCCCACCUCCUCCUCUCUCUUAUGUGCUAGUGUGUGGGGCACGUGGUGCUAGUGUGUGGUUGUGUGGUGUCGAGCCUAGGCCACGUAUUGGAUAUUUGAUCAUAUCCAUCCUAGGCCAUGUAGUGGGAUGGCUAUCACGUGGUGCCGGCUGGCUGUUGUUUCAGUUUUUUUUUAUUAGUCUAGCACCAAUUACUGUAUAUAGUAUAGUUUUAGACUAUGUUUAGUACUACUAUUUAUAUUUAGUCCAGUUCUAGAUUUAUUCUAGUAUAAGAUUUGUGUAAUUAUAAGUGUGUUUAUAUUAUGCAAUGGAUUGAUGAUAUAAAUAAAAGUACCGGAUUUCAUCUGGGAAAAACGACAUUUUCUUAUUGCGAUUGAGAUCAACUUCUCUCGUAUCUCAAACUUGCAAAUUUUGAAAAUUUCUCCCUCAUCUUAUUUGAAAUCACAAGGUAAUGAGUUGUGAUCUACUGCACAUAUGUAGACUAUCCCCUCUUACUGUAAGGUAUACGUGUUGGGGAACGUUGCAUGAGAAACAAAAAAUUUCCUACGCGCACGAAGACCUAUCAUGGUAAUGUCCAUCUACGAGAGGGGAUGAGUGAUCUAUGUACCCUUGUAGAUCGUACAUCAGAAGCGUUAGUGAACGCGGUUGAUGUAGUGGAACGUCCUCACGUCCCUCGAUCCGCCCCGCGAACAAUCCCGCGAUCAGUCCCACGAUCUAGUACCGAACGGACGGCACCUCCGCGUUCAGCACACGUACAGCUCGACGAUGAUCUCGGCCUUCUUGAUCCAGCAAGAGAGACGGAGAGGUAGAAGAGUUCUCCGGCAGCGUGACGGCGCUCUGGAGGUUGGUGAUGACCUUGUCUCAGCAGGGCUCCGCCCGAG
This 116324-nucleotide long non-coding RNA is filed under the name Hordeum vulgare. RNAcentral describes it as "long non-coding RNA (HVUL_LNC020781)". Lineage: Eukaryota; Viridiplantae; Streptophyta; Magnoliopsida; Poales; Poaceae. The record is from RNAcentral.